Molecule: long non-coding RNA, 93939 nt
Filed under: Gossypium barbadense (sea-island cotton)
Lineage: Eukaryota; Viridiplantae; Streptophyta; Magnoliopsida; Malvales; Malvaceae
Description: long non-coding RNA (GBAR_LNC007774)
Rfam family: MIR7504 microRNA precursor family (bases 24927-25052)
Source: RNAcentral
UUUUUUUUUCUAGUUAGGUAAUUUAUCAAUUCGAUCUCGAUUCUAACCUUCUUUUUCAGCCUUUAUCCACACCUUUAACCCAAGCCCCAUUAUAACCCUUUAAAGACCUUUUGAUUUGUGUAUCAUAUCAUUUUAUAGUGGUGGAGAUUUAAUUUUCAUGCAAGCCUAUUGUAAUGACUUUUCAUAAUUGACUUUUGAGUACUUAAUUUUUGAACCUUAAACACUUUGAGUGAUUUGAGUGAAUCUUUAGUGAGGAUGUAAAAUCUUGUCGAUUUUGAAUUAAAGGUAAUUACUUAGAUAAGGGGAGAUACCUAUGUUUUCAUGUCUUAAAAAAUGUGUGACUCGGAUUGUUUGAAUCUUUAAGGCUCUUUUAGUUGAAUUAUCAAUGUGUGAUUAUUUGUGAAUUAUGAAAAAACAUUAUUGAUGAGAAUUACAAGUUGAGAAAGAUUAAUUUUAAUUAUGAGUUGAGGAUUUUGCUUGAGGACAAGCAAAUGCUUAAAUGUGGGGAUAUUUGAUAAGCCAUAAAAGUAACAUGUUUUUAAUCUCAUUCUUGAUGUGUUUUUGGAUGAUUUAUUAUAUGAAUUAGUGAAUUUGAUGCUCCUAAUCUUUUAAAUUCAUGUUUCUAUACUUAAGUGAGCAUAGGGGAACGAAAGGAGCAAAAAACAAGCCAAAAUCGGCAAAAAGAGUUGUUUCCAGGAUUCACAUAGCCUGGGCAUUUCCAUACGGGCUGGCCACACACCCAUGUGAGCCACACAGGCUGGCCACACGCCCAUGUGCCAGUUCGUGUCGAUUUCGCACCCUACUUCCCUGUUACGCGAAAAAAACCCCAAUUUUUAGGGUUUCUGAGCAUUCUAAAGUCUAUAAAUACACACUAGAAGAGGACCUAAGGGGAUAGACAGAGCUGAACAAAGAAAAGACUCGAAGAACACCAAUAUAUUCAACUCAGAAGCAGGAUCUCCUUCAAAAUUGAAGAUUUCCAUUCAAUUUCUCUCGAAGUUUUUGGAUUUCUUUAUGUUUUCUUGUUUUCCUAAUUUUGAGAUGUUUUCUUCCAAAAGUAUGAACUAAAUUUCCUAGGAUGAAACCUAAGAUAGAUCUUAUUAUUUGAUUUUUCUGAAUUACAUGAUAAAUAUUUGUUCUUGAUCUCAAUUAUGUGUUCUUAUUUCAUGUUUUAAUGUUUUCAGGAUAUUAAUUCAUGAUUGAUGUGCUUAUUCAAUGGAGCAAAAGUUUCUGUUUAAGAGUAUCUGACAUAAUUGAGUUGAGUUGCAUGCAAUCCUAGAAAUAGGACGACAUAAAUCUACCGGAUUAGAGUCAAAUCUAAUAGGGGAAUCCAUAGAUCGAGUUAAUGCGACAAUAUGGGUUUUAAUUAGAAAGAGAUUUCAAUUAAUCAACCUAGAGUCAGUUAUUGUAAUCAACCUAGAGUCAGUUAUUUUUACUCUCGAAAGGGAUAUUAAUAUAAUUUAGGGAUUUCUACGUAUCAAGGUAAAUGAAUAAAUCGUUUAAUUCAGAUUUAGAAUAAUAAGUGAAGUCUAGUCUAGGUAGAUUCUUUCUUGGGUAUUGUCUCUCUCCUCGGUUUUCUUCAAUAUUUUCCUACUUUAUUCUCUGUUUAGUUCUUAGUAAUUAGUUAGUUAAUUUUAGAUUAAACAAAUCCCUUCAAUUUUAUAGGCUAGAUAAUAAAAAGAUAGUAAUUACUAGUACUUUUAGUCCUCGUGGAUACGAUAUUCCUGACUCACUAUAGCUAUACUACCAUUCAAUAGGUACGCUUGCCUUUGUCGUAUUUUAGUUAGUUUAUGACAUCAUCAGUCAUCAUUUGUACCGAGUCAUCAUAUUCAAUUGAAGUUAGUUUCUGAUUUUGUUCAAGAGGUGUACUUGUUGGUUUUGCUUCUCCUAACCCCACAUCAGCUAUCGAUUCCAACGCAUACUUUCAUUGAUUCAACACAAUUUCUUCACGUGAUCGAAUCACCUCUAUCAUAAGAAAAUAUUUCAAUGCACCUAAAUCUUUUCAUCUUAAAAUUUUGGUACAGGACCUUUUUUAACUCAUUUAUCAUACCAAUGUCACUCCCUAUGAUUAAUAGAUUAUCAACACAAACAAGUAAGAUGACGAUGUUACCCCCUUGUCAUUUGGAAAAUAAGGAAUAAUCAUAUUUACUUUGUAUGUAACCUCCUUGCAGCAACGCCUCGAUGAGCUUUAAAUUCCAUUGUCUAGAAGCUUGCUUCAUGCCAUAAAAUGAUUUGAGCAGACAACACACCUUGUGCUCCCCCUGUAUGCAAAAACCAUCCGGAAUAUCCAUAUAAAGCUCUUUACACAAAUCUCUUUGUAGAAAAGCAUUGUAAACGUCCAUUUGAAAAAAAGGUCAGUCAUGUAUGGCAGCUAGACUAAUAACAGUCUGAAUGAUAACAUGCUUAACAACAGGGGAGAAGGUCUCUUGAAAAUCAAUACCAGCCUACUGAUUAGAUCUUUUCCUAACCAAUCAAGCUUUAAACCGUUCAACAGAGUCAUUAGAGUUAUACUUGACCUUAUAUACCCAUUUGCAUCCAAUAGGAACUGCACCAAUAGGUAAAGAAACAACCUCCCACAUACCAUUAGCUUCUAAAGCCUAAAUUUCUUGUUGCAUAGCAUCAACCUACAUUGGAUCCAAAAUGGCCUCAGCAUAUGUUCGGGGUUCAAUUAAUGAAGAAAUAUAGGCUGCAAAUAACUGAGUGUAAAUAGGUAAAUGUAAGGAAGAAUAACCAUUAGAAAUAGGAUAUGAACCUGUAACAAGAGAAGUUGAAGAUUGGUUGGAACAGAUGUAAUCUUUCAUCCAAGCAGGUGUCUUGACAGACCGUGUGAUACGAUGUAGAGGGGGAAGAGAAACUGGUGCAGAUGGUAAGGUCAGAGAAGAAGAAGGUACUGGAACAUUAGGUGAGGGUAAAUAUCAGAUAGGGAUAGAAGACAAAGGCUCAAGAUGAAGAAAAUUGGAACUAUCAUCCAUAGGAAAAAACAUAGAAUUUUUUGUAGGAAAUGCAAAAGGAAAUACUGUCUCAUGAAAACUAACAUCACGAUUAACAAAGAAAUUUUUGGUUUCAAGAUUGAAUAACAAGUAACCUUUCUGAAUAGGAGAAUAGCCCAUAAACACAGAUGGAAUAGUCUUAAGAGAAAAUUUAUCAUGAUAAUUAGGUAUAUAGCAUAACAAAGACAUCCAAAAACCUUUAAACAGGAAAGAUUUGGAGGUUUUCGAUAUAAUAUUUCAAAAGGACUCUUCCAACGCAAAAUAGGAGUAGGGAGUCGAUUUAUUAAAAACAGGCAGUUAACACACAUUCACCCUAAAAUUUACUAGGCGUAUGAGACUGAAAUAUAAGUGACCUAGCAACAUCAAACAAAUGUCUAUAUUUUCGCUCAGCAACUCCAUUUUGCUAAAGAGUGUGAACACACGAGCUUUGAUGUAUGACACCUAACAUAGUAAAAAAUUCAUUGCAUUCGGUUUUAAAAAAUUCAUACCCAUUAUCGUUGCGAACAAUUUUGAUACUAGUGGAAAACUGAUUUUUAACCAAAGCAAAAAAUUGUUUAAGAUAUACAAAAGCAUCACUUUUAUAUUGUAAAAAAUAUAUCCAUGUCAUCCUUGAGUAAUCAUCAACAAUAGUUAAAAAAUACCUAUGGCCACUAUGAGUAGAAACUCAAUAGGGUUCCCACAAGUCUAAAUGAAUAAGGGAAAAAAUAGAAUCGACACGAGACGUUCUUAUGGGAAAUGAAAGUCUAGUUUGUUUAGCAAGAGGACAUAUAGGACAUUUGUGUAUGCUAUCACUAUUCGAGACUAUACAUGGAAGGUUAGGCACCUUAUUCAAUCUUGAAACCGAAGCAUUCUAUAGCCUAGUGUGCCAAAGAAACAAUGGUUCAACAGCUGUAAUAAAAGCAACAAAUGGAGUCGGAUCCACACUAGUCUGUCGAGACGAACCUAGGAUGUAAAGACCACCUCGCUCUUUACCAAUCCCCCUUAUCUUUCCACUUGAGAGAUCAUGUAUAAAGCAAAAUUGAGGAUAAAACGAGACAACACAAUUAAUAUCAAUGGUAAGUUUAGAAAUAAAGAGAAGGUUAUAAUGGAAAUUUGGAACAUAUAGGACUUUGGUAAGUUGAAGACCAGGUAAAACAGUACAUGUACCAACAUGAGAAAUUGAAACAGAAGAGCCAUUUGGGAGUUGAACACAAGAUGAAUGCAACGCACAUGCAACAAGAGAUUCUAAGAAUUGAAAAUAAAAAAGUAUGUGGUCAGUGGCUCUAGUAUCUAUAAUCUAAGUAUGACCAAUAUUAACCAUACCUGCUAGACUUGCAGUAGCUUCAACUGUGGGCUCCUUGUUCAGCAAACUCAAGAUUUGAUGAUACCGUGCUUGAGCAAAUACAUGUGCUUGUGGACAAGAGCUAUUACUAGUCAAUUCAUUGCCAUUCACAGAAUCAAUGACAAAAGCAUUAUUCACUACAGAUCUAGAACCAUUGUUUGCCUUUUUCUUAGUAAACUUGAAAUCUGCAGGAUAGCCAUCUAAUCUUGCAAUGAUCACAUGUACCAGUAAACCGUUUCUUUUGUACCAUGUGUGCUGAGUGAAAAGAGACUAGAUCAGACCCAACAUCUCCAUAGUUAUGUUGCCUCUGUGACUCCUCUUGCACAAGCAUUGAGUAUGUGUGAUUAACAGACAGUAACGGGUUUAUUAACAAAAUUUGGCUUCGUACCGCAUUAUAUGUUUCAUUCAAACCCAUUAAAAAUUGAAAUAGACGUUGUUGCAAAAGAUGCUCAACAUUCAGUCUGGAUUGAGCACACCCACAUGAAGAAGACGGCAAAAGAGCAUCAUAUUCAUCCUAGAGCAAUCGCAACUUAGUAAAAUAUACAGAGAUGGAAGUAGUACCUUGAAAAUGCGAGAUGAUUUCACGAUGCAAAAAAUAAAUUCUUGAGCCAUCAAUUUUGUGGAGCCGUUCACUAAGAUCAUUCCAGACCACUGCUACACUAGAUGCAAAAAUAAUCCUUGCCGAAAGUUCUUUGCUGACAGUAUUCAAAAUCCAAGAUAGUACAAUAACAUUACACCGCUCCCACUGAUAACCCAUUUCAUCUGGCAAUGAAUCUUUAGAAUAGGUGCCGUCCACAAAUCCCAAUUUGUUUUUGGCCAACAACGCAAUUUUCAUUGUCCGGCUCUAGACUUUGUAAUUCUCAACUCCGAGCAACUAGUGAGACACCAACAAGGCACCUUGAGUAUCAGAUUUGGGCCAGUGAAAACCAACCAAAAAGAGGCCCGUUAAUCAAUUUGUAGAGCCCAAAACAACAAAAGAAAAAACAACCAGCAGCUAUAUCUGUCAACAUCAGCGAUGGGAAGGAAAAAAGGACGACUGGAAGAACGAAAAUUAUGAAUGAUCGGAAAAACCAAUCAUUGACCACCGGAAACAUAGCGAUCACUGGAGCUCUGAAUACCAUGUUGAAAACCGAUCAAGAAUUCAUUGAUGAAAAAAUAACUGUAUGUACAUCCAUGAUGAAUCAAUCCCGCUACUUAAUUUGUCAGUAUUUAUAAACUGUGUGCUAACCAACCUAUCUUAUACAAACUGAUUCUAACUAACCAACUAACUACUUGCUUAUUUCACAACAGGCAUGGACUUCGAUUUGCUGGCACUUUAAUCAAAGCUGGCAUUGCAUUUGCAGCUGCUGCAAGUGAUAAUCAUAACAAUUCAAAUGGUUUUCAAGAUUCAUCAUUUGCUGCAAUAUCUGGGUGGAUUCCAUGUCUGUUUGUGAAUCAUUUAGACCCCAUAUGUUCUGGAUAUAUUGGUUACUUCAAGCAUAGGAAAAAGAUUGAAGACAUUGGAGCUGGGGGUCUUGCAAGGCUAACAAGCCAGCAUUCACUAGGGAAUAUGGCAAUGAGUGCAGUGGGAAUAAAGGGUAUUGACACUACGGAACCACUUCAUUUGCUUCCUUCGGCAAAUCUGACAGUGAAUCUCUAUCCUUGCCAAGAUAUGAUUUCUGCUCAUGAGCUUCAUCAAUGGUGGAGGCCUGAUCUGAACUUGAGUUGCAGUGUUUACUAGUACAAAUAGUUUGUCGCUGUCAUGGCUGCUGCUUGAUCUGCCAUCGGUUAUUCGGGGAAUGUAUUAAUAUUAUUACAGGGUUUACAACUAUAAGCUUUCAAAAAAAAAAAAAAAGAAAUACUGGCUUGUAGUAAAUCCUAAAUAAAUUUCCUAGAAUUUAAGCCUUAGUCUGGCCUGCCUUUGCUUGCUUUGUAUUAAGAUUGUAUAAGUUUAAUGGAAAUGGUGAUAAAAAAGCCUUUUGUAAUUUAUGUAUUUAUUUUUUUAUAGUGAGGUAUUCCGGAAGUAGUUUAUAGUUAAUUUAUUUAGGGGUUUCUUUCCUUUAUUUUACUAAAAAAGAAGCAGCCUUUUGUAUGUAUAUUAGCCAAAAGCUAGAGUGUGUAAGAAAGGGAGUUUUCAAAGGAUUUUUCGCAUUUAAACUUUAAGUUAUUAUAAUAAUAACAGUCUUCAACUCAUGCCACCACUGAAGAAAUUAAUAUUUAUAAAAUACACAAGGCAAUGUAGUUGGUAAUGAUCUUCAUGAUUUGUUAUCGGUUUCUUUACCUGAGGGAGCAACUGAGAUCUCACUAAGGGAAUUAAAGCCUCUAUGUUUGAUGAAGGUAGUGAGAAAAAAGUACGAAGGCUUGAUGGCUUCACUUCACAUUUCUUUUAAUUUGCAUGGCAUAUAGUUGGUAAUGAUCUCUCUAACGCGGUUAAGUACUUUGUUGAGUGCUUGACGAUGCUUCCAGCUUUUAAUGCUCCUACUGUUGUCUUAGUCUCUAAAGUGUCUAAAUCCUAAUCAUGUUUAAGGAUUUUAGACCAAUCUCUUGUUCUUCAGUAGUGUACAAGUGUGUCACUAGAUUUCUGGUUAAAAGGAUCACUUCUUUUCUCCCUGAUUUGAUUUCCGCUAAUCAGAGCGCUGUCAUACAAGAAAGGUGUAUGACUGAUAAUACCUUGUUAGCUUAGGAGAUUGUAAGAGGUUAUAACAGGAAGAACUUGUCCCAUAGGUGGGCAAUGAAGGCGGACCUGCAAAAAGCUUUUGACACACUCAAUUGGGGGUUUUGUGCUUGAUGUUUUGACUGCCAUGGGAUACCUAGAUCUUUUUGUAGGGUGGAUAAGAGCAUGGCAUCACUACUCCAAUAUUUUCUUUCUAAAUGGUGGUCUGGUAGGAUUUUCAAAGGCAUUAGAGGCAUCAGUCAAGAGGCGCACUGUCCUCUUAUCUAUUUAUUAUUGCCAUGAAUGGGUUAUUUAAAAUGCUGGAUGUGGUAGUCAAGGAGACAAUCUAUUGAUAUUUUUGAAGGGUACUAUGGGCUCAAUUGUGGGUAUUAAAAGCGUCCUUGACCAAUUUUACAUUUUGUCUACGCUGCAACUUAAUGCGUCAAAAGUGAUUGGUAUUUCUCAAGAAGAAUCGGAUUCAAUUCAUCAUGUCACUGGAUUUCAGAUAGGGAAGCUACCUAUACGGUACUCGAGGGCACCCCUUGUGACCAGAAGGUUGACAAUAAGGGUCUGUUCUCCUUUAUUGGAGAAGAUUUCUGCUCGUAUUUCUUCUUGGAUGCAGGUAGAGUGUAGCUUGUUCAAUCGGUAAUCUUUCAUGUUCAAAAUUUUUGGUAUAGGCAAUUUAUUUUGUCAAAAGUUGUACUCCAACGUAUUAAUCAGAUUUACGCCUGCUAUAAUUUUGGAAAGGGAAAGAUGGGGCGACAAAGGGAGUAAGGGCAAGUUGGGGAGAAAAUUGUAAGCCCAAAUCCGAAGGGGGACUUGGUUUAAAGAAUCUUGAGAUAUGGAUCCGUGCUAAUAUGAUGUUAGCAUAUCCAAGCUACUUUGGCUAGCGAGGGCUCGCUUUGGAUAGCUUGGAUGCAAGCUUAUAUUUUAAAAGAUUAAUAGUUGUGACAGGUCACGGUGAAUGAUCUUGGGGUUGCGAAAGGAAGCUAGUUCUUGCUUAUACUUGGUAGGUCAAUGGUGAAUUGCCUGUGAAAAAGAACUGGGUCGAAAUUAGAAUGGAAGAAGGUAAAAUCCCUUGGCAUGAAAUUCUUCAGCAUCCACUACAUAUAUCGAACCAUUCUAUUGUUGCUUGGAUGGCGAUCCUGAACAGGUUACCACCCAAAGAGAGACUUCAGUCCACGGGGCUUAAUAUUAACACUUGCUGCAAAUUGUGUAGUGGGCUGAGGAGACAAGGGAUCAUCCGUUUUUUGAUUGUGAGUUCUCAAAGGAAGUUUGGGGAGCAGUUCUUAAGGUUUGCAAUAUUAAUAGAAGGCUUAGUUGUUAGAAUCAAGAACUCACGUGGUCUAUCACAUAAAAAGGGGAAAUUGACAAUGAUUAAAAAUAUUGUACCCAUACCUACUUUCUUUAAAUUUAAUGAUAUCAAUAUGCAAAAUAUCAUAUAUUAAAGUCUUAAGCAUAAAAGAAGGAGGAGCGUUCUAAGUAACACGAUGUGCAUAGAACAAGGUGUAUUAGUAAGAUCAUGAAUUACCUUAUUUAUAUUUUAAAAUGUGUUUAUUUGAAAAUUUUAAAAGUGAUCUUUGAAAAAAAAAUGAAAAUAUGUGAAAAUUAAAAAAUAAAAAAACUGUUUUCAUAGUUUUCGCUAAAACUAGAAAAAUGAUUUUCACCAUAAAAAGUAAAAUUUUCAAAGAGAUUUUAUUUUUAUUUUUUUUAAUUUUUAAAGAGGUUUUAUUUUUAUUUUUUUAAAAAGAGGUUUUAUUUUUAUUUUUUUAACUUUUAAGAAUCAAAAUUAAAUUGAUAGAAUAUGUAAAGUUAAACGCUAAAUUUAUUGAUUGUUUUAGAAUUUUGACCAAAUUGAUAGAAUCUGUAAACAUUUGGAGGCUAAAUUUAUUAUUAUAUCAUAAGAAAAGGUCACAUCAAUGUUCUGUUAAUGAUUUAAUGAAAUAGUGACCAAAACAUCAAAUGUCGAUAACUAAAAUAAAAUUUUGUGAACCUAAGUGGCUAAAAUAAUAACACGUUAAUAAUUGAGUAACUAUUAUAAGAAUUUUACGAAAAAUACAGUAAUUUGAGAUGAAAAUUUAUAACAGUCAAAAACCAAAUUUAAUUAAAAAUAAUUAUAUAACCCAAUUAAACUAAAUUUCAUAAUUUGUGUGUUAGCCUUAUUUUGACACAUCGCUUCAUGUAGAGAUGCAUUUUGUAUUUGCAUAAGAACAUUACUUUCCCCCUUUUUUUUUUAUUUGAUUCUAGUUUCAAUUCUUCCUCGUUUAUUCUACUAUAAAAUUGUUUGAAAGGUCUAUUUCGAAAUUCCGUAGAAUAAUUUUAUUAUAGAUUCUGAUCAUAUUUGUAUCUUUUGACAUAAUGUUUAGAAUUACCUAUAAUUCUUACUCAACUCAUAAAUAAGAGGAUAAUACGAUUGAAGUACACUCGAACCAAUGUCUUCUUACAUUGACAAUAAUACUCAUACAAAUCGAACUAAGACUCAAUUGACCUUUAUUCAUAAAAUUAAAAACCAAAAAAAAAAAUGGAAAUAAAAGUAACAUUACAUUAACUUAAAGGAAAAGUAUAUAUGCCAAAGAAGACAUAAUGCAAGCCUUCCACACGACAUUUCUACAUCGUCAUAUGCCCCAUGUCAUAUUAUAUUCUUUAAAUUUUCUCUCUUCAUAUAAAGUAAUUUUGUUCUCACUCAUCCAAUAUUAUCGAAGAUUAGUAAAUGUAAAAUUCCAAGUUUAAUUCAAUUUCUUCAUGUAAUAUAUGAAAUUAAUUUAUAAAUUUAAAUUUAAUUUUUAACAUUUAUAAUAUAUAUUUUUUUAAAUUUUCGACAUAGACUUGCAUAUGAAAAAUAAAUAAAUGUAUCGAUAAUUUAUAAUUAAUUAUUUUCUCUAUUUAUUUUCUAAUAUUCUUCGAGGUUGAUGUCAUGUGCAUAAUCCUAUGGUUCCAAAAAAGGAAAAAAAAGUUUUAGAUAAAGAAUUGAUAACUCAACUAUUCUUUAUGUAUGCUUUUAAAAAAAAUUGUAUAUAUACAUUAUACUAAUUGACACAUUAAUUAAUGUAUAUAUACAUGAAACGAGAAAAAGAUAGAACCGGAAAAAAAAGUAAUUGUCGACAACAAUUUUGCUUAUAAUAUUGCUAUUAAAAUAAUAAAAGAAAAUGAGGAUCUUUAACCUAAAUCUACUAAGGAAUGUAAAAAUAGAAAAGAUUGGCCAAAAUAGAAAGAUGCAAUUCAAGUAGAAUUGAGUUCACUUUCUAAAUGUGAUGUUUUUGGACCAGAAGUCCAAACAUCUAAAGGUGUAAAAGCCGGUAGGAUAUAAAUGGGUAUUUGUGUGAAAAAAAAAUGAAAUUGAUAAAGUCGUAAGAUAUAAAGCUCGCCUUGUAGCACAAGGAUUUUUGCAAAGGCCCAACAUUAAUUAUGAAGAGACAUAUUCUCCUAUGGUGGAUGCAAUCAAGUUUAGAUAUCUUAUUAGUUUGACAGUACGUGAAAAACUUGUCAUGCAUCUAAUGGAUGUUGUUACAUCCUAUUUAUAUGGUACAUUUGAUAGUGAAAUUUAUAUGAAAAUCCCUGAAGGAUUUAAAAUCCCGAAAAGAUAUAGAGUUUCUUGAUAGAAUUGCUCGAUCAGAUUAAAGAAAAGUUUAUAUGAAAUAAAACAAUCUAGACGUAUGUGGUACAAUCUUCUUAAGGAAUACUUGUUAAAAGAAGGUUACAAAAACAAUCCAAUUUGUCCAUGUGUCUUUAUAAAAAGAUUUGGAUCAGAUUUUGUGAUAAUUGUUUUUUAUGUUGAUGGACUAAAUAUUAUUGGAACUCCUGAAGAGCUUCAAAAUACAAUAAAUUGUUUAAAGAAAUAAUUUGAGAUGAAAGAUCUUGGAAAAAAAGUUUUAUCUUGGAUUACAAAUCAAGAAUUUAAAAUAUGAAAUUCAUGUUCAUUGAUCAACUUAUAUGGAAAAUAUAUUAAAGAAAUUUUACAUGGAUAAAGCAUACCCAUUAAGUACUCCAAUGGUUGUACGAUCGUUAGAUGUGAAUAAAGAUCAAUUUCGUCUUUACGAGAAUGAUGAAGUGUUUCUUAGUCUAAAGUGUCAUAACUAAGUGCCAUAGGGGCAUUGAUGUGUCUUGCAAAAAAUACAACACUUGAUAUAGCUUUCGUUGUAAACUUGUUAGCAAGAUUUAGUUCUUUUCCAACAUGUAGACAUUGGAAUGGAAUUAAACAUGUAUUUAGAUAUUUCAGAAGGACCAUUGAUAUGGGGUUAUUUUAUUCAAAUGAUUCAAAAUCCCUAUUGGUUGGCUAUGUUGAUGUUGGAUACUUAUUAGAUCCACAUAAAGUUUGAUCUCAAACAAGAUAUUUAUUUACAUGUGGGGGUUGUAAUGGCCUAAAUUCAAAGUUAUCGAAAUAGUAGUUUCGUAACCACAAAUCCAAUUUAAAGAGAUAUUUAUUUCAAUAUUUUUACAUGAAAAUUAAUAUGAUAGGAAAAUCGUAUGAAAAUAUGAAUAGAAAAAUUUUACCGAUUUAGGGGUUAGUUAGAAAAAGAAAUUAUUGAAGAAAUUGGGUAAAAUAAGGUAUCGGGACCUCUAUCUCGUAAAACCGAGUUGAAAAUAAUUUUAUAAAUAUUUAUGAAAUGUUAGUAAUGUGGUAUUAAAAUUUCGUUAGGAAAUUUUAAUGUUUGGGUAGUUAAUUAAAUAAAAAGGACUAAAUUGUAAAAGGUGUAAAAAUGGAUGGGAUGAUUAAAUAGCUUAAGUGUCUAAUGAGAGAAGAUUUAAAAGGAAAUUAUACCCAAAAUUUAUUUGGGCUGGACGGCAAGGGCAUGAAAUCAGCAGGAAAAUUGAUGAAUUAAGGGCAAAAUUGGAAUAUUGCAAAAUUAACUAAAUAAAGCUAGGACUAAAUAGGAAAUAUCUAGAUUUCUCUUCAUUUUUCUUCAUUCUUAUCAGCCAAAACGCCAUAGGAGGGGUUCUCUAAGCUGUUAUUUCAUAAUUUUUGCACCAAGUGAGUUAAUCCUUGCCUUUUUCUUGUAAUUUUUGUGUUUCUAAAACUUUUACAACUAGGUCCUACUAUUAAAUUCAUUAGUUUUUUAUUUCAUGGAUGAAAUUUAAAGUCACCAUGGUUGAUUACUGUAAUUUUAUGAUGAAAUAGCAUGAAAUUUAAGCUUUAAUUUGUUUAUAAAAUGAUUUUAUUAGGUAAUUUCAAUAGAAAUUGAUUUCUAGGACCUAAUUGUGAAAAUAUUUGGAAUUAAAGUCUAUUGCUGAAAUUCUGAUUGCUAAAGGCUGUAAACUAGUUUAAGGUGAUAGAAUACAAUGUUAAUUGAGAAAAAUCAGCUCAAUUGAGAGGCUAAUUGAGUAGGGACUAAAUUAUCAUUUAUUAAAAGCCUAGCGGAAAAAUGGUAAUAAACAGCUUGCACUAAAACAAUUUUGGACAGCAGCAGUAGAUUAACUUUGAAAAAUCAACAUAAAUUUUAUAAAUUUAAUUAGAAGAUGAAAAAAAUAUGAAAUCAAAUCUUAUUGAGUGUAGUUUCUCAUAGAAGAAACGGUGUAAGCAAUGGAUCUGUAAAUCAUGAGAUAUAAUGAAUUUUGUGAGACAAUGUCAGAAUGAAUUCGGAUUUCCCUGUUUUGACUUUGAAAAAUCAUAAAAAAAUUUAAUAAAAAUAAUUAGGGACUUAAAUUUAUAUGUUUAGAAUCCUGAAUGAGUCUAAUUUCAAGAAAAAUAAACGAGAACAUCAUCUGAAUCUUGUAUGAAGAGAUAAUUAAUUUUUAGUGAAGAAGGGUCAGAACUGUCAGACAACAGAACAGUGGUGAAUUUAAAGAAUAAACUGUACUUAUUGGCUAAACCAAAAAUUCUGAAAAUUUUCUGGUAAGAAAAUAUGUGAGUCUAGUUUCAGGGAAAAUUAUCGGAUCCUAAUUUGGAGUUCUGUAGCUUAAGAUAAAAAUAAUUUAGUGACUAUGACUUAAGUAGAUAGCUUUGAAUAAACUAUAAAUAAUAAUAAUGAAAUUAUAGAAAAUGUUGCAUAUGAACAUGAAAUGUAUUAAAUUGAUAAUUAAAUUUAUUUAUUUAGAUCCAGAAGAUUCAAAUACGAAGCUAGACCGAGGAAAGGAAAAAGUUCAGGAUUAGUAGAUUUUUACACACGAACAAGUAUCAAGGUAAGUUCAUGUAACUUGAAUUAUAUUCUUAAAUACUUGAAAUGUAUGUUAUUGAUGUGAAUAUGAUUUGAAUGUUCAUCGUAUGAAAAUUGAUAAAACAUUGAUAUAUUUGAUAAAAAUGGGAAGAAAUCCCGGUUGAAUGGAAGGAAAAUUUGAUGGAUCUCUGAGAAGGAAUUGACGGUAAAAAGAAUCUAGCCUGGACGGGUGAUCCUAUCCUGAUAUAGCCCUCCCGAAGAAUAUGUGUAAAAUGGAUCUGGCCCGGACGGGUAAUCCGAAUUAGGGUUUGAAUUUAGCCUGGACUAGUAAUUCAGAUCCAAGCUCUUUAGAGUAAUUGUCAUUGCAGGAGAUUUAGCCUGAACUGGUAAUCCCGACAAUACUCUAUGAGUUUAUAUUGCAAGGGAUUUAGCCUAGACUGGUAAUCCCGCUGCAAGGUUAAGGUUCGAGGGAGUGUGCUCUCUAAAAUGGAAAUGUGUGCACAUAUAUACGAAUUGAUGGUCUCAAAAAUUGUACGGUAAAAGUGUACCUCUGAAAAAAUCCAUCGAAAUUUCGAGAAAUUCAAUGGGAUAAAUAUGAAAAAAUAACAAGGGAAUGGAAAUCAUGGUAUUAAUGAGCUCAUCAAUCAUGAUAUAUGUAGAAGCCCAAAUUGCCCGGGCCCUUAAACAACCCAUCAGCCAACCCUUACCCAAACCCCAAUUACAUCAAAACCCAACUAAACCUACCCAACAACCCACUAACCCAACUAAACCUACCCAACAACCCACUAACCCAAAACUAACCUUAGCCCAAUACCAAACCCAAAACAAAUAACAAAAAAAAAACCCUAAAUCAGCUACUGCCCCCUUUGCCACCGCCGCUUCUGUCCCAUCACCUCUGUCAGCCCCAUUCCACCGUUCAACCAUCACCUGCAAGACAAAGAGAACACGCAAGCAGUAAAAACAGAUUAGAGAAGCAAUGUAGACGGCUAUAUAAGCCGAACAAAGUAAUGUAAAAGGGGAUUUUUUUUCAGUCAUUUUCGAUCAAUACAAAAUGAUUUAAACACAAACACAAACAGUAAUCCGAGGGAAAUCAAAAGAAUACUAGGAUAACACCAAAUGAGGCGACCAAAAUACCAAAACCACAACCGAGAACAUAAAGUGAUUUUAAAUUUAUUAUUGUUUUGUUUCGGGUCCAUUUUCUCACAUAUAUAUACAUAUAAAAAAACAUAAAAAAAUAAUACAAAAAGGUACCUUUUCGAUUUUUCGGCCACCACCAGCGGUGACCGACGACGGCGUCUGACGCGACGGCGACCGGCCAGUUCUUCACCAGAUUUCUGAAUGGCAGAGAGAAAAGGGGGGAAAGAAUUCAUUUUUUUUAGUGAAGAGGGGAAAAUGAGAAUUUUUGCCAAAUUUUUGACUUAUAUAAUGGCCCCAUACGACGCCGUUUUGAGGAUGGGUUUCAGAGGCCAAAACGACGUCGUUUUAGCCUCUGACCCGAAACCUGACCCAAGGAAGUCCAGGAUUCGCGUGUUUUUGGACCAAGGGUCUAUUUGCACCCUUGGUCCUUCCGCUUUUGAGGCCGUCUUAAUGUGGUCCCAUUAUGUUUUUUUUUUCCUUUUUUCGAUUUUUCCCCAGAAUUUAAUUUAUGUUUCAUUUUAAUCCCCAUGUGAACUGCAUCAUUUCGGAAAUGGGAAUAUUUUUCCUAUUGAUUCCUACCCUCUCCUGCGUGUUCGUAUUUGGUCCUUUAUUAUUUUUCAAAUUGGGCCUGAACUUUUAUUUUAGGUUCGUUCCAGUCCUGUUUAUUAUAUUCAAUAUUGUAAUUGAAUUAAUUGGUUUAGUGUUAUUAUAUUAUUCCACUAUUAUUACCUAAUAUGUAUCAUCAUCAUUAUUCUACUCUAUUAUUGUAAAACGUAUUGUUAUUAUUAUUAUAUACGUACAUGUUUAUAUAUUUUUAUAGCAUUAUUUUAAUUACUUCAUUUUAAUAUUAUUAUAUUAUAUUUACUUUUUAUAUUUCUAUAUUAUUAUUAUUAUUAUUAUUAUUAUUAUUAUUAUUAUUAUUAUAUAGUAGUGUAUAUUUUUUAUUAUCUAUGUAUAUGCAUAUGCAUUCAUAUAUAGUAUUUUUUUAAUUACUUUAUCAUUUUUAUUAUAUUAUAUUGUUCUUUUUUUUUGUAUUUUGAUAUUAUUACUAUUAUUAUUAUCAUUGUUGAUAUAGUGAAUGUUUUUGUUAUAUAUGUAUACAUAUAUGUAUUUAUAUAGUAAUAUUUUUAAUUACCUUAUUUUAAUAUUAUUAUCAUUAUACACUUUCCUUUUAUGUUUAUUAUUUGCCACUUUAUUGUUAAUUAAUUUAACUUAUCGAUUAUUAUUAUCAUUAUCACUAUUGUUAUUACUUUACUAUCGUAAUAUAAUGUAUUGUGAAUAUUACUUUUAUUUUCAUUAUUAUUAUUUUUACUUAAUACUUAUAUAUAUUAUAUAGUAUUAUUAAUAGUUUUUAAAAUUAUUGUUUUUGUUAAUAUAUUAGUAUUUUCAUUAUUAUUAUUUUUACUUAAUACUUAUAUAUAUAUUAUAUAGUAUUAUUAAUAUUUUUUAAUAUUAUUGUUUUUGUUAAUAUAUUAGUAUGUCAUAUAUGUAUUCUUUUAAUAUAUAUAUUAUACUCCAUAUUACGCAUAUAUAUAUUAAUAUUACAUUAUGUAUAUAUUUUUUUAAAAAUAUUAUGUUUUUAUAUAUUAUGUAUAUAUUUUACACCAUAUUAGUUAUGUUUUUGUACUAUCUUAUGUGUACAUCUUGAAUACUAUAUUAUGUAUGUAUUUUAAACACCAUAUUUAUAUAUAUAUAUAUCAUGUAUAAAUUUUUAAUACUUUAUUACAUAUAUAUUCUUAUAUAUUAUGUGUAUAUAUUUUAGUACUAUGUUUAUAUAUCUUAUGUAUAUAUUUUAAAUACCGUAUUGUGUAUAGAUUUUAAUGCCAUUAUGCAUAUUUCAACACUAUUAUUAUUUAUUUUUAAUAUUGUUGUUAUUAUCUACAUACAUAUAUAUAGAUAUAUUUUUAGUACUUAUAUUAAACAUAUUAUUUCCUUAUUAUAUUAUUAUGUAUUUUGCUUUCAUUCUUUCUUUUAUUUGUAAAUAUUUUUUAUUCUCUUUUAUUGUAAAUAUCAUCGCUAUCAUUAUUCUAAUAUUUUAUUUAAAUAUUCUUCGUUAUCACAUCAUUACUUGCAUUUUUAUUACAAUAAAUCUUUUUAUUUUUUCAUGUUUCCUAGUUAAUUUCAAUAAAUAAGGCAACGUCCCGAUUUCAAAAUCAAGUCCAUGAUUUCAUCGCUAUGUUGGGUGAAUCACGUUGGCUCUUAUAAUAAACGGGACAUCCUUCUAAAAAAAACCAAAAAAACUUGAAACUUUUUUGUUUUCUUCAAUCGGUUCACGAUUAAAUUUUAGAUUGAACUUGUAUUUUUAAAAAUUAAGACAACACAUGUUUAAUAAGAUAUCAAUUUUGGGCAUCACGAGGGUGCUAAUACCUUCCUCGUGCGUAACUGACUCCUGGACUCUAUUUUCUCUGGAUUUUAACGUAGACCUAAAUUUGGCCUUCUUUUUAUCAAAAAUAAAACUUUUGGUUAAAAUGAAGAUUUAUUAGGUAUCCGAUGACACCUAGAAAAAGGGAUCGGUGGCGACUCCUUUUUUUUAAAAUCAAAGUUCAUUUCUCAAGUUUUCACUAAAUCGCCACAAUUAGCGACCGAAAGCAGAAAAAUUUUUACGUCACUAAAGCUGGCGACUCCGCUGGGGACUAUUUUUGAGAGUCGAGUCAAAUUAAACGCGUGUUGUCAAAAUUUUCGAAUUUCUUUUGUUCAAAUUAAUGUUUAGUCGUGAUCUUCAAAUUUUGUUUUCAAAAAAAAUCAUGCAUUUGCAUCAUGUCGUAAAUGUUUUUCUAACUUGUUUUAUCUUUUGCUUUUCAGCUCUUUUAAGUUUCGUAGUUUUAAAAUAAGAUGAAAGGUUUGUGAGUUUCUCUCCUCACACCGUGUACUUGCAUUUUUUCAUAACAUGAGCUCUCUACCCGGGCUCCGUCUGCUUAAGUGGAAGUAAAUGCUAUACCUUCGUGAGUUAACUCGUCCCUCCGCACAGGCUAGUGAAUACUUCCGGGUUACAUACGACUUAUGCUUUCGUGAGUUAACUUGUCCCUCCGCAUAGGCAUAAGUAAAUGUAAUCCCUCGAAUUGAACUCGUGAGCCUGUGAUGGGCUAUGACCAAGGCUUCGUACUAGUCUUAGUAGACGAUAGUACGAACAAUUCGAGUACUUGUCUAGAACCAAAACCGCACAUAGUAAACCAUACAAACCACCUAACUAGAGCCAUGUCGAACCUCCGUUCGUUUAGUAGUCACCAAAAUAAGUACACGGGAGAAACGCCUCUUAUCUUUUGGACUUUCACUUUGUAUGCAAGGGGAUUGGGUUGGUUUAAGAAACUAGAUCGGGUAGCAUAAUUUGAUAAAUUUUCCAUAAUUUUUCUGCCUAUAUUUGAAUACUAACCAGGGUUGUUCGUCUUUGCUUUAUUUUUCAUCAUGCAUUAUAGGCAUCAUAUUAGAAAAGUGUUGACUAGAGAUCGGUUGCCAAAAAACGGGUUUCUGAUGGAAGAGUUGAUUGUACAAACAACCGAGAAAAAUGCCGUGGUCCGGGAUUGGUCUUUAAAAACCCAGAAAGAAAAAGGGGAUAGUUUAAUGGAAGGAUGUGUUUCUAAUCUACCCGAGUACAUAACUGUGAAUGUUCGUCGGAAUAAUCUGGAAGACUUGAUUCAAAUUUGGAAUCAGUGGGACUCGGACACUAAGGGUAUCUUCACUGAGAGGUACGGAAAUAUAGCCCACCUGAUCACUAUCAACAUAGUAGAACGUUUGAUUCAAGCCAUGAUCAAAUUUUAGGAUCUGGCCUAUCAAUGUUUUACUUUCAAUCAGGAAGACAUGACCCCGACUAUAGAAGAAUACGCUGCUUUGCUUCGCAUCGAUAAUGUGCAAUUCCACAAAAUAUAUGUGAAAGAGCCCAAGUCGAUGACCUUCAAGAAAAAAAUAGUGAAAUUGACAGAUAUGACCAAUACAUUGGCCGAAAAAUAAAUAAAGAAGAAGAAUGAAAUCAUCUGUAUCCCAUGGUUUUUCCUGCGAGAUUUGGUUCUAAGCCAUCCCGAUGUGUUGAAGAGAGUGAAUCUUUUCGCUUUGGCCAUUUAUGGAUUGAUCGUCUUCCCGAAGGUCCUUGGACACAUAGAAGUUGGGUGGUGGAUUUCUUCGAAAGAUUAAAACAAGGAAUCAACCCUGUCCCGACUAUCUUGGCCGAGACCUUCAGAUCCUUAAACAGUUGUAGGAAAGUAGGGAAAAGACGCUUUAUCGGAUGGGCGCAGUUACUCAAUGUCUGGAUUUUGAGCCAUUUCUGGAAAGUAGAGCGCACACCGUACCACAUGUUUUCAAAAACCUUCGCUCUAUUGGAAGCCUAUCUUGAGAGAGAAUGGCCAAAGGAUGUCACCAAAGAGCAUUGAGUUUCAGUUUUUCAGAACCUUCGAGCUGAAGAUGUAACCUGGAGAGCACCGUGGAUCCGCCCUUCGGUUCUGUUAUACAAGGUUGGAAGUCAAGAUUGGGUGCAACUACUCGGGUUAUGGGGAGGAAUUGGAUACGCUCCGUUAAUGGUCCAAAGGCAAUUUUCUUCACAACAAUUCAUACCCGCCACUGGAGGAUUAGCACAGUCUAAGUUUGCUUUUGCGGGUGAGGGAUAUAUGAAGAGGGUCCGAGAUACCGCAAAGCCUUGAAAGAGAAUUCAUCUCAUGGAGUUAGCUCUAUACGCUGACACUCUCACCCAAGAUUAUGUCAUAUGGAGAAAGCAACGAAUGAAUAGUCAGCACGUCUCGUCAACAAAUUACACCGUCUAGAAUCCUUUCUCGGAAGAAGUGCCAUCUGAGCUAGAAAUGACAAGACAAGAAUUUGAACAAGAAAGGCCAAGAUGUCUCGGGACCUUAGUGCUCUUCAAGAGGAAAACUACCAACUGAAUAUCGACAUUCAGAUUAAAAGAUCCAGAACCGAGAAAGCGCAAAAAGAAGCUGAAGUCGUAAAAAAUUACUUAAGGGACCUCCAUUUGGAAAAUAAAAAGUUAAGAGGCACAAUAAAAAAUAGUGGGUUGGGCAAAUCGUCAGCAGAAUAGAAGGAGGAAAUUAGCAACAUCAAAGGGGGAUGGAAUUCUGGAAAGGGAAAGCGAAGAAAGAAGAAAAAAAGGCUGCGCGGGCUAUGAUGGAGCUAAGGAAGAAGAAUGCCGAAUAUGAAGCUGUGUCUGCGGAGGUAAUAACUAGUUGAUCUAAAUGUCAAGAACUAAAAGAGAGGAUACGAGAUUUAGAAGACAUGCUGCAAGAUCAUCAACAACAGCUAGAUACUCUCUUGGAGGCUUUGGAAGAAAAGAAUAGUCAAUAUGAUAGAGACAUUCAUGCUUACGACGAGGGCCUCCAAGAAAAAGAAAUGCAACUUAGCUAUUUGAUCAAUGAAGUUCGUGGGGUAGCCAUGCAUGUGGUACAAUUAUCGGAAGAAGCUGAAAUUCUCAUUUGCCAAUUCCCUCCAAGUCGAAGAUCAAACAUAUCAAAAUUCUUAGCACGAGUAAAGAAAUAUGGCGAUAUAGCUAGGAAGUUUGUGUAAUGGCUGAAUCGAAAAUGGAAAAAUAUUUUGUAAUGGACUCUUUUGAUAAAUGAAAUGCCUAAAUAGGGGCCGUCUUGAAAUCAACACUAAAUUCUUGCAUAUUCAUGCAUGACUAACAUUCAUUUGACAUUUAUGCAUUCAUUCAGUCAUUCAUUCAUUCAUUGCAUAUCCCAUAUUCAUUCGCUGAGGUUAAAACAUACAAUUUGCAGUUGUAAUACCACAAGACUGGAACCACGUCAUUUGUAUAGGACACGUCGACAAGCUAGAGUAAUGGAGGCUGAAUUCAAUGAAAGGAUGGAAAGAAUCCAAAGGGAAUUACAAGAGCAGUUGGCCAAGUCGCAGCAAGAGACAAGAGACUUAAUGGUGAGAUCUCGAGAAGAAUUGCUCGAACAGAAGGACCAAAUGGCUAAGAUGAUGGAAAUGAUGUCGGCUCUGGUAAAAGGAAAGGGACUUAUGAACCCUGACGUUGUGGAACCACAGUCAAGGGUUAACCUCGAUCAGGAUCCGCCCCAUCCUCCAAGAUUUACUCCACCGCACGCCCACACAACAAAAAGAGGGUACGCUCAAUGGGAACCUACAGGCCUGGAGCAACGACCUGCGCCACCUACCAAUCUGGGGAAAGGAAUAUUCGUAUCAAACCCGGAGGCUAGUCCUGCUAAUCCACUCGUUCCAGAUUUGGACGAUCCAGCAGAGAUAGCCAGGUAGAAAUUGGAUGAUCACGAUGCAAAGGAGAAAUAUAGGAGCCUAGAGGAAAGGCUCAAGGCGAUAGCGGGCACUGAAGUCUUCUCUACACUGAGCGCUAAAGAGCUCAGUUUGGUACCCGAUUUAGUUUUGCCUCCAAAGUUUAAGGUACCGGAUUUUGAAAAGUACGAUAGGACAAGAUGCCCAAAAACUCAUCUCAUCAUGUUUUGCCGGAAGAUGACCGGUUAUGUGAAUGAAGAUAAGCUACUCAUACAUUUUUUUCAGGAUAGUCUAGUAGGAUCGGCUCUUCGGUGGUACAACCAGCUUAGUAGGGAAAAGAUCCGAUCCUGGAAGGACUUGGCGUCAGCAUUCUGUGAGCAGUACAAGCAUGUAUCGGAUAUGGUGCCUGAUCGAAUGACUCUACAAAUGAUGGAAAAGAAACCACCAGAAACCAUUAGGCAAUACGCUCAAACAUGGAGAGACGUCUCGGCCCAAGUAGAACCUCCGCUAACAAAAACGGCGAUAACCGUCCUCUUUAUCAACACCUUAAAGGCGCCGUUUUAUGACAAACUAGUGGGAAGUGCCACGAAUGACUUUACGGAUAUUGUAAUAUCCGGUGAGCUUAUAGAGAAUACCGUCAAGAGCGAUAGAAUAGAAGGUCAGGAAAGUUCAAGAAGGGUAGCGCCCAUGAAGAAGAAAGAACCAGAAGCCCAUAUGGUGGGAAUGGGAAGCCGUUAUACCCCUAAUUCAUAUUCAAACCAACCCCGACCUCGAAAUUAUCCACCUCUAAAUUUCUAUUAUCCUCCUCAAACCCCUUACUACCAAGCACCACCUCCUUCCUACCCCGUAUACGCCAUAAACAACCAAAGACCCGUCGCCACAUUCUCACAAAGCACUAUACCCUCUUAAAGCCAACCCAGAAACGAACCAAUACCAGCAAGGCCCAAUCCUGAGAGACCGCAAUUUACUCCUAUCCCUGUGUCGUAUGGGGAAUUGUACCCAAAUCUUUUAGAAAAAUAAUUGGUAUCUCCCCAUUAUAUGGCACCCCUAAAACCCCCGUACCCGAAAUGGUACGAUCCUAACGCUAGUUGUGUAUAUCACGCUGGGAACCAGGGACACUCUACGUCCAAGGAUUCAUCGAUGCGGGCAUUCUGUGAUUUAAUGGUAUUGGCGGUACGGCCGGGAACCCAUUCCCAAACCACACCAAAAGGAAUGCGAGCGUAGUGGGAGAAGAGGACAAACGGUAAAAUAGAAGAUGGGUUUCUGAAAUAAGAACACCUCUGCAGAAAAUCUGGAAGGUACUAGUUAAAAAGGGGUUGCUCUGUCAUCUUAACAGAGUAUUCGAAAGAAGAAAUGCAAAAGGCCAAAGUUUUUGCGAAUUCCAUGGUAUUGAGGGGCACGACAUUCAGUCCUGCGAGGAGUUCAGAAGAUUACUACAAAAUAUGAUGGAUAAUAAGGAGAUUGGGAUUUUUUAUAAAAGCGAAGAGGCUGAUAGAAGAGAAAUAUGUGCCUCUGACAAUCAAUCGUCAGGUUUUCCGUAUAGCACCGACCAACCGUUAAUAAUUUAUUACGACGCGAAGAAGGAGCUGGUGAAACCAAAAGUGAUAAUCGAAGUACCAUCUCCUUUCCCUUACAAGGAUGACAAGGCGAUACCGUGGAAAUACGACAUCAACAUCAUCACACCUGAAGGUGAAAAGUCCGAAACCAUAACCGGAAGUGUUAGAGAAGUAGGUCAUUUCACCCGCAGUGAGAGGUGUUAUUCUAAAAAAGUUGAGCCGGCAAAGAAAAAUAGUAACUUGAAAUAGAAAAGAAAAGCACCGAUGCACGUGACCGAAGAUGAGCAUGAAACUGUGCCUGAACAAGAAGCUAAAAAGCCUGUGGACGAGGAGGAAACACAAGAAUUCUUAAAAUUUAUCAAGCAUAGUGAAUAUAAUAUGGUGGAACAAUUGAAAAAGCAACCAGUACGAAUCUCGAUUUUAUCUCUACUGUAAAACUCAGAGCCACACCGGAACGCUUUGCUGAAGGUGUUAAAUCAAGCUUACGUAGCAAACAACAUAUCUGUUGAGAAGCUUGAUAGGUGGGUGAAUAAUCUGAACGCUGACAAUUUCAUCUCUUUUCAUGAUGAUGAGAUACCGCCAAACGGUAGAGGCUCAGUGAAAGCACUGCAUAUUACGAAUCGCUGCGAGGGCUACAUAAUACGAACGUGCUCAUCGAUAAUGGGUCAGCACUCAACGUCAUGCCUUUAGGCACACUUUCUAGAAUCCCGAUGGAUUUGUCCUAUUUAAGGCCCUGUCAUUCCAUAGUAAGGGCAUUCGAUGGGACAAGACGAGAAGUCAUGAGAAAGAUUGAGAUCCCUCUGGAAGUGGGCUCUUAUAUAUACGAUGUUGAAUUUCAAGUCACGGACAUUACACCAUCAUACAAUUGCCUCUUGGGAAGACCUUGGAUCCAUUCUGCUAGAGCAGUUCCGUCCCCUCUCCAUCAAAAAGUGAAGUUUAUCAUAGAUGGUUGUUUAGUCACUGUCGAGGGAGAAGAAGACAUUGUCGCAUCUAUCUCUACCGAUGCACCGUACCUGGAAGUGAGCAAAGAUACAAUAGAAUGUUCCUUCUGAUCCUUAGAAUUUGUCAAUGCCACUUUUGUUGCUGAAGGAAAUAGAAUUCCCAUGCCUAAGCUGUUAAGGAAUACCAAGUUGGGAGUUGAGCUGAUUGUGGGAAAAGAAGCCCAAGCAAGGAAAGGUUUGGGAAGGUAUCUGCAAGAAAUAGUCAGGGUUCUAAAGCCAGUGCACCACAAGGCCCGAUACUGUUUGGGGUUCCGGCUGAACAUGCGUCAAAGAAGAAAAUAAUGGAAGAAAGAUCAAGAAAGAAGGAUCGCAAGAACCUUAGGCUGAGAAAUAGAAUGGGGGCCCAUAACGUACCCUCCUUUGUCAAAAACAUUUACAUCUACAGGAAUGAUAUAUCCCGGACAAGAUAAUCCACGAAGCACACUGUUGAAAAAACAGUUUUUCAUGGCGUAAAAAUAUGAAAAAACAGCUUAAUAUAACUCUUCCAUAGCGUUUUUCUGAUGAGAAUGCAGAAAAAUAAAGAGAAAUCUAGAUAAUUCCACUUUAGUCCUAGCUUUAUUAAGUAAAUUUUGCAAUUUUUCAAAUUUUCCCUUAAUUCUCCUUAUUUUCUUGCUGAUUUCAUGCCCUUGCCGUCCAGCCCAAAUAUAAUUUGGGUCUAUUUUCCCUUUAAACCCUCUUUCUUUUAUCAACUAAGCUAUUUAAUCAUUUCUCACAAUUUUGCAUUUGAUACAAUUUAGUCCUUUUUGUUCAAUUAACUAUCAGAACUUUAAAAUUUCUUGAAGAAACUUUAAUACUAACAUAUUAACACUCCAUAAAUAUUUAUAAAAAUAUUUAUGGCUCGAUUUAAAAUUAUCGAGGUCUCGAUACCUCGUUUUCGAUUCUAAUUAUUUUAAUAUUUAUUUUUAGUACACUAUUCACUAUUUCAAAAUUUCUCCUAGCUUCACUUUUAAUUUAUACUCACUAAAUUAAUAAUAUUUCCUACUCAUUUUUCGGAUUUAGUGAUCUCGAAUCACUGUUCCGACACCACUGAAAAUUAGGCUGUUACACAACAUAUCCAGAAGAUAUGUAAUUUGCCUUUACAGGAAAAGAUGUCAACUAUCUUAUAUGAAGAUAAUACUACAUGUAUAGCUCAAUUGAAGGGUGGUUACAUCAAAGGUGAUAGAACGAAACAUAUUUCACCAAAAUUAUUAUUCACCCAUGAUCUUGAGAAAAGACGUGAUAUAAAUGUUCAACAAAUUCGUUCUAGUGAUAAUUUAGCAGACUGUUUUACUAAGGCAUUGCCAAUUUCACCAUUUGGAAGACUACUACAUAAGAUUGGAUUGCGUCAACUCAAAGAUGUAAUGUAAUGUUGCCAUCAGAGGGAGUCUAAAAACAAGUUGUACUCUUUUCCUUUAACCAAGGUUUUGUCCCAUUGGGUUUUCCUGGUAAAAGUUUUUAACGAGACAGUUGUAAUAAAAGAUUCUGUACUCUUUUUCCUUCAUUAACUUUUUUAUCCCACAGGAUUUUUCCUAAUAAGGUUUUAACGAGACACAUUAUCUACCAAUAGGCAUCCAAGGGGGGGUUUCCCAAUAAGUACAUUCUUUAUUGCUUUCAUAUUUUCUUUAUUCUUUAUUCUCACCAUAUUUCUUUAUUUUAUAAUAAUAAUUAAUUAUUUUCUCCAUUUAUUUUCUAAUAUUCUUCGAGGUUGAUAUCAUUUGCAUAAUCCUAUGGUUUCAAAAAAGGAAAAAAAAAGUUUUAGAUAAAGAAUCGAUAACUCAACUAUUCUUUAUAUAUGCUUUUAAAAAAAAUGUAUAUAUACAUGCAUGAUACUAAUUGACACAUUAAUUAAUGUUAUGAGUUAAUUGGACAUCAAUUCAAUUACAAAAAAAAAAUUAAAAAAUUAAAAAUUUUAAAAACAAUAAACUUUAUUAUAAGAAUAUUUAUGUUUUUCCAUACUUUAUAAAUUUUUUUAAAAUAAAUAAUUUAAAUUACUAGAAAGGAUGUAUGAAACUAUGAUUCCACGUCAUCCUAAUCAUUUUCCAAUGGAAGAAUGAAAAAUAAGAUUUUUUUUCUCUUGAUUUUUAGCUUUUUUCUGCUGAAAAAAAAUCAAAUCCAACUAAAAAUGCUAAAAAUUAAGAGAAAAAAUCUGAUUUGUCAUUCUUUUAUUGGAAAGGGAUAAGGAUGAUGUGAAAUCACAGUUUCAUACAAUCCUUUCUCUUAAACUACAACUUUAAAAUAAAUUAAAAAAAUAAAUGUUAAGCUUGAAAAUUCUUUAGAUAAAUGUUGGUUUGAUUUUAUAAAAUUUUUCAUAGUGACUUGUGUAUUACAUAAACCUGUACAAACACACAAAUAAUACCAAUAAAAAUUAUCAAUAUAUUUUCACUUCGGAUACAAAUAAUCAAAUUUCUUAUUUUCUCUCUCAUAUUUAUUCUGGUUAGUUGUUUAGUUAAUUAAUUUGAAUUGAAUUAAUUGUAUGGAAUCAGGGGGCGAAGUUAAAAAAAAUUUUGGACCGAAAUUAAAUUGUAAUUUUUACUAUAGGAAAAAUGUAAUUUUAUCAUGUUAAUAGUCUAUAUCUUUAUAUUUUUAAAUGAUUAAAUAAAAUUUUUAUCAUUUUUAAGGGGGCAAAGUAUAAUUUACCUUUACUAAUUUAAAAUUUUAAAAUACCUAAAUUCAAAAUUUUUCAUUUUAAGAAGAGCCGGGGCCCUGGCCAAUCCCCUAACUACACCCUGUAUGGAUUAAUACUAAUAUUAUAUUAGUUAGUUAUUAGGUCUAAUUGUUUUUUUUUUGCAAAGUUAGUAAAAUACAAAAAGGAUUGUUGAGAACAAUCCAAACAAGUUCAAUAACAGUUUUUUUAAAAAACGAAAAAAACAAAACAGCCUAGCAAAUAUUACUAAGCUGACAAAAACAACUUCAGUACUUGACUUUUGCAGAAAACAACAGACCAACCAAACAUCAUCCACUCUGCUUUAGCAGCAACUCACCAAGCAGCUUUAAAGAAGUUUUUCCUUGACAUGCCUGCCUUUGCUAAACUUUCCCCCAUUCCAUUCUUUUUAUGAUUAGUGACUGCAAAUUAGAUUUCAGCAAUAUGUCUACAUCCAUCUUCAAUUUCCGCAAAUAACUUCCUUAGCGACCAUGGACGAAGAUUUCUAUAUUUCAACCAAUUCGAUUAGCUUAUUUGACUUGUAUUUAUUUUGAUUAGCUUAAUUAAUUAAUGUGUAUUUAAGAUAUAAUCAAACUACUUGAUUUCAAGUUAAAUUAAUAACAUAUGAAUUAUUAUUAAUUACAUAAAAUUAUAACAUCUUAACUUGUAAACAUCUAUAGGAUAAAUUUUUAUCAUAAAUCAACUAUAACUUUACAGUAUCUUAAAUUUGAUUCCUUUGAACAAUAUUGUCCAGCAAGCAUAAGAACCUCCUUUUCCAAAAGCUUCAAAUUCUAUAUAUAUAUAUAUAUUUAUUAAAUUUGAUUCUUGAUUUUAUGUUACUUGUUCUUAUCAUAUGUAUUAUAAUUUUAUUUCAGUUUAUGCUCAAAACAUAACUGUAUAUAUACAUAUGACUUUAUCCAUACACAUAUGUCAUUUGCCUCUUCAAUAACGUUACUUUGAUAACAAAAUCUCUCAGAAAGAGAUUUAAAAACCUAGCAAAUUUGAUAGAACAGACAAAUUUGCAUAAAAUUCAAUAAAAGUUUCAUUCACUAGCAUUUCGAGAGUCAAAUUUUAUGAUUAGCAUCUAUAGCUUCAAUUGUUUCAAGAAUAUCACAUUUUUCUUCCACAAAAUGGCAUUCAAAGCCUUAAAAUUGGUUGCAAUUUGCAAGAGGUUCCCUUCCAAUGAGAAUUGCAUGCCGAGUCUUUUCAUCGAUUGAUUUUAUAAAAGUCUUCAUCCUUGCCUUUCAAUAUGUCUAAUUGGAUCCAUCCAACAUGGGGUUGUGAUAAACCUCAAAAGUAACAUAUUUUAAUCCUAUGCUUGGCAUAUUUUUGGAUGAUUUAUCAUAAGAUUUAGUGGAUUUGAUGCUCCUAAUCCUUUAAUUUCAUGUUUUAUAUCUAGAUAAGCAUAGGAAAGCAAAAAGUGCAAGAAAAAGGCCAAAAACGGACAGAAUGGGUUUAUUUCAGUGCUUCACACGGCCUGGACACUUCCACAUGGGUAAUCCACAUGCCCGUGUGAGACACACGGGUAGGCUAGACGCCCGUGUGUCAUGGCCGUGUCAACUUAAAACCAUGUCAAAAUUACACACUGCCUGAGCACCAUCACACGGUCGUGCCACACUGCUGUGUCCCUGUCGAGACCUAUUUAAUUCUACUCGAAAAAGUCUAAUUUUGGGCUAUUUUUGGGCAUUCGAAAGUCUAUUUAAACACACGAGAAGAGGAUCAAAGGACAAGGGGUAGAAGGCAGAGAAUACUGGAAGAUAGCCAUCGGAAUCAGCUCGAAAGCAGGAUCUACUUCAAGACUGAAGAUCUCCAUUCAAUUUCCUUAAAAGUUCUUUGGGUUUCUUUAUGUUUUGUUGUUUUCCCAAUUUUGAGAUGUUUUCCCUCAUCGUUAUGAACUAAACUCCCUAAAUAUCUAAGGGAGAUGAAACUUAAGACAAAUCUUAUUACUAUUUGAAUUAUAUGAUAAAUACUUGUUCUUAUUCUUAAUUAUGUGUUCUUAAUUCUUGCUUUAAUAUUUCAGGAUAUUAAUUCAAGUCUGAUGUGCCUAUUUAGUAGAGCAAAAGUCCCUGUUUAAGAGUAGAUCUAGCAUAAUUAAGCGGAGUUGAAUGCAAUUCUAGACAUAGGAUGACGUAAAUCUGUCGGAUUAGAGUCAAAUCUAAUAAGGGAAUCCAUAGAUCGAGUUAAUGUGAUAAUAGAGAUUUUAAUUAGAAAGAUAUUUCAAUUAAUCAACCUAGAGUCAGUUGUUUUUAGUCUUGAGAGAGAUAUUAACAUAAAUCAGGGACUUUUGCUCUACUGAAUAAGCACAUCAAACUUGGAUUAAUAUCCUGAAAACAUUAAGGCAAGGAUUAAAAACACAUAAUUAAGAACAAGAACAAGUAUUUAUCAUGUAAUUCAGAUAAUUAAAUAAAAAGAUUCGUCAUAGGUUUCAUCCUCCCUAGGUAUUUAGGGAGUUUAGUUCAUCAUGUAAAAGGAAAACAUCUCAAAUUUAGAAAAAUAGCAAGACAUAAAAAACCCAAAUAAACUUCGAGAGAAAUUUGAAUGGAGAUUUUCAAUCUUGAAAUGGAUCUGCUUCCAGGAUUAUUCCAACGGCUUUCUUCGAAUAAUUUUUGCUUUCUUCUCCGUGUGUCCUUAGGUCUUCUUAUAGUGUGUUUAUAUAGAAUUUAGAAUGCUCAGAAACCCUAAAAAUUAGCUUUUUCUGCGUGUUUGGGAAAUAGGGAGCGAUAUCAACACGAGCAGGACACAUGGGCGUGUGACCAGCCCGUCUUGUAACGACACAAAAUUCGUGGGAUCGAAAAAGUACAUUAUCAGGCCUCCGUCUUAGCGAAACGAAGACAAAUCGAAGAAAAAUUCAUCCUAAUAGUAAUAUGAGAAAAUUACUUAAACACAAGACAUAAUUCAGAGAUUUUCUGAUAACCAUAUAAAUAAUCUCCCUACACUUAAGAUGUAUAUUGUCCUCAAUGUACGAAAAUAGAUAAUCACAGUAGAAAUAUAAAUAUCAUAAGAGAGGAAGAGAAUUGAAACUGUCCUGAAUAUUGGAUGAAAUUCCCAAAAUAGUGAAAAGCAGAAUUGUAGAUAAAUGUAGAGGUAGUGCAAAAUUCUGAGCAACUGAUAAGAAGAUAAAUACAAUACUGAAGAGGAUUAAGAAGGUUACUCGAUUAGAAACAAACAUAAUAAUUAAAAUAAAGUUCAAAAUAUAAAAACAAAAUAAAAAUAAAAAUAAAGAUAAAAAUAAAAAAAUAAACACAAAGAUAAAUGAACUCAAUGGUCCUCAUCAUCAGAUUGAACAAUGUCACGAGCCAGUGGCGCUGAAGGAGAAAUAUGAAAAUGCUGCUGCAAUGUGGCAUCAAUACUGUCAAACCUCUCAGCACAGUACUGAUGGAAACUGGUGAAUUCCUCGUAGGAUACUCCUCGAGAGCUAGUAGCAGAGGGAGUGUGUCGGUGACUCGAUGGUGGAGGCUAUGGUGGGUCCUCGUGAUAGGGAGGAACAUCAUCAGUGAAGUCCUCUAGGUCAUGCUGAACGUCAGACUGGACUAGUCUGUACUGAGGGGGGUCCACUCCAUGUCGCCGCUCGAUCAUCCUCAUGUGGAUCAUACUCGAGAUGCCCUGAAGGGACAUUUGACCAACUAGGGUGAGUGUCGAGGACUACUCCGAAGUGUUGAGAAGAUCGAAGUGUCGAGCGAGGCGAGUCACGUAAGGACUAGACAGAUGGGGCCCCUCUCAUGGCGGUCAAUAUGAUGGCGGAAAGAUAAAGCGAUAAAGUACGACAAAUCCAUAAUAUGGCCGUAGGCCAUGCUCCACAAGAAGUAUGCGUCAUGCGUGCUCACGACUCCAGUGCUCUCUCUCCGUCCUGUCAAUGUGUGAGCGAGGAGUGCGUGAAUAUAUCAUAGGGCCGGAGAGAGAGAAGUCGCCUUCAAGCGACUUGCGUCAUAUGGAGUCUGGCCACCGGUGAGAUCGGUCCAACAACGCGAAAGCGAGUGAUAGAUGUGUCGAUGAAGCUGAAGGAAGUCCUCGGCAGACAUGAACUCCUCUGUGUAGAGUCUCAAAGUAGCACCAAACUUGAUAAACCGUAAUUUAUACAUAUUUUUAUCCCAUGCUUAACAUGUUUUUGGAUGAUUUCUCCGUAGAAUUGGUGAAUUCGAUGCUCCUAAUCUUUUAAUUUCAUGUUUUAUACUUAGGUGAACUUAGGACAGUAAAAAGAGCGAGAAACGGGCCGAAAAUAGAGAAAAUGGGCUAACAUAAUAAAUCAAAACGGCCUGGACUUCCUCACAAGGGUAGACCACACGGUCGUGUCAGUUUGGCAGAAUCGAAACACGACUCACACGGGUAGACCAUACGCCCGUGCCUAUUUAACAUCCUCGACCACGGCUUGAAGCCUAUUGCACACGGGCGUGUCCCUGUCGAGCCCAAGUAUAGUCCUAUUUGAAAAAGGCCACUUUUGAGGGCUUUUAGGCAUUGUAAAACCCUAUAUAAACACCCUAGGACAAGAGGAGAAAGGGACGCAGGGUAGGAAGGAAUGAAUUACUCGAAGAAAGCCGAUUGAUCCAUCUCAAAAGCCGGAUUCACCUUCAAGACGGAAUAUCUCCUCUCAACUUCCCUUUAGGAGUUUUGGGUUUUCUUUAUGUUUUGUAUUCAUUAUUCUUCUGAGAUGUUUUAUUUUAUAAUUAUGAACUAAACCCCUAAAUACCUAAGGGGAAAGAAACCUAAGAUGAAUCUUGUUAUUAUUUAAUUCUUGCUUCAAUAUUUCAAAAUAUUUUUUCAAGUUUAUGCACUUAUUCGGAGGAGCAAAAGUCCCUGUCUAAGAGUAACUUUGACAUAAGUAAGCAGAGUUGAUUGCACGCCUAGACAUAGGGUGACAAGAUUUUGCCGAAUUAGGGUGAAACCUAAUAAGGGAAUCCAUAGAAUGAAUUAAUGCAACACUAGGGAAUUAAUUAGAAAAAGAUUUCAAUUAAUCAACCUAGGGUUAGAAAUUGUUAGUCUCGAUGGAGAUAAUAAUAUAACUUAGAGAUUUUUACGGAUCAAGUCAAAUGAAUAAAUCGUCCGAUUUAGAGUCAAAUAACAAGUAAGUCUAGGUGGAUUUUUCCUUGGGUAUUGUCUUAAUCAAUCAGUUUUUCCUAAAAGUAUUUUCCCCAAUUUUCUCUCUGUGCACCUUUAGUUUAGAUAAUUAGUUUAGAUAAACAAAUUUCUUAAUUUUUAGGCUAGAUAAUAACAAGAAAGUAAUUACUAGUACUUUUAGUUCUUUUGGGUUCGACAAUCCAGUCUUGCUAAAGCUAUACUACUGUUCGAUAGGUACACUUGCCUUUUAUCGUGAUAAUAGUUAGUUUCAAGAAUGAUUAAUUAUAAAUAUUUAAAACCUGUCGCGAAUAUCACAUAUCAAGUUUUUGGCGCCGUUGCUUGGGAACUAAGAUAUUAGGAACACUCAAUUUUUAUUACUUUAGCCAUUUAAUUUUAUUACAAUUUAAAUUUUGUUUUGAUUUUAUGUUACUAAAUUCUCUUUUUCCUUCUUCUGGCAGGUUCUUAUAGUUUAUGACUAGAAGAAACCCGUCAGGACCAUUACUCUUUGACGGUGAGAUCGAACGAACAGUUUGCAAAAACCAAAGAGAAAUAAAGUAAAGCUUAAGAUACACAGGGGAAGAGCAAGAGGACGAUAUUCAAACCACAACCGAGGAGAUGGCUGAAAAUCGGUAAAACCCGAUACCUCUUGCGAUUGUUGCUGAUCCAGUAAAUUAGAAUCCUACUCCACGCACUAUGUAUGAUUAUGCUAAACCUACUUUAACAGGAACUGAAUUGAGUAUAGUUAGACUUGCUAUUGCUGCAAAUAAUUUUGAAUUGAAACCUAACACAAUUCAAAUGAUACAACAGUUUGUUCAGUUUGAUAGUUUGCAGGAUGAUGAUCCAAAUACUCAUUUGGCGAAUUUUUUGGAAUUCUGCGAUACUUUUAAAAUUAAUGGCAUUUUUUACGAUGCCAUACGUCUUCAGUUGUUUCCCUUUUGGUUGAGGAACAAAGCUAAAUAGUGGUUGAACUGGUUACCACGAGGGUCAAUUACUACUUGGGAACAAAUGACUGAAAAGUUUUUAUUAAAAUAUUUUUCGCCGGCUAAAACGGCUAAAUUACAUAAUGAUAUCUCUUCUUUUGUGCAGAUAGAUUUAGAAACAAUUUACGAUGCAUGGGAGAGAUACAAGGACCUCUUAAGAAGAUGCCCUCACCAUGGGUUAGCACUCUGGCUACAGGUUCAAACGUUUCACAAUGGCCUAAACCCCUCGACUCGACAAAUGGUUGACGCAGCCGCUGGUGAAUAACAAAACAACUGAAGAGGGUUACGAAUUUAUAGAAGAAAUGUCACUGAAUAAUUAUCAGUGGAAAGUUAUGAGGACAAAACUGACGAAAGCAGCAGGUGUUUUUAACUUCGAUUCAGUCACUAUGCUCUCAAAUCAGGUAGAACUUUUCAAUAAGGAAAUUGGCAGUUUACUUAGUUCUCCACAGGUACAGCCAAUGAUGAGAUGUGAUUCAAACGGAGGAGGAAUAUACACAAAUGAUCCAACAUUCAAAACGAAGGAUGAGUAUACACAAAUGAUCCAACAUUCAAUCCUAGCACCGAGGAGGAACAAGUUCAAUCUAUGGGUAAUAAUAAUUCUAGACCUCAAAAUAACCCAUACAGUAAUACUUAUAAUGCAGGUUGGAGGAACCACCCCAAUUUUUCAUGGGGAGGUCAAGGGAAUCCAAGGUCACAAGAUCCUCCAAGUUUUCAACAACCUCCUUACCAGUAGGAAAAGAAGCCGAACCUUGAAGAGAUGCUCACAAAAUUUAUCUUGGUGUCAGAAACUCGUUUUCAGAAUACUGAAACAGCACUUAAAAAUUAACAAGCGUCAAUCUAAAGACUCGAAACUCAAAUAGGACAGCUUGCCAAGUUGAUUUCUGAACGACCACAAGGUAGCCUGCCAAGCAACACUAAAUCUAACCUAAUGGAGCAACUCAAUGUGAUUACUACUCAAAAUGGGGAAGGAUUAGUUACACUAGAACCAGAACCAAGGCAAGAAACUGUGGUAAGAAAAGGUAAAGGUGAAGCAGGCCACAAUGAGUAGAAAUCGGUAAGUGCAGAAUACAAACCUCGUGUGCCCCCUCAGACAAACAAUUUGGUAAAUUUCUCAAACUAUUAAAGAAAUUACAUAUUAACUUCCGUUUAUUGAAGCUUUUUCGCAGAUAUUGAAUGCAGUCAAAUUUUUAAAGGAGCUUCUAGCAAAUAAAAGGAAGUUAGAUGAAGCGUCGCAUGUGGAGCUAAACGCAGUUUGCUCAGCCAUUCUACAGAAUAAGCUGCCCAACAAAUAAAAAGAUCCAGGGAGUUUUACGAUUCCUUGUUUAAUUGGUAGCUUAGAUGUUAAUAAUGCGUUGGUUGAUUUAGGGGCUAGUAUUAAUGUCAUACCUUAUAAAAUGUUUAAGCAACUAGGUCUUCGGAAACCCAAACAAACUAAGAUGAGUAUUCAAUUAGCAUACAAAACUAUUAGAUUUCCUAGGGGUAUUAUUGAAUAUGUACUUGUUAAAAUUGACAAAUUUAUAUUCCCAGUUGAUUUUGUUGUUCUAGACAUAGAAGAGGACAGUAACACUCCUUUAAUUUUAGGAAGGCCCUUUUUAGUAACUGCCAGAACAAUUAUUGACGUUGGCACAGGUGAACUCACACUUCGUGUGGGAGAUGAAACAAUCACCCUUCAAGCUCGUAAUUCGAGUAACACAUUGAAAAUUGAAGGUGAUUGUACAGAUCGUUCUACUAAAACUGACCAUAUGGUGCAACCUACUUUCCAGGAAAUAAGUUUGAAAAGCAUGCAUGAGCCAUGUUUAAGCAACAACAAAGGACCCAUCUAUAAAGAACGGAGGCUACAGAUUGAGGAAUUAGAUGAAUGGCGGACACAGAAACUGAGAACACUCGAUAGACCAAAACCAAGCCAAGAUGAACUCAAUUUCUUACCAAAUCAACUUAAGGUUGGAGACAAAGUACUACUAAAUGUAGCAGAUCCCUGUAUUGCUACUACUGAACCUAAUGGAACAACCCCUCUUACGGUACUUAGCAUUUUCCCAUUCGGUACAGUCGAAGUAAUUCAUACCAAAUUUGACACUUUUAAGGUAAAUAGUACCUAUCUGAAACCUUAUUUUGGUAAGAAUGAUAGCAGGAAUGAGGAGUGUGAAUUCCUCGCACCACCUUGACCACGCAACAAGAGAGGUAAGUCGAGCUUAGACUAUAAACAAGCGCCUCUCGGGAGGCAACCCGAGCACUAACAUUAUUAACCAGUUCAUUCUUUUUCUUAGUGUUUUCUGUACAAGAAGAGUAAACCAGUGCGACAUGGCCGUGGGUAAGACUGUCAAAUCAACACAAGCGGGUGACACGUCCCGUGCCUACAAGCUGUGGUUUAAACUGAGAAAUUAACACUGGCGUGUGAUACGCCCGUACCCAACACCCGUGGUCGACACUGUCAAACUAACACUGGUGUGGGCCUUCAUACAAGGGUGUGGGAGAAGCGAAUAACAUCGCACAUGGUUGUGCGAUACGACCGUGCAAACCACACGGCCGGGACACAUGGGCAUGCCUUCAGGCCGUGUUAGACAAUAAAAGUUCAUGAUACACACGGGCUAAACUCGAACCACACGGGCGUGUGACACGACCGUGUGGCCCAAGUCUAUUUAUUUUAAUUUUAUUUCCCUUCAUUUAUUUUAUUAUUUUUCAUACUUCGCUUAUAUUUAUGGUUAUUUUCGAAUUAUUCCUUAAUUCUCUUCCAAAGUAGUGUUUAUUUUCUCAGAAUCAAGCCUUUCAUUAGCCUUAUUUACAAUUCCUAUUUUUUCUCUUCCAAGGAUUUCAUCCGAAAAUUCAGGGCAGUUUCGUUUUUCUCCCUCUAUCUUUUGAUAUUCUCUUUACAUCACUAUUAUAUAUCUUUGUACAUUGAUGACAAUGUACAUCUUAAGUGUGGGGGGAAUAUAUAUAUAUCUAUAUCAUAAAAUCCCUGAAUGUUGUCUUAUUCUCAUGUGAUCUUCUCAUAUCACUAUUAGAAUGAAUUUUGAUUAAUUUAUAAUUUUUAUUAAUAUGUCUUAAAUUAAAAUAUAGGCAUUCAUACAUUGAUUGUUUAAACUUUAAGACAUUAGAGAAUCAAGCAUGAUAAGUUGAUUUUUGAGAAUUAAAUGUUUUAGGUUGUUUCCCCAAGUUUAGAUAUUAUCUUGAAUUGAAAUUCAUAGUUUUAAACAUCAAAAGCCAUAAUUUUUAUGAGAUUUUGAGCCUUUAGAGCAUCUAUUAUUUCUUUUAUGCUCACUUUUAUUAUUGCUAUGAGUGUGUCAAUAUUGAUUUGUUAUUCUAGAACUUGCUUGAUUAUGCAUGUCAAGACCACACCAUUUGAUUUGAUAUGUCAAAAUGAUAAAGGCACCUAGAUUUAACCCACUUACUCCAUAAAAAGCCUACCUUCACAAUUAACCCUUAGUGAACCCCCUUGAGCCUAACAAGCCAUUCCUGGAUGUAUCCCCAAUAUUAACCCAUAACUCAUUAUUUUUGAAAUCCCUUCAAUUAAUUUGAUCUCUAUUUUUGUCGAGAUUUGAUUUGAAUAAAUUGCUCAGCUAUGUUUUUAGUUAUCCUAUUUUUUCUUAAAAAAAACAUACAUAUAUACAUAUUAGUAGUAAUCUUUCGAGCUUAAGUAUUUAAUUCCAUAUUCUGAGAUGAAGCUCAUUUUUAUUCAAGUGUAAUUUGUAUUUUUCUAGUUAGGUACUUUUUCAAUUCAAUCUUGAUUCUAACCUUUUCUUUCAACUUGUGACAAUACCCCCUAACCGAAGCCACGUUACAACCCUUUAAAGACCUUUUGAUUGAUGUAUCAUCUCAAUAUAUAGUGGUGGAGAUUUGAUUUUCAUGCAAGCCUAUGGUAAUAACUUUUCAUAUUGGCUAAUGAGUGCUAAUUUUCUUGUCCUUAAACACCUCGAGUGAUUUGAAUGAAUCUUUAGUGAUGAUGUUAAAUCAAAGGUAAUUACUUAGACUAGUGGAGACACCUAUGUUUUCGUACUAAAAUGCUCAACUUGGAAUGUUUGAAACUUUGAUGAUUUUUAGUUGAAUUUUCAAUGUAUGAUUACUUAUAAAUUAGUUUGAGAUAUUAUCGAUAAGAAUUAUAAGUUGAGAAGAAUUUACUUUGAUUGUAAGUUAAGAGUUUUGCUUGAGGACAAGCAAACGCUUAAGUGUGGGGGUAUUUGAUAAAUCGUAAUUUAUACAUAUUUUUAUCCUAUGCUUAGCACGUUUUUGGAUGAUUUCUCCUUAGAAUUGGUGAAUUCGAUGCUCCUAAUCCUUUAAUUUCAUGUUUUAUACUUAGGUGAACUUAGGAGAGUAAAAAGAGCAAGAAACGGGCUGAAAAUAGAGAAAAUGGGCCAACAUAGGAAAUCAACACGGCCUGGGCUUCCUCACACGGGUAGACUACACGGCCGUGUCAAUUUGGCUGAAUCGAAGCACGACUCACACGGGUAGACCACACACCGUGCCUAUUUAACAGCAUCAACCACGGCUUGAAGCUUAUCGCACACGGGCGUGUCCCUGUCGAGCCCAAGUAUAGUUCUAUUAGGAAAAUGCCACUUUUAAGGGCUUUUAGGCAUUCUAAAACCCUAUAUAAACACCCUAGGACAAGAGGAAAAAGGGACGAAGGGUAGGAAAGAAGGAAUUACUCGAAGAGAGCCGAUUGAUCCAUCUCAGAAGCCAGAUUCACCUUCAAGACGGAAGAUCUCCCCUCAACUUCCCUUCAAGAUUUUUGGGUUUUCUUUAUGUUUUGUAUUCAUUAUUCUACUAAGAUGUUUUAUUUUAUAAUUAUGAACUAAACCCAUAAAUACCUAAGGGGAAUAAAACUUAAGAUGAAUCUUGUUAUUAUUUUCUGGAUUGUAUGAUAAAUAUUUGACUUGUUCUUAAUUAUGUGUUCUUAAUUCUUUCUUCAAUAUUUCAGGAUAUUUUUUCAAGUUCAUGCGCUUAUUCGGAGGAGCAAAAUUCCCUGUCUAAGAGUAACUUUGUCAUAAUUAAGCGGAGUUGAUUGCACGCCUAGACAUAGGGUGACAAAAUUUUGCCGGAUUAGGGUGAAACCUAAUAAGGGAAUCUAUAGAACGAAUUAAUGCAACACUAGGGAGUUAAUUAGAAAGAGAUUUCAAUUAAUCAACCUAGGGUUAGACGUUGUUAGUCUCGACGGAGAUAAUAAUAUAACUUAGGGAUUUCUACGAAUCAAGUCAAAUGAAUAAAUCAUCCAAUUCAAAGUCAAAUAACAAGUGAAGUCUAGGUGGAUUUUUCCUUGGGUAUUGUCUUAAUCAAUCAGUUUUUCCUAAAAGUAUUUUCCCCAAUUUUCUCUCUGUGCACCUUUAGUUUAGAUAAACAAAUCUCUUAAUUUUUAGGCUAGAUAAUAAAAAGAAAGUAAUUACUAGUACUUUUAGUUCCUUUAGGUUCGACAAUCUGGUCUUGCUAAAGCUAUAUUACUGUUUGAUAGGUACACUUGCCUUUUAUCGUGAUAAUAGUUAGUUUCAAGAACGAUUAAUUAUAAAUAUUUAAAACCUAUCGUGAAUAUCACGUAUCAGAACUCUGGGACGCUCAUAUGUCGCACCAAACCACCGAGGCAAAAAGUGAUGGUACCUGGCUCAUCAUGGACCGAGAUGACCUGCUGGACCGAAAAUGUAGCGCAGAGCUCUAAGGUAAACUCCGUGUAAGUGGGCUCGAUGAUGGUGAAGAACCUAUGUGGCAAUAAUCGCGCGCACAUCAUCAGCCAAAUGGACCUACUCUAGUACGGCCCAAUCAAUGCAUCAACCCAAACCUAGUGGUCGUACUCGAUGUAGCUGGUAUAAAUCCUCCUGUGGACCUGCCGCAAAUCGAAGGUAGGGGUAGCGAGCCUCGGCAGAUGCGAUCAGGGAUGAGGUCGAGCCGAGGCCCUUCCGCUUUUCCGAAGCGGGGACUGGGACUUUAGAUUUGCCUCGUGUGUUCGUCAUAGUGUGCCUGAAAAGUAAAAGAAUGUAUCAAUAAUUGCAUCACAAAAUAAAAUCCAAGUAGUCCUAAAUAAGAAAUUUCUCCUAAAACAGUAUGUUUGAAUACUAAAGCAUGCAAAAAAUAGAAAGUGCAAUUAGCAUGAAUCAAAGUGGUGAAAAUACUAGGAGUAUAAAAUCAAAUAACAAGAUCAUAAAAUACAGAUUUUAAAAGUACAAGCAGGGAUAAAUAACUAAAUCAAAGAAUAAUAAUAAUUGGAACAAUGAGCAAGGAAGUCAACAGACUAACUAAUAAUGAAUCGUAAUAAUGGCAGUAAACAAAUAUUAAGUGAAUAAAUGAAGAAAAACUAAGAAUAAACAAUAAUAGAGAAUAAACAAAAGAGAAAUAAAAUAAAAUAAAAUAAUUAAUAAUAAUAAUUAAAAAUGAAGACAUAAUAAAGCAAAUAAGAUAAUAGGUAGAAGAGGGGACCGACGGUGGUAGUUUCUAGACGAUAACGAUGGUAGUUUCUAGAUGAUGACGAUGGUGCGGGACGGCGGUGGUUAUGGUUGGGGCUGGUCGGUGGAGGGAGAAUGGGGAAGGGAAUGGUUCGGUCUAGGGAGAGGGAGGAGCUGGGAGGUUUGUGCUAGGGCCGGCCAAGUGUAAGUUGAGAGGGGGGUUUGGGUGAGAUUUUAAGUGGCUGGUCGCGGCUGGUGUGGGCUGGCUGGGGGUUGUAUGUGCCAGAGGGUUUGAGUAGAGUAGAGGGGUUGCUUGUUUGUCAUGGAGGUGGCGUGGGUGAAGGCCGACGGGGGUGUCAUGAGGUGGGGGACAGGGUCGUGGGUGUCGUGGGUUUUAGGAUAUGGGACUAGGGAAAGGUGGGAAAGAAAAAAGGGAAGAAGAAGGGGAACUGAGGGAAUAGGGCGACCGAAUCGAGGGAGUAUGGCGACGGUUGGAGAGAAUGGGUUGUCGAUGGUGGUCGAACGGUGAGCAAGGAGAAUGAGCGGCAGCUAAGGGUGAAAGUUGGAGGAAAAAGACAAACUAAAAAAAAAUUCAAAAGGGAUUUAGGGUUUAAAAGGGGACACGAUCGUGUUAGGUUCGUGUUGGGCCACACGGUCGUGUCACACAUCCGUGUGGUCUCUAUUUAGCCCGUGUGCGUUCAAUAAUCCACUUGUAUUGCAUUGCAUCACCGGAUGUACCUGUAACAGACGUGUGCCCCUAAUUGGGUGCUAACAUCAGAAACAAAAUGUCAAGGUUUUUAGACACAGGCUAGGACACGGGCGUGUUAUGGCCGUGUGAGGGAUACGGGCGUGUCAUGGCCGUGUGAGGGACACGGGCCAUGGACACAAACGUCUGUCAAGCUGUGUGAAAACCCCUAUAGGUUUGAAUUUAGAAUUUAAUUCAUACGGGCUCAGGACACAAGCGUCUCCCCUUGUGCUUAAGCCGUGUGACCCGCAUGGGCCAUUAGCAUGGCCAUGUCAUAAUGACUACACAGGCGUGUUGCCUUUCCAUACGGGCGUAUGUCCUGCUUCAAGGAGUAUUUUUCAAAAGUUUUUAAAGAUGUUGGGAUUAAUCCCGGGAUAUUUCCAAAGCGUGAUUUGGGCCUCAUAGGCCCAAAUUAAGAGCUUCUUGAUUAAAAAGGAAAAGUUUUAAAUUAGACCUAGUUCUUAUAACUUGAAAUUGAUUGUAUACAUGUGUUUAAGUGUGGUAACGCCUCGUAUUCCAUCCUAACAUAGGGCACGGGUGUGGGGUGUUACAUUUAGUGGUAUCAGAGCUAUGGUUUAGUCGCUUCUAGGACUAACCUAGCAUGAGUACCAGUCUAGCUAUACAUGCCAUAGUUGUAUAUUGAUAGUGUGACGACUCCUAACGAUUAUAAAUUAUGUUUUCAAAUAGUAAAUGGAUCCUGACGUAGCUACGGCAGAUGAUGUGGAGAGUAAUACGUCGGCUCUCGCUAAAGGGACUGUGCCAACAGAUAGUAGGCCCGUGACAUUGAGUUAGGUCAGAGGGGCUAGAGAGGCUUACCUCCACAUAAUGGACGCGUGGUAUUCGGAGUUCAUUCGCGUGAAUCUGAAUACUCAACCUCUCCCACCUCCCCCAAAUUCCUCAACCCGUUCAUAUAGCUCCUCAAGAAGCAGAAAUGGCCAGAAGAGAGAAACCUCUAGUAGAUAGAAUUAGAAAGCAAUGGGCCGAGGAAUUUCGGGCGAAUAUUGAUGAUGACCUAGAGAGAGCAGAGUUUUGACUAGAAAAUACCAUUAGACUCAGCCUACCAAUGGUGGAACACCGUUGUGUCGGUUGUAACAGGGAAAGGAUUACAUGAGAGUUUUUCCAAGAGGAAUUUCCAAAGAAGUAUAUCAAUCAAAGGUUUAUAGAUCAGAAGAGGAAGGAAUUUCUAGAAUUGAAGCAAGACCGAAUGAUACUAACAGAGUAUGAGCAUGAGUUCGUGACGCUCAGCAAGUACAUUAGGGAGUGCGUAUCUACCGAAGCCGUCAUGCCCAAGAGAUUUGAGGACGAAUUAAAUGAAGACAUCUGAUUAUUAGUUGGCAUCUUAGAAUUGAAGGAAUUUGUGGUGCUCGUGGAGAGAGCAUGUAAAGCCGAGGAAUUGGCCAAAGAGAAGAGAAAAGCUGAUAUCGAGUCCCGAGACUCAAAGAAAAGAUAGAUAGGGAAAUCACAUCAAACCUUAUCCAAGAGAUCGAGAGAGUUCACUACCCGAUCAAAUGCUUCAGUGGGAUUUUCAAGUAGAAACAAGAACAAGCAGUACACGACGUCCAAAGCCCAAACCACUUCUAUCGCGAGUGCUCGGCCAAAUAGGCUGGAGUGUUUGCAAUGUGGUAGGCGUCAUUUCAGUGAGUGCCGAGGGAAUGAGAGGGGUUGCUUCAAAUGCAGAUCACUAGACCACUUCAUCCGAAACUGUCCCGAAUUAGAAGAUAAAGAGAAAAAGCUACAUAUGAGGGUGAGUAGUGCUCCUUCAAGGGGUAGACCACAGAAGAACCUGGGUAGUGGGGCUAGCAGCAGAGGUGCUCCUAGAGAUUUAGUUGUGAGGUCCGAGGGUUGAGCACCUACAAAGACUUAUGCCAUUCGCACUCGCGAAGAGGUAUCUUCACCAGAUGUGAUUACGGGUACUUUUUCUCUUCAUGAUAUUUCUAUUAUUGCUUUAAUUGAUUUGGGAUCUACCCAUUCUUAUGUAGUACCCAGUAUGAAUAUGCUAGUUUGAACCUACUAAAACUGUGGUGAAAGUGUUUGACCCAUUAGGCAAACAUGUGUUGGUAGACCAAGUAUGUGACAGCCCAAUUUUCAGUGGUGUCGGAAACAGUGAUUUGAGAUCACUAAAUCCGACAAGUAUGUGUGAAAAUUUAAUAAAUUAAUAAUUAUGAGUCAAGUGUGAAUUUAGAAGAAUUUUUGAAUUAGUGAAUUUUGUGUUUAAAAAAAGAGAAAAAAGAAUUUAAUAAGUAAAUUGGGUCUAAAACGAAGAUCGAGACCUCAAAUGCAUAAGUUGAGCCAUAAAUAUUUUUAUAAAUAUUUAUGGAGUGUCAUUGAGAUAGUAUUAAAGUUUUGUUAGAAAAUUUUAACGUUUGGAUAGUCAAUUAAUUAAAAAGGACUAAAUUGAAAAAGGUGCAAAACUUGCUAAAAUGAUUAAAUAGCUCAAGUGUUAAAUGAAGGAGGACUUAAGAGGAAAAUUAGCCUAAAGGGAAUGGAUGAGGUGGCAUAAGCAAGAAAAAAAUCUAGAAUUAGGUGAACUAAGGGUAAAAUGGUAAAUUUCACAAAAUUAAACAAAAAAAUUGAAAUUGAAAGAGAUUUCUAGGCCAUUCUUCUCAUAAUUUCGGCCAGACAGCCAUGGGAGAGAACUUUUAAGCUGGUUUUGCACAAUUUUACUGCAUGUGAGUUUAUUUCUUGCCCUUUUCUUAUAAUUUUUGUAUUUUUCAAACUUUUACAAUUAGGUCUAACUAUCUAAUUCAUUAGUUUUUGAUUUUAUGGGUGACUUUAAAAGUUACCAUGAAUAAGUUCUGUAUGAUUAUGGUGAAUUAUUAUGGAAUUUAAGAUCUUAUUUUAUUAUAUGAUGAUUUUAUUAAGUGAUUUUGAUAGAAAUUGAAUUUAGGACCUAAUUGUGAAAAAGUUGUGAAUUAAGGUUUUGUGCUAAAAUUAUGAUAUUCAAAGGUUUUGUAGUAGCUUAGAAUGAAUAAAUAAAGUGUUAAUUGAGAAAAAUUAGCUCAAUUGAUGGGUUAAUUGAACAGGGACUAAAUUGUAAAAAAUUGUAAAAUUUGGGGCAAAAGUAUAAUUUUAGGAAUUAAAGGGUAUGAACUGUGAAGUAGAGUAAAAUUGAAAUGAAUGCUAAUAAAUGAAUGAUUUUAUAAUUAUAGAUCAAGAACCCGAAGUGAAUCGUGGAAAAGAGAAAAUAGUCGAUUAGUCCCUGAACUUGUAUGACUUUUGUGAAUUUGCCAAGGUAAGUUCAUAUGAUUUUUAAUAAUGCAAUGUGUAAUUUAAUGUUUUGAAAUGAAAAUUUCAUGAAUGAUAUAGUAUAUUAUUGCAUAUAAAAUGCCUUUAAACUAUGAUAGUUGUAAAAUGAUAUUUGAAUAAAAGUACAAAUUAAAUGAAACGACGGACUUGAGUACUUUCAUUCAGUGGCUAAGACGAAUUGACGGAAAAGACCAUGGUUGGACCAUGGCAACAUGUGAAAUGUGAUUUCUGUAUAAGACCAUAGCUAGGCUAUGGCAUCAGAGAGAUGUGAUAUAUGCUUUCGUAUAAGACCAUAUCCGGGAUAUGGCAUCGGUGUGAUAUGUGCUACUAUAUAAGACCAUAUCUGGGAUAUGGCAUCAGUGUGAUAUGUGAUCCGUGUAAGACCAUGAUUGGGCUAUGGCCUCGGUAUGUGAUAUGUGACUAUGUGCAAGACCAUAAUUUUACUAUGGCAUUGUGAUAAUGAGGUACUCAAUUCCGUAAUCGUUCCCUAAUUUGAUUAUGAACGAAAUUGUGAAAUGGUCCAAAAGGAUUAAGAAUUGGUGAAUAUUAUGAAAAUGACAUGAUUUGGAAUAAGUUCUUGAUACUUAAUGACAUUGAGAUUAUGGAUCUAUGUUUAUCAAGCAUAAUUAUGUGUGCUUACCAUGAUGGAUGAAAUGAUAUUGUAUGGAUUUAGUGAAUAAUAGUGGUGAAUGAAUAAAUAUGGCCUUGGCAGUUUUGGGUUACUGCAGUAGUGUAAAUUUGGAAAUUCACCAUAAAUUGUGGAAAUUGAGUUAGGGGCUGAAUAAAAUAUGAUAUUAAAUCCUGAUGAGUCUAGUUUCACAUAGAGGAAACGGUUCAUGCAAUUGGAUUUUAUGUUAUUAGAUAUUUAAAUUGUUGUGAGACAGAGUCUGAAUGACUUCGAGAUCCCCUGUUCAGAUUUUAGAAAAUCAUUAUAAAUUUUACAAAAAUACUUAUGAGUUCUAAUUUAUAUGCUUAGAAUCCUUAAUGGGUUUAUUUUAAAAAAAAUAUAUACGAGAACAUUAUACGAGUCCUGUGCUAUGAGAUAAUUGAACUUAGUGUAGAAGGGUCAGAACUGUCAUACAGUGAAUCAGGGGUAACUUUGAGGAAUAAGCUAUACUAAUUGGCUAAGCCAAAAAUUCUAUAAAUUUUAUGGUAGAAAGGUAUAUGAGUCUACUUUCAGGGAAAAUUAACAAAAACUUAAUUUGAAGUUUCGUAGCUCCAAAUAUAAAUAUUUUAUUGACUAUUGUUCAAGAAGACAGCUUAUCUGAACUUGAGAAUAUGUUGGGAACAUUGAUAAAAUCUGUUAAUGAGUUGCUUAUUGUUUUCAUAUGAACUUACUAAGCGUAAAGCUUACCUCUCCUCUCCACUUCUUCAGUUUUGGCAGGUCGGCUCGAGGUUGGAGAUCAUCGGAGGCAGCAUCACACUAUCAAGCUAUUAUUUUUUUGGGGGAAUUGUUUCAAAUAUUAGAAACGUCAAGUGAGUGGCAUGUAUAGGAAGUUAGUUUUAUGACAUGUAUUAUUAUGGUUUGGUCAAACAUAUUGGACCUUAAUCACUGUGGUAGUAAGUUUAAUUAUUUAUGUCUUGUUGUAUGUCUAUGAAUAGGUGGGUACAUGUAAGGUGACAAAGGCUUGGUAAAUAGCCUAAUACUGCCCACACAGUCUGAGCGCACGGACGUGUGUCUCGGCCGUGUGUCAAUUAUAGAAUCGGUAGUGAGCUCCACGGGCACGGAACACAGGAGUGUCCAUAGCACACGGGCGUGUGUUCUACCUUCACACGGGCCUGUGGAGCCUUAAAGUAUGGAUUUUUUAAAACUUUUCGUAAGUUCUCGGUUUAGCCUCGAAAUUAUUCCAAAGAAUGUUUUGGGCUCCGUAGACUUAAAUAAGGGAUGUUAUGCAUGUCUUUGGAAAGUUUUAGAUUAAACGAAAUUGUAUGGCUCGGUUUUACUUGUAUGUGUAUGUUUAAGUCCGGUAGCACCUCGAACCCUAUCCCGACAUCGGAUGCGGGCGAAGGGUGUUACAAAGUAUGUAGAAACUGUCCCUUGACAAUUAGAGGUCAUUAUUUUCUGACUAACCUUAUGUUGUUGCUGUUUGAUGAAUUCGAUGUAAUCCUCGGUAUGGACUGGUUGACUUCUCAUAGGGUUAUAAUGGAUUGUGGACGAAAAAUCAUCAAGUUGAAAUGCAAAAAUGGGGAUGUCCUCCGGGUUGAACAGGGUGAAUAGGAUAACUCACCUGUAAUAGUAUCGUCUGUGACUGCGAAGAGAUAGUUGAGAAAAUGAUAUGAGUCUUACCUUGCAAUUGUGUUGAAUACUCAAGCGUCGAAAGUGAAAAUUGAGACAGUGCCUGUGGCAUGUGAGUACCUGGACGUGUUUUCGGAAUAGUUGCUGGAUUGCCUCCAACUAGGGAAGUUGAGUUUGGUAUCGAGUUGGUCCCUAGUAUGGCGCCUAUCUUGAUUGUUCCGUAUAGGAUAGCUCCUAUGGAGCUAAAGGAGUUAAAAGUUCAACUACAAGAGUUAACAGACAAGGGUUUUGCGAGACCGAGUUUUUCUCCGUGGGGUGCCCCAGUGCUAUUUGUGAAGAAAAAGGAUGGAUCGAUGAGAUUAUGUAUAGACUGCAGACAACUCAACAAGGUGACUGUGAAGAACAAGUAUCCUUUGCUAAGGAUCGAUAAUUUGUUCGAUCAGUUUAAGGGAGCUACCGUGUUUUCUAAAAUCGACUUAAGGUCUGGCUAUUACCAACUAAGGGUUAAAGAGCAAGAUGUACCGAAAACCGCAUUUAGGACGAGGUGUGGGCACUAUGAGUUUCUAGUUAUGCCCUUCGAUUUAAUGAAUGCCUCUGCGGUAUUCAUGGAUCUGAUAAACCUUAUUUUUUGGCCGUAUUUGGAUAAAUUCGUGGUGGUUUUUAUCGACAACAUACUAAUUUACUCACGUGAUGAGAGUGAACACGCAGAGAAUCUGAGAACGGUUUUACAAACCUUGAAAGAUAAGCAGUUAUAUGCCAAGUUUAGUAAGAGUGAAUUUUAGCUUAAAGUGGUCGGAUUCCAGGGACACGUCGUGUCGGGAAAUGGAAUCAGAGUUGACCCAAGAAAGAUCUCGGCUAUUGUUGAGUGGAAACGCCUAGGAUGUGUCAGAGAUUCGAAGCUUUUUGGGUUUAGCUGGGUACUAUAGAAGAUUUGUGAAUGGAUUCUCUAUGAUAGCUACUCCGAUGACAACGCUGUUACAAAAGGAUGAGAAGUUUGAAUGGACAAAGAAGUGCCAACAGAGUUUUGAGAAAUUAAAGACUUUGUUGACUGAGGCUCCAGUUCUGAUGCAACCAGAACCGGGGAAAGAAUUCGUGGUAUGCAGCGACACCUCCUUAAAUGGAUUGGGGUGCGUGCUCAUUCAAGAAGGCAAAGUUAUAGCAUAUGCCUCGAGAUAGCUAAAGUCACACGAGAAGAAUUACCUGACGCACGAUUUAGAGUUGUCUACCAUCGUGUUCGCGUUGAAAAUUUGGAGACACCAUUUGUAUGGCGAGAGAUGUCGAGUGUUCUGAUGACUUAAAAGGAUUUGAAUCUACGGCAACGAAGGUAGCUAGAGUUGAAAAAGGAUUACGAGUUGGUGAUUGACUACCACUCGGGGAAAGCGAAUGUAGUCACUCAUACAUUGAGUAGGAAAUCAUUGUUCGCCUUGAGGGCUAUGAAUACUCAAUUGACCAUGUCUGAUGAUGGUUUGAUUCUAGUCGAGAUAAGAGCUAGACCUACAUUCCUUCAAGAAAUCUGUGAAGCUCAGAAAUGUGACAAGGAUUUACACGCUAAGAUGGCUCAGUGUGAGUCGGGUGAUGAAUUAGAUUUUUGGAUUAAUACCGACAGCUGCUUGAUGUUCCAAGAUAGGGUUUGUGUACCCAAAGAUAAUGAGCUUAUUCAGAAGAUUUUACUAUAGGCACAUAGUGGUUGCUUGUCUAUCCGUCCGGGUAGUGUGAAAAUGUAUAACAACUUGAAGAAGUUGUAAUGAUGGUCGGGGAUGAAAAGAGACAUUUCUGAGUUUGCUUCUAAGUGUCUAGUUUGUCAACAAGUGAAGGCCGAACACCAAGUACCCUCGGGUCUACUUCAGCUUGUGAUGGUUCCCAAGUGGAAAUAAGACCGAGUAACCAUGGAUUUUGUGUCGGGGUUACCUUUGACACCAAGGAAAAAGGAUUCAAGAAUUAUACUUACCUAAUAUUUUCAAUACAAUACAAUAAACAUUCCUAUAUCCAUUCAAUGCAUUAUUACCCUAACAUGCACAAACUCAACAUUCAAGUUAGUACAAUAAUUUCCAUGUACCAAUAAUAUAUACCAUGAUUGAUGAGCUCAUCAAUACCAUGAUUUUCAUUUCCUUGUUAUUUUUUCAUAUUUAUCCCGUUGAAUUUAUUGGAAUUUCGAUGGAUUUUUCAGAGGUACACUUUUAGUGUACAAUUCCAGGUCCGUCAAAUCAUAUUCAUGUGCGCGCAUUUCCAUUUCAGAGAGCACACUCCCGUGAACCUCAACAUUGCAGCGGGAUUACCAGUCCAGGCUAAAUCCCCUGCAAUAUAAACUCAUAGAGUAUUGUCGGGAUUACCAGUCCAAGCUAAAUCCCCUGCAACGACAAUUACUCUAAUGAGCUUGAAUCUGAAUUACCAGUCCAAGCUAAAUUCAGACCCUAAUUCGGAUUACCCGUCUGGGCUAAAUCCAUUUUCCACAUAUUCUUCGGGAGGGCUAUAUCAGGAUAGGAUCACCCGUCCGGGCUAGAUCCUUUUUACCGUCAAUUCAUUUUCAAAGAUCCAUCGAAUUUUCCUUUCAUUCAACCGAGAUUUCUUCCCCUUUUUAUCAAAUAUAUCAAUGUUUCAUUAAUUUUCAUACAAUGAACAUUCAAAUCAUAUUCACAUCAAUAACAUACAUUUCAAGCAUUUAAUAAUAUAAUUCAAGUUACAGGAACUUACCUUGAUACUUGUUCCUGUACAAAAAUCUAUUAAUCCCAAACUUUUUCCUUUCCUCGAUCCAGCUUCGUAUUUGAAUCUUCUGGAUCUAGAUUUAAUUAUCAAUUUAAUACAUUUCAUGUUCAUAUGCAACAUUCUCUAUAAUUUCAUUAUUAUUUAUAGUUCAUUCAAAGCUGCCUACUUGAGUCAUAGUCACUAAAUUAUUUUUAUCUUGAGCUACAGAAUUCCAAAUUAGGAUACACUAAUUUUCCCUGAAACUAGACUCAAAUAUCUUCUUACCAUAAAAUUUUCAGGAUUUUUGGUUUAGCCAAUAAGUACAGUUUAUUCUUUAAAUUCACCCAUGUUCUGUUGUAUGACAGCUCUGACCCUUCUUCACUAAAAAUUAAUUAUCUCUUCAUACAUGAUUCAAAUGAUAUUAUUGUUUAUUUAUCUUGAAAUUAAACUCAUUUAAAAUUCUAAACAUAUAAAUUUAAGCCCCUAAUUAUUUUUCUUUAAUUUUUUAUGAUUUUUCAAAUUUAGAACAGGGGAACUCAAAUUCAUUCUGACCUUGUCUCACAAAAUUUAUUAUAUCUAAAAAUUUACAAAUCCAUUGCUUACACAGUUUAUUCUAUGAGAAACUAGACUCAAUAAGAUUUAAUUCAAUAUUUUUUUCAUCUUCUAAUUCGAUUUCUAAAAUUUAUGGUGAUUUUUCAAAGUUAGUCUACUGCUGCUGUCCAAUAUUGUUUUAGUGCAAGCUGUUUAUUACCAUUUUUCCCCUAAGCUUUUAAUAAAUGAUAAUUUCGUCCCUACUCAAUUAGCCUCUCAAUUGAGCUUAUUUUUAUCAAUUAAAACUUUAUUCUAUCACCUUAAACUAGUUUACAGCCUUUAGGAAUUAGAAUUUCAGCAAUAGACUUUAAUUCCAAAGAUUUUCACAAUUAGGUCCUAAAAAUCAAUUUCCAUUGAAAUUACCUAAUAAAAUCAUCUUAUAAACAAAUUAAAGCUUUAAUUUCAUUCUACUUCAUCAUAAACUUACAGCACUCAACCAUGGUGACUUUUAAUUUCAUCCAUGAAAUCAAAAACUAAUGAAUUUAAUAGUAGGAUCUAGUUGUAAAAGUUUUAGAAACACAAAAAUUACAAGAAAAAGGCAAGGAUUAACUCACUUGGUGCAAAAAUUAUGGAAUACCAUCUUAGAGAACCCUCCUAUGGCGUUUUUAGCUACUGGAAUUGAAGAGAAAUGAAGAGAAAUCUAGAUAUUUCCUAUUUAGUCCUAGCUUUAUUUAGUUAAUUUUGCAAUAUUCCAAUUUUGCCCUUAAUUUAUCAAUUUUCCUACUGAUUUCAUGCCCUUUCCGUCCAGCCCAAAUAAAUUUUGGGUCGAAUUGCCUUUUAAAUCCUCUCUCAUUAGACACUUAAGUUAUUUAAUCAUACCAUCCACUUUUACACCUUUUACAAUUUAGUCCUUUUCAUUUAAUUAACUACCCAAACAUUAAAAUUUCCUAACGAAAUUUUAAUACCACAUUACUAACAUUUCAUAAAUAUUUAUAAAAUUAUUUUCGAUUCAAUUUUAUGAGAUUGAGGUCUCGAUACUUUGUUUUUACCCAAUUUCUUCAAUAAUUUCUUUUUCUAACUAACUACUAAAUCGGUAAAAAAAUUUUAUCGAUAUUUUCAUACGAUUUUCCUAUUAUAUAAAUAUUCAUGCAAAAAUAUUAAAAUAAAUUUCUCUUUAAAUCAGAUUUGUGGUUACGAAAUCACUGUUCCGAUAACCUUGAAUUUAGGCCAUUAUAGUGAGGCUCAGCAAAUACGCUAGGGACUGCGUAUCUAUCGAAGCCAUCAUGUGCAAGAAAUUUGAGGAUAGAUUGAAUGAAGACAUCCGAUUAUUAGUUGGCAUCUUAGAAUUGAGAGAAUUCGUGGUGCUCGUGGAGAGAGCAUGUAAGGCCGAGGAAUUGGCCAAAGAGAAGAGAAAAGCUGAUAUCAAGUCCCGAGACUCAAAGAAAAGACAGAUGGGGAAAUCACAUCAAACCUCAUCCAAGAGAUCGAGAGAGUUCACUACUCGAUCAAAUGCUUCAGUUGGAUUUUCGAGUAAAAACAAGAACAAGCAGUACACGGCGUCCAAAGCCCAAACCACUUCUAUCACAAGUGUUGGUAGUGCUCGGCCAAAUAGGCCAAAGUGUUCGCAAUGUGGUAGGCAUCAUUUUGGUGAGUGCCGAGGGAAUGAGAGGGAUUGCUUCAAAUGCGAAUCACUAGACCAUUUCAUCUGAAACUGUCCCAAAUUCGAGACAACCACAGGAGGUAGAGGGUUAUUCUAAUUUUCAGCUAUCUCCUCGGUAAUAUUGGUAUCAUCCUAUUACUCUUCCUCUAUAUACUGUAGACUCCGCCUUAUUUCUCUACGAUUUCUGCAAGCUGUGCUUUCAAUUUCACUAUCAAAUAAUAGAGGUCCUGACAGGUUUCUUCUAGCCAUAAACUAAUAGAACCUGCCAGAAGCAAAUAAGAGAAAAAGUUAGUAAAUUAAAGUAAAAACAAAAACAAAAAUAAAAAAUGGCUAAAGUAAUAAAAAUUUAGUGUUCCUAAUAUUUUAGUCCCCGACAAUGGCUCCAAAAACUUGAUGGAUCACGAAACUAACUAAUAUUUCGACAAAGACAAGCGCACCUAUCGAAUAGUAGUAUAGUUAUGGUGAGUCCAGAAUAUCGUAUCUACAAGGACUAAAAGUACUAGUAAUAACUAUCUUUCUAUUAUUUAGCCUAAUAAUUAAAUGAGGUGUUUUAAUCUAAAAUUAAACUAAUUAACUAUGAACGCGACAGAGAUCGAAUUGGGAAAAUACUUAAUAAAACCAAUGAGAGAGACAAUACCCAGGAAAGAAUCCACCUAGACUUCACUUGUUAUUCUGACUCUGAAUCAAACGAUUUAUUCACUUGUCUUGAUCAGUAGAAAUCCCUAACAACUGACUCUAGGUUGAUUAAUUGAAAUCUCUUUCUAAUUAAAACCCUUAUUGUCGCAUUAACUCGAUCUAUGGAUUUUCCUAUUAGAUUUGAAUCUAAUCCGGCAGAUUUAUGUCGUCCUAUUUCUAGGAUUGCAAUCAACUCCGCUUAAUUAUGCUAGAUCUACUCUUAAAUAGGGACUUUUGCUCUACUGAAUAAGCACAUCGAACGUGGAUUAAUAUCCUGAAAAUAUUAAAGUAAGGAUUAAGAACACAUAAUUAAGAACAAGAACAAGUAUUUAUCAUGUAAUUCAGAUAAUUAAAUAAAAAGAUAUGUCGUAGGUUUCAUCCUCCCUAGGUAUUUAGGGAGUUUAGUUCAUCAUGUAAAAGGAAAACAUCUGAAAUUUAGAAAAACAACAAGACAUAAAAAAACCCAAAUAAACUUCGAGAGAAAUUUGAAUGGAGAUAUUCAAUUUUGAAGUGGAUCUGCUUCCGGGAUUAUUCCAACGGUUUUCUUCGAGUAAUUUCUGCUUUCUACUUCGUGUGUCUUUAGGUCUUCUUCUAGUGUGUUUAUAUAGACUUUAGAAUGCUCAGAAACCCUAAAAAUUGGCUUUUUUCUCGUGUUUGAGAAACAGGGAGCGAUAUCGACACAAGCAGGACACAUGGGCGUGUGACCAGCCAGUGUGGCACACACGGGCGUGUGACCAGCCAGUGUGGCUCACACGGGCGUGUGCUUAGCCCGUGUGGAAGAUGGUCAGGCUGUAUGGUUCCUUAAAAUAGCCUGUUUUGUCUAUUUUUUACCCGUUUUCUGCUCUUUUUGCUUCCCUAUGCUCACCUAACUAUAGAAACAUGAAAUUAAAGGAUUAGGAGCAUCAAAUUCACUAAUUUAUAUAAGAAUUCAUCCAAAAACGCACUAAGAAUGGGAUUAAAAUAUGUUACUUUUAUGGCUAAUUAAAAAUUUUCUUUAAAAUAAAGUAUUGUGAUAUUUAUAGAAUUAAACUUUAACUAAAAUUAUAUAUGAGCUUUAUACGAGGUGGUUAAGUGUAACACCCUCACUCGUAUUCAUUGCCAGAAUAGGAUUACGAAGCAUUACCGGAUCAAUUACACAAUUAUACAUACAAUUCUCAUACAUUUAUCAUCAUCAAGUAAACAUCAUUCAUAAUCAUACAUAUCGCCCCUAUUAUGAGCCUACGAGGCCCAAAACAUGCUUUAGAAGUGGUUCGGGACUAAACUGGUAACUCGGGAAAUUUUUCAAAAACUUAGAAAAUUUCUCAAGGUACAAGGGCUACACGUCGUGUGCCCCAGCUGUGUCUCUUACACGGCCAAGAGACAUGCCUGUGUCUCAGGGCGUAUAGGCAUUCAAAAUGAGAUCACAUGGCCGUGUCCCAUCCCAUGUUCAACCCCGUGUAACUCUCUGACUUGGCUACACGUCCAGACCACACGCCUAUGUGUCAGGCCGUGUGCCUCUCAAAAUGGCCUCACACGCCCAUGUGCCAGGCCAUGUGAAAACUGAAGGGUAUUGUAACGCCCCCACGCCCGAGACCAUCGCCGGAGUCGAGUAUGAGGUGUUACUAAGCUUAAUUUAACAUAUUUAGAACUUUGGAUUAUUUAUUUCUACAUUCGCAGCUUUUAAGCUACUUGCAUCAUAGUCACAAGAAAAAUCAUAUCUCGAGUUACGAAACUAAAAAUCAAGAUCUGUAAAUUUUCCCUGAAUCUAGACUCAUAUACCUAUCUACUAAUUUUUUUCUAGAAUUUUUGGUUAGGCCAUUUAGUACAGUUUAUUAGUUAAAGUUACCCCUGUUUUAGGACUUGACUGGUCUGACCUCUGUUUACUACUAACCACAUUUAUCUCUGUACAAAAUUCAUAUGAAUAUGAGGUUUAUUUCUCCUGAAACUAGACUCAAUAUGGAUUCUGAAAGUAUAAAAUACACUACCUAAUUAUAUCUUUAAAAUUUAUGGUGAAUUUCUAAAGUUGGAACAGGGGAUUCAGAAACUUCUAUGACCCUGUUUCACAAAAAUUCUAAUAUCUUCUAACAUAUAAUUCCUUUUCUUGUUUUAUUUGUUUCAUGUGAAACUAGACAUAAUAAGAUUCAAUUUUAUAUGUAGUCCAUCACCAAAUUAAAUUUCUAUGAUUUUUAGUAAAUUUUCAAACUCGCGUCAGUGUUGCUGCAGUAUCCUGUUUAUGGCAAAUUUCAUCCCUUUUGAUGAGUUUUUAUACACUAAGUAUCUUAUUAAUUUUCCUUAUCAUCAAACAUAAUCUAAACUAACCAUUUUCAUAAUUUAUCAUUAUCAAACAUUUCCUCAACCAUUCCAUUACCAUACCAUAAGAUCAUUUACACAAAAUAGAUAUAUGCCAUACUUAAAUUUACAAGCCUUUACCAAAAGUCUUUCGGAUAGUGUGACUGAGCCUUCGACCUAUCCCGACUCCUGAGCUGGCUUGGCCAAAACUACAAUGAGUAAGAAGGAGGGAGUAAGCAUAAAUGCUUAGUAAGUUCAUAUGCAAAUAAUAAGUAACAUAACAAACAGUUAUACCAAUCAACAUUAGCAUACAUCACUAAAACACAUGUCACAUUUCUAAUCAUUUUUCAUCAUCUUAUUACCUUAUCGUGGUUGUAUCAAUACUCAACCCGAGGGUUAAAUACAUACCUCUUCAAAAUAUCCAUUUCACAUCACUUACCAAUACGUCUCUUUACAUCUCAAAUAUUCCUCCAUUUGAGUAGAGCUUUACCCGUUGAACACAUCGGAAUAUAAUUCGGAUACAUGGAUAACUUGCACAUAAGUGCCAUAUAUGAAAUCAACCAAUCAUGUAACCCGCCCAUAAGUGAACUCGGACUCAACUCAACGAGCUCGGGCGUUCGCAUCCAUAAGUGAACUCGGACUCAACUCAAUGAGUUCGGAUGCCUAGUUACAUCUCUCGAACUCGGACUCAACUCAACGAGUUCGGACAUUCGCAUCCAUAAGUGAACUCGGACUCAACUCAACGAGUUCGGAUGCUCAACCAUCCUAGUGACAUGUCACUUGUAUCCUAAUCUAUUCCUAAGGUUCAAACGGGCUUUUUCCUCGAACACUUAUCCUUGCCGUCUUCCGUAGAAUGCUAAAAUCAAUACUCGGUAACAAUUAUAUUUAACAAGUAGCUCGCAUAAUUUACAUAUUAUUUGAAAUUAACCACAAAGCAUACAUUUCAUAAUUAAAUUCAGCAUAGCAUAUAAUUAACAUCAAUAACUUAAAAAUAAAAAUUAUGCUACUUUAUUUACACAUGAACUUACCUUGGUACCAAAAUACAAGGAUUUUGCAAUCUAGUCCACAAUAUUUUCUUUUCCUCGAUUGAGGUUGAUUCCACGUCUUUCUUGAUUAUGGAGCUUGGAAGCUUGAAACAAAUCCUAGCUAUGGAGAACCCUUGAAAUUUCGGCCUAAUGAAGAAGAUGGACAAAAAUUGGCUUUUAAUUUUGUUUUUAAUUCAUUUUAAUAACUAAAUGACCAAAAUACCCUUACUACUAAACUUUCCAAAAAUUCCUUCCAUGUCCUAAUUUUGUCCAUGAACUUAAAAUUGGUAAAAUUGUUAUUUAAGACCUCCUAAUUAAUAUUUCAAAGUAAUUUCAUAAUAAAAACUUCUAGAAUGCAAAUUUUGCAACUUAUUCAAUUUAGUCCCUAACUUUAAAUUAAACUCGUUAUGCCCAAAAUUUCUUCACGAAAUCUUCACACAAUUAUGCAUUCAUAUCAUAAACCUCAAAAUAAUUAUAAAAUAAUUAUUUCUAUCUCGGAUUUGUGGUCACGAAACCACUAUUCCGAUUAGGCCCUAAUUCGGGAUAUUACAACUCUCUUCCCCCCCCCUUUUAAGGAUUUUCGUCCUCGAAAAUCUUACCGGUAAACAGGUGUGGAUAUUGGUUUCUCAUAGUUUCUUCAGGUUCCCAUGUAGUCUCUUCUACCCCAUGCUUUUGCCACAACACUUUCACAAGUGCAACACUUUUAUUUCUUAGUUGUUUGACUUCUCGAGCUAAAAUCUUAAUCGGUUCUUCUUCAUAAGUCAUAUCCGGUCGUAGUUUAACUUCUGUCGGUGAAAUUAUAUGUGAAGGAUCCGAACGAUACCGACGUAACAUAGAUACAUGAAACACAUCAUGAAUCUUCUCUAAUUCAGGUGGUAACGCUAGCCGAUAUGCUACCGGUCCAACUUUUUCAAUUAUUUCAUACGGUCCAAUAAAACGCGGACUUAACUUGCCCUUUCGUCCAAAUCUAAGGACUUUCUUCCAUGGAGACACUUUCAAAAAUACCUUAUCACCAACUUGAAACUCCAUUUCUUUUCGUUUCAAAUCCGCAUAAGAUUUCUGUCUAUCUGAAGCAGCUUUCAAACAAUCUCGAAUCACUUUCACCUUUUCUUCGGUUUCUUUUAUUAAAUCAACUCCAUAGAUUUGACUUUUCUUGAGUUCAGUCCAAUACAAUGGCGUCCGACAUUUACGACCAUAUAAUGCUUCAUAAGGUGCCAUCUUCAAACUUGUCUGAUAACUAUUAUUAUAAGCAAAUUCUACCAAUGGUAAGUACCUUUCCCAACUAUCUUGAAAUUCCAAUACGCAACAUCUGAGCAUGUUUUCAAGAAUCUGAAUUACUCUCUCUGAUUGUCCAUCAGUUUGUGGAUGAAAGGCAGUGCUGAAAUUUAACUUUGUACCUAAUGCUUCUUGCAACUUUUUCCAAAACCGUGAGGUAAACCUCGGAUCUCUAUCCGAAAUGAUUGACAAAGGUAUCCCAUGAAGUCUAACAAUCUAUCGGAUAUACAAUUCAGCUAACUUAUUAAGAGAAUAAUCUGUACGUACCGGAAUAAAUGAGCCGAUUUAGUCAGUCUGUGAACUAUUGCCCAGAUGGCAUUUUUCUUCCCUGGAGUUAACGGCAACCCUGAUAUAAAAUCCAUAGUAAUCCUAUCCCAUUUCCAUUCAGGAACCAUAAUAGGCUGAAGUAAUCCCGAAGGUACCUGGUGUUCAGCUUUCACUUGUUGACAAACUAAGCACUUUGAUACAAACUCGGAAAUAUCUCUUUUCAUUCCACUCCACCAGUACAUUUUCUUCAAGUCAUUAUACAUCUUCGUACUGCCCGGAUGAACCGCCAAACAACUAUUAUGUGCUUCAUGCAAAAUCUUUUGAAUCAACUCAUCAUUUUUUGGUAUACAAAUCCGAUUUUUAAACAUCAAACAACCAUCAGAACCGAUUCUGAAAUUUGAUCCCGUAUCAGCUUCACACUGUUUUCUCUUGGCUUGCAAAUCUUGAUCAUCUUUUUGAGCUUCAGAAAUAUUUUGCAAAAACAUUGGUUUUGCUCUUAACUCUGCUAGAAUCGAACCAUCAUCUGACACUUUCAACUGAGUGUUCAUAACUCUCAAAGCAAACAACAACUUUCUGCUCAAAGCAUCAGCAACCACAUUUGCUUUUCCCGGAUGAUAAUCAAUAACAAGCUCGUAAUCUUUCAACAACUCCAACCAUCUUCGUUGUCUCAAAUUCAAGUCUUUUUGUGACAUCAAGUACUUAAGACUUUUGUGGUCGGUAUAUACCCGACAUUUUUCACCAUACAAAUAAUGUCGCCAAAUUUUCAAAGCAAACACCACCGCAGCCAAUUCCAAAUCGUGAGUAGGAUAAUUCCUCUCAUGAGGUUUUAACUGCCUCGAAGCAUAUGCCACCACUUUUCCUUCUUGCAUGAGCACACACCCCAAACCAUUUAGAGAAGCAUCACUAUACACCACAAAUUUUUUACCUGAUUCGGGCUGUACUAACACUGGUGCCUCUGUUAAUAACUUUUUCAAUUCUUCGAAACUCUGUUGACAUUCUUCCGUCCAUUCAAAUUUAACAUCCUUUCGGAGUAGUCUAGUCAUAGGAGCCGCAAUUAUAGAAAAUCCAUUUACAAACCGCCGAUAAUACCCAGCUAGCCCCAAGAAACUUCUAACUUCAGUUACAUUUUUUGGUGGUUUCCAAUCAACAAUGGCUGAAAUUUUACUAGGAUCAACCCGUAGACCAUCACCUGAAACAAUAUGACCCAAAAAUCCAACUUCCCGUAGCCAAAAUUCACUUUUACUAAACUUAGCAUACAGCUGUUUAUCUCUCAAAGUUUGCAAAACUAUCCUCAAAUGCUCAGCAUGCUCUGUAUCAUCUUUUGAAUAAAUUAAAAUAUCAUCUAUAAACACCACAACAAAUUUGUCCAAAUAUGGCCGAAAUAUGCGAUUCAUUAAAUCCAUAAACACAGCAGGAGCAUUUGUCAACCCGAAUGGCAUAACUAAAAAUUCAUAAUGACCAUACCUUGUUCUAAAAGUAGUUUUAGGUACAUCCGACUCCUUUACCCGUAGUUGGUAAUACCCAGAUCUCAAGUCAAUCUUUGAAAACCAUGUCGCUCCUUUUAGCUGAUCAAACAAAUCAUCAACUCUUGGCAACGGAUACUUGUUUUUGAUUGUCACCUUGUUUAACUGGUGAUAAUCAACACACAACCUCAUAGAACCAUCCUUCUUUUUCACAAAUAACACGGGAGCACCCCAAGGUGAAAAACUCGGUCUCACAAAACCUUUAUCAGUCAACUCUUGCAACUGCGACUUUAAUUCCUUCAACUCUGCUGGUGCCAUUCUAUACAGAGCAAUCGAAAUCGGAGCUGUUCCCGGUAUCAAAUCAAUACCAAAUUCUACUUCCCUGACUGGAGGCAAACCCGGCAAUUCUUCUGGAAAUACGUCCGCAAAUUCACACACAACCGGCACUGAUUCAACUUUUUUUUCAACUUCUUUUGUAUUAAUUACAUACGCCAAAUAAGCUUCAUAACCCUUUCUCAGAUAUCUUUGAGCCGACAUUGAAGAAAUCACACUAGGCAAUGCCUCUGAUUUAUCUGAUUCAACCCGCAGAGUUUCACCAUUUUCACACUUUAAUUCUAUAACCUUUUCUUUGCAAUUUAUUUUAGCAUCAUGCAAUGUCAACCAAUCCAUACCCAAAAUAACAUCAAACUCAUCAAAUGGCAACAACAUCAAGUCGGCCGGAAAGUAAUGAUCCCGAAUCAUUAAAGGACAUUUCUUACAUACUUUAUCAACAGUCACACAUUUGCCUAACGGAUUCGACACUCUAAUCAUAAAUUUUGUGUUCUCAACAGGUAUAUUCAUACUAGACACCAAUUUCAUGCACACAUAUGAAUGAGUAGAACCGGGAUCAAUCAAAGCAAUAACAUUAACAUUAUAGAGAGAAAAUGUACCGGUAAUCACAUCAGGUGAGGAAGCAUCUUCACGCGCUUUAAUAGCAUAAGUUCUAGCCGGAGCCCUUCCUUCAGGUCUAACCGGUGCAUCCCUGGCUACAUUCUUACUGCUUGUUUCACUUCCAGCUUUUCUCGGAUACCUUCCCCUCGAGUCUGCACCACUAGCUUUUACAUUCUGAAAUUUUUCUUUUUCAGCUCUCUCUGGGCAGCCUCUAAUAAAAUGAUCCGGAGAACCAUAUCGAAAACAUUCAUUUGCUCUACACGGACCAAAAUGAUUUCUACCACACCGCUGGCACUCAGGUUUAACAAAUCUCGAGUUCCCUACACUGGCUGCCGAAGUAGUCUGGGAUUUAGGACCCACAUUUUGCUUCUUAUAAUUCCCAUAUGAUUGCCCAGCUGAAGCUUGGGAACGAGGAUUCAUAUUCCUUGACUUUCCAGGUUGCUGUGAAAAUGAACUACUCAUCGGUCUUUUCUUCCAAUUUCUAGUUUCAGCCAAUUCUUCGGCCUUACAAGCUCGAUCAACCAAUACUACCAUUUCUUUUAAUUCAAGAAUUCCAACAAAUACCUUGAUGUCUUCGUUGAGCCCGUCUUCAAAUCAUCGGCACAUCUUGGCCUCUGUAGGAACAUACUCUCUGGCAUACUUACUUAAUCGAACAAACUCUCUUUCAUACUCUGUAACCGUCAUAUUACCUUGCUUCAGCUCAAGAAAUUCUUUACGCUUCUGAUCAAUAAAUCUUUCACUAAUAUAUUUCUUCCGAAACUCUUCUUGAAAAAAUUCCCAAGUUAUUUUCUCUUUCGGUACCACCGAAAUCAAAGUCUUCCACCAAUUAUAAGCUGAAUCCCUCAACAAAGAUAUAGCUCAUUUUAAACAUUCUUCAGGUGUACAAGAUAAUUCAUCAAAUACCCGGAUAGAAUUCUCAAGCCAGAACUCUGCUUUCUCGGCAUCAUCAUCAAUAUUUGCUUUAAAUUCUUCGGCCCCUUGCUUGCGAAUUCUAUCAACUGGAGUUCUGUGAAAUUUCAUCAGAUCCAUACCUUGAGGCAUCGGGGGUACAGGUUGAGGAAUUGGGGGAGGUGGGGGAGGUCGUACAUUUGGGUUCGUACGAACGAACUCAGUGUACCAUGCACUCAUCAUUUGGAGAAAGGCUUCUCGAUCCCUUUCUCCUCCUCCCUGACCAACAAUAGGAGGUGGAUUUUCAGUCGGCGCUGCUCCUUCAGCUGGAGCUGGCGCAUUACUCUCUACUUCAUCUGCCACAGCUGGAUCGGGAUCCAUUUACUAUAUAAAAAAAAUUCAUUUAAAAAGGUCAGAAGUCGUCACACUAUCACAAUUCAUACAUAUGGCAUGUAUAGCAAAAUCUGUACGAACAACACGUAGUCCGAGAACCGACUAAACCUGCUCUGAUACCACUAAAUGUAAUUCCCCGACGCCCGAGACCAUCACCGGAGUCGAGUAUGAGGUGUUACUAAGCUUAAUUUAACAUAUUUAGCACUUUGGAUUAUUUAUUUCUACAUUCGCAGCUUUUAAGCUACUUGCAUCAUAGUCACAAGAAAAAUCAUAUCUCGAGUUACGAAACUCAAAAUCAAGAUCCGUAAAUUUUCCCUGAAUCUAGACUCAUAUACCUAUCUAAUAAUUGUUUUAUAGAAUUUUUGGUUGGGCCAUUUAGUACAGUUUAUUAGUUAAAGUUACCCCUGUUUCAGGACUUGACUGGUCUGACCUCUGUUUACUACUAACCAUAUUUCUCUCUGUAAAAAAUUCAUAUGAAUAUGAGGUUUAUUUCUCCUGAAACUAGACUCAAUAUGGAUUCUGAGAGUAUAAAAUACACUACCUAAUUAUAUCUUUACAAUUUAUGGUGAAUUUCUAAAGUUGGACCAGGGGAUUCAAAAACUGCUAUGACCCUGUUUCACUAAAAUUCAAAUACCUUCUAACAUAUGAUUCCUUUUCUUGUUUCAUUUGUUUCAUGUGAAACUAGACAUAAUAAGAUUCAAUUUUAUAUGUAGUCCAUCACCAAAUUCAAUUUCUAUGAUUUUUAGUAAAUUUUCAAACUCGCGUCAGUGUUGCUGCAGUAUCCUGUUUAUGGUAAAUUUCAUCCCUUUUGAUGAGUUUUUAUACACUAAGUAUCUUAUUAAUUUUCCUUAUCAUCAAACAUAAUCUAAACUAACCAUUUUCAUAAUUUAUCAUUAUCAAACAUUUCCUCAACCAUUCCAUUACCAUACCGUAAGAUCAUUUACACAAAAUAGAUAUAUGCCAUACUUAAAUUUACAAGCCUUUACCAAAAGUCUUCCGGAUAGUGUGACUGAGCCUUCGACCUAUCCCGACUCCUGAGCUGGCUUGGCCAAAACUACAAUGAGUAAGAAGGAGGGAGUAAGCAUAAAUGCUUAGUAAGUUCAUAUGCAAAUAAUAAGUAACAUAACAAACAGUUAUACCAAUCAACAUUAGCAUACAUCACUAAAACACAUGUCACAUUUCUAAUCAUUUUUCAUCAUCUUAUUACCUUAUCGUGGUUGUAUCAAUACUCAACCCGAGGGUUAAAUACAUACCUGUUCAAAAUAUCCAUUUCACAUCACUUACCAAUACGUCUCUUUACAUCUCAAAUAUUCCUCCAUUUGAGUAGAGCUUUAUCCGUUGAACACAUCGGAAUAUAAUUCGGAUACAUGGAUAACUUGCACAUAAGUGCCAUAUAUGAAAUCAAGCAAUCAUGUAACCCGCCCAUAAGUGAACUCGGACUCAACUCAACGAGUUCGGAUGCCUAGUUACAUCUCUCGAACUCGGACUCAACUCAACGAGUUCGGACAUUCGCAUCCAUAAGUGAACUCGGACUCAACUCAACGAGUUCGGAUGCUCAACCAUCCUAGUGACAUGUCACUUGUAUCCUAAUCUAUUCCUAAGGUUCAAACGGGAUUUUUCCUCGAACACUUAUCCUUGCCGUCUUCAAUAGAAUGCCGAAAUCAAUACUCGGUAACAAUUAUAUUUAACAAGUAGCUCGCAUAAUUUACAUAUAUUUGAAAUUAACCACAAAGCAUACAUUUCAUAAUUAAAUUCAGUAUAGCAUAUAAUUAACAUCAAUAACUUAAAAAUAACAAUUAUGCUACUUUAUUUACACAUGAACUUACCUUGGUACCAAAAUACAAGGAUUUUGCAAUCUAGUCCGCAAUCUUUUCUUUUCCUCGAUUGAGGUCGAUUCCACGUCUUUCUUGAUUAUGGAGCUUGGAAGCUUGAAACAAACCCUAGCUAUGGAGAACCCUUGAAAUUUCGGCCUAAUGAAGAAGAUGGACAAAAAUUGGCUUUUAAUUUUGUUUUUAAUUCAUUUUAAUAACUAAAUGACCAAAAUACCCUUACUACUAAACUUUCCAAAAAUUCCUUCCAUGUCCUAAUUUUGUCCAUGAACUUAAAAUUGGUAAAAUUGUUAUUUAAGACCUCCUAAUUAAUAUUUCAAAGUAAUUUCAUACUAAAAACUUCUAGAAUGCAAAUUUUGCAACUUAUUCAAUUUAGUCCCUAACUUUAAAUUAAACUCGUUAUGCCCAAAAUUUCUUCACGAAAUCUUCACACAAUUAUGCAUUCAUAUCAUAAACCUCAAAAUAAUUAUAAAAUAAUUAUUUCUAUCUCGGAUUUGUGGUCACGAAACCACUAUUCCGAUUAGGCCCUAAUUCGGGAUAUUACAGGUAUACUGACUAUGCCACACGGCCAAGCCACACACCCGUAUGCUAGGCCGUGUGAAGCUACUGACUUGGUUUUUAGUUCAACACCAGAGGACACAUGGCCGUGUAACUUGGCCGUGUGUCACACACGGCUAAGACACACGCCCGUGUCUCUGCCCAUGUGGACAAAAAUAGGCUAUUUACCAAGCCAUUUUACCACCCACACUUGUGCAGACCUACACCAUACCAAAAGGUACCAAAACAUAGCAUAAAAAGGGAAUUCCAACCAUUCUCAAUCAGGCCCAUAUCUUGCAUAAAACCAUACUAGUAUUCACUAGAUACCAAGUAUCCUAAUAGGCUAUUUCAAAACAUGCCAAAUUCACAUUCACAAAGUAUCUAUGCAUAAUUUCAACUAAGCAAAACUUUGCCUAAAAUCAUAAGCAUACCAAUACUAAAUUCCAAGCAAAGGCUACCUAACUACUCAUCCUCAACUAACAAUUUACCAAGCAAUUAUAUGCCACAUCAAAGGGAUAUUAACACUUAUGUACAUAUAUAUACAUCAUCAACUAAACCAAAUAAGCCAACUUACAUGGCUAUAUACAUAGUAACCAUUCAUCAUUCACAAGCCAACUCAAAUGGCUACAUCCAUUACCAAAAUACAUAGCAAAAUGACCAUAACACCUAUACAUGCCGUACGACCAAAAAUUAGUUUCAAAAGUACCACAAUGAUAGAUGGAUAGUGUGAAGCGAUCUCCGACAAUCCCCAAAUCUGAACUAGCUUGAUAACACUAUAAAACAUGGAAAAUUUAAACGAUGUAAGCUAUAAAGCUUAGUAAGCUCGUAUGAUAAUAAUAAUAAUAAGCAAAUCUUACCAUCCAUUUACCAAUCAAAUAAUAGAAAGCAUUAUACAACAAUUCUAUUAAAUCUCAAAGCUACCAAGUGAUCAUUCACAUAACUUACUAAGGAACUCAUCAGUUCCAUAGUUUCAAUGCUCAAUAAACUUCCGUACAUACCUGUACCGAUACUAGAACAUCUCUCACCAUCUUAUAUCCUCAAUAUACCCGUUGAACCAUUUAGAAUAAAAGUCGGAUACCCAGGAGUCUCGCACCCUAAGUGCCAAUAUCAUGGCUUUAACUCACUCUGGCAGUACUGAUAUCAUGGCCUAAAGCCAAAUCAGUGUAACUCACACAAAGUGCUAAUAUCAUGGCCCAAAGCCAACUCAGUGUAACUCGCACCCCAAGUGCUAAUAUCAUGGCCCGAAGCCAACUCAAUGUAUCCCCUAAUGACAUGACACUCGUAUCAUAUUCUAUUCCUAAGGUUCAAUCGGGAUUUUCAAUGUCGAGUCUUCGCCGAAUGUGUCCGCAACAUUGUAAUUCACAAUUUAGGCAACAUCAAAGCGAUUAAUACACAUUUAUAAUAAUGCUUAUUGCAUACAAACUUACCUCAGUCAGAAAAACAGCGAACUAAGUCAAUUAGUUCGAAAGCUUUUUUUUCCCCGAUCUAAGUCCAAAUUUCCCUUUUCUUGAUCUAUAGGUAAUCAAAAUUAUCUUAUUUAAUCACCUCUCAAUUCAAUUUAAUCCAAAACACAUUAUGAAAAAAUUACACUUUUGCCCCUAAUAUUUCAAUAUUUUUACAAUUUAGUCCAUAUCUCAUAAAAAUGCAAAUUCAUCAAUUAAGCCCUUACCCAUGCCAACCGAAUUUCAUAGGGACCCCUAGCAGCCCAUAUUUUUCAUUUAUUUCACAUUUCAACCACAAAAUUUACACAUUUCACAAUUUAAUUUAAAUUUGGACAUUUUACUAAAAAUCACUUCACAAAUGUUGUUUAUCUAACAACAACCAUGCAUUUUCUACCAUUAAACAUCAAAAUACACCAACAUUCAUCAAUGGAAAAACCCUAUACUUUUAACAAUUUCUCAAAUUAGUCCUUGGGCUAGCUAGAUGAAGUUACAACGAUGCCGAAAACAUAGAAAUCAUUAUAAACGGAACAAAAUUCACUCACAUGCAUGGAGUUCUUGGCCGAACCUAGCUUCAAGCAAAAAUGGCUUCUUUCUUUUGUAGAAUCGGUUGGAAGAAGAUGACAAUGAGUGGGAAUUUUGUUCUAUUUUAUUUUAUUAACCUUUAAUUAUCAAAUACAAAAAUUAACCUUAAAUUAAAACAUUAAAAAUCACCUAAUCCAUGUCCAAGAAUGUCCACUAACAUUAGCAAUUGUAUAAUUACCACAUAAGGACUUCCGCUAAUUAAUUUUAUAGCCAUUUAAUAAUUUUGGAUAUUAGCACAACACUUUUAUACUUUUUGCGAUUUAAUCAUUUUUAUCAAAUUAAGCACUCAAACGAUAAAGUCUCUUAACGAAAUUUUCACACAAUCAUACUAUCAUGCUGUAGACAUUAAAAUAAUAAUAAAAUAAUUAUUUUGACCCCAAAUUUGUGGUCUCGAAACCACUAUUUUGAUUUGACUAAAAACGAGCUAUUACAUUAAGUCGAUCUCAGGUUUCUAUUGAACGACCUUCUCCACUAUUCAUAAACAGAUUUAGGAUUUAUUUUACUUGGAUUCUGUCCAAUAUACUAUCAGCCAAGUCAGUCACAUUUAUGUCUCUAUCUUCUAAGAGUCAUCUGCUUCAAUACCAAGACAAGGUAUCUCUCCAAUUGGAUUUGAUAGACGACAUAUUAGUUUUUCAAUCGAUUUGUUCAAUUUUGAUUAGACUAAUAACAUGUUUGGAUUAUCUACUAAUAUAAGUUGUCUUUCCUUAUUACGAUCCGACCACAUAAUGCCGUUUAAUAUUAGUUAAACUUUAGAUAAUUAGUAAACUAAUAUUUGUUUUCAUUUUUCUUUACAUGCAAAAACUAUUGAAGACAAUAUAUGAAUAUAUUAAUGAUACUGAUGAAUAUUUUAUUAAACUAAUUUUUUUUGAAAAAUUACAAGUACAUAUAAACAAAAUCACUAGAUCCUAACGGGUUUAAAUCCUACAACUCACUAUAUACCAAACUUACACUUAUACAAAAAAUCUAGAUCACUUUCCACUAAAUUUUCUCUCGAAAAACCGCGGCUAUAUAAUCAAAUUGGUUUUUAAUAGAAUAAUAUAAAGCGCUGACUUUCUUACAAACUAAGUCAAGCUUCACAUAUAUAGUUACUUUAGCCACGGUGAAAUCAAGGGCGUAGCUAGGGGGCUAGCAAGGGCCUUAAUUUCUCCCUAAAAUGAAAAAUUUUUCAUUUAAGUGCUUUAAAUUUUUUAAAAUUUUAAAUUAGUAAAAAUAAAAAUACACUUUGGCCUCCUUAAAAAUGAUAAAAAAUUAAUUUAAUAUUUUAAAAAUUAUAAAUAUAUAGACUAUUAAAAUGGUGAAAUUAUAUUUUUACUAUCAUAAAAAUUACAAUUUAAUUUCGGUCCCCUAAAAAAAAUUUGAUUUCGCCUCUGGAUGAAAUACAAAUAUAUUACAAUAACAAUACCCACCAAAGUAUCUUACAAAAUAUCCUAACAAAGUUUAGGAUAAAUAAUGAAAAUUUCAAGAUAUUCUUUAACUCAGUCGAUCCAAUUUCCAUUAAAUAGGGAAUUCGAUUUGCAUGACGAAUUGACAUUCGAUCAUUUAUGAUUUGUUCCUUCGUUAGAUUAAUCUUCUAAGACGUGCCAUGAAAGCUUGCAACAGAUUAUGAGUUCAACAUUCAAAUAGAUUUAGCUAAAAUGAUUAUCAGUUCUAAACAUGAUAAAUUAUUGUUUCAGCCUAGCUACAACAUAAGUUGAAACUGCUCUUGUAGCUGAAACCAUAAUUUCUCCAACAAAGGUUUCAUCUGCACCACAUUUAUAGAGCAAAAUUUAUGACUAAACAACGAUAUUUUCCAAAUAAUUUAAAUUUUUUUCAAAUCUAUCCGUAAAAGAGCUAAAGGGUAUAGGCAGCGACUAAAAUCAUGUCAAGCAUUUACAUUGGUAUGUAUACUGGCACCAUUGAAGGAACGUUUGAUUCCUUUGAACAAUUUGUCUAGCAAGCAUCAGAACCUCCUUUCCAAAACUUUCAAAGCAUAAUUAUUGUUUUCUCUGUAUUAAAUUUGAUUCUCGAUUUUUUGUCGCUUCUUCUAAUCACAUCCACUAUAAAUUUGCCUUAGUUUAUUACUAAAAGCACAACUUAAAACAAAAGAUUUUAACUAGAAAUCAAAAAUGGGACAGCCACAAAGCAAACCAAGCAAACCAAGCAAACCAAGGUUUCCUCAACCAGGGGAUCACAUCUACUGUGAAAGAAAGGGAGGUCUCUAUGAUCACCAUGGUUUGCUCUGUUUCUUUUCAAUUUUUUAUCCAUAUACCCAGAAGAUCAUAACAUGUAUACACACACAUAAACAUUGGGUGUUUCUGAUUGAGCACUGCAGGAAUAUAUGUGGGGGACGGCAUGGUGAUUCAUCUCCGGGGAGCAGCGAAGAAACUUGGGGAGCUACCUGCAUGCCAUAGAUGUGGAGGCAAGCGAGUCGAAAAUGGUGAAAUAGCAAAAGUAUGCAUAGAUUGUUUCCUUGAUGGUGAAACGCUCCAGAUCUAUGACUAUGGAGUUCCCGUUCUAGAAUUCAUUAGUAGAAAACGUGGUACUUGCUGCACAAGCCGUUCCAAGCCUCCUCAUGAAGUUAUUAGCGCCGCAACUGAUUUACUUGAACGGAAUGGGUUUGGCCCCUACGACAUGUUUACUAACAACUGUGAGCACUUCGCUGUGUAUUGCAAAACAGGCUCUAAGGUAAGUUACCAGAUUUUAGGCCGUAUUGAACUAGCUACUACUGCUGCUCCCGCUGGUAUUCUUGCUGGCGCUGCUGUUGCGGCAGGUUAUGGUGCUUCGGGAAGCAUGUAACUUCUGCCUGCAACUCAUUCACGGGACUUCAAUUACAUCUUACUUAUAAGUAUGAACCAUGUUAAGAAGAUCUCAUAUCCCAGUAAACUUAAAAGUCAAAGCCAACUAGUGCUGAUAUUCACCUAUAUGCAAAUAUGAAUUACAUAUUUGGUAUAUAAGUGUGUUUGAAAACAAUAUAAAAUAAGUAAUAAAAUAUAGGUUGUGGUGUUUCGGAAGGAGUGUAACUUCUGCCUGCAACUCAUUCACGGGACUUCAAUUACAUCUUAUAAGUAUGAACCAUGUUAAGAAGAUCUCAUAUCCCAGUAAACUUAAAAGUCAAAGCCAACUGGUGCUGAUAUUCACCUAUAUGCAAAUAUGAAUUGCAUAUUUGGUAGAUAACUGUGUUUGAAAAUAAGUAAUAAAAUAUAUGAUUUCAAACUAAUAAUAACAAUACAUAUGCAAAAUGCACAAAAUUAAAAUGAAAAAUUAAUUUAAAUUGUGAGUAAAAGAAAUUUAAAUAAAUAAAUUAAAUAAAUAAAUACAUUAUAUUAAGAAUAUCAAAUGCACUCCAAUUGCUUAUCAUUGGUAUUGUUAUUUUUCUAUAGCACUUAAAAUGUUAUCGUGUUAAUAUGUUAUGAUAUUGGUGAAAGGAAAAUUCAAUAUUAAAAAUUUUUUUUUUUGAAAAGAUACAAUAUUGAGUUGAUCCGUGACAUUAACUCAAUCAAUCAUAUUAUCUAUACUAGAAAUCUUAUUACAUGCGUAUACGUGUGAAAAUCACGUAUUUAGAAUACAAAUUUGUGUUUAAAAAUAACACACAAUAUAGUUAAUGAAAAAUAUGAUUUAGAAUUAAUUAAUAAUAACACAUGCCAUAUGUGCAAUACUAAAAUAAAAAAUUAGAUUAAAUUGUGAGUAAAAUGAAAUUUAAAUCACAUCAUAUUAAGAAUACUAAAUGAAUACAAUUGUUUAUCAUUGUUUUGUCAUCAAUCUUGAAUUGAUUUUGUGUUUGUUAACUCGAAUGAUUAACUCAAAAUCUCCAAGAGGGAAGGAAAAUUGGCCUUUAAGAAAAAUGGUGGAAGCAAUAAAAAAAAUGAAACAAUGAACAUAAGAGUUUAUAGUGGUUCAGCCCCAAUUACUUACCCCACUACCUUAGCUUUCUUCAACUAAGAAUUUUCCUAAAUUCACUAUUUUGAUAACCUUUGAGGAUAAUGUUUAACCUUACAAUCUUCCUUAAAAUUUCUACCCAGAAUCUUAAGAUUGUAACUCUCUUAUAGUUUCUAUCCAAACAUUAAGAUUCAACCAUCUCAAAAAGAUACAAAGAAGCGAAUAAAGAAAUAAUCUUUACAACAUCAGAAUGUUUGCCAAUUAAGCUCAAAUAAACAUGAAUACACUUGGGUUAAAGAAUAACAAUGAAAGCUCAUAAGUGUGUAUAAGAAAAAUAUGAAAGAAUUAAACAGUAAGGUUGUUUUGAUUGAUCUUUAAGCUUGACGAUCUCUCUCUUUAUUGUAGGACAUUUAAAAGAUGGUAUUUAUACCCUCUAAUUUAUUUUCAACCAUUGUGGUUGUUGUGAAAGUUAAUAGAGCCAUUGGAAUGAAAAUAUACUGGAGCAUUAAAUUCACUUACAACAAAAUGUAUUGAUACUUUUUUAACGAGUAUUGAUACUAUUAGCAUUUAAUUUCUGAUUUAGUGACCGUUAAAGUUAGUUAAUUUACGUCGAUACCAAAAAUAAUUUAUCGAUACCUAGUAAAAGGUAUCGAUACUUUUUAUAAUUGAUUGAAAACAAAAUGUCAAUUUUGUAUCGAUUUUAGAAAGGGUAUCGAUAUUUUGAAAACUAUCAAUACUUGGCCAAAAAGUAGACUUUUUGGCCUGGAGUAAUACUGACUUGUUUUAAAACGGUUUUAACUUGAUUGAAAAUGUUUAACUCAAUUGAAAUUAUUUUAACUUGAUUUUAUUAUUUUGCUAAUUUUGUUCAACUUUAACUUUUAUUCAAAAAUAUUUUAACUUGCUAUAUCAAAACAUAUUACCAAAUAAAGUUAGGUGUAACAGUGUUCAUUUGUGAUACUAACUCAAUCGACAAAAUUAUUCAUAUACACAAAUAUAUAAAAAUUCAAAACACAAAUAUACUUAUUAAAGUUCCAAAAUAAAAACUAAUAAUUACUUUAAGGGUAAUCUACAAAAAUAGUCACUUUUGUUUGCCUCAGGUUACAUUUUAGUCACUUAUGUUUGAAAUGUUACGUUUUAGUCACUUAUGUUAUUAUUUUGUUACGAAAUGAUCAUUCUACCGUUAAGUUCUGUUAUCUCUCUAACGGUAGUCCUACGUGGCAAUCCAACUAGAUUUUAGGUGCCAAUUUAAAUUUCUAAAUUGGAUAAAAAUAGAUUUUUAAUUAAAAAAAUUAAUUAAUUAAAAUUUUUAAACCUAAACCUUAACUAAAAAAACUGUUAUCUCCUCUUUUUUUAUUUUUCUUUGUCUUUUCUUUUUUUCAAUUUUUUUUCAUUUGACUGAAAAAACUAUUAUUAAGAUCAAAAUAGUUCAAAUCAAAUUGACUGCUUCAUAAAAAUGGAUUCAAUGGAGGGUUAAAAAGUUUUUAUGUGCAUGGUGUCAUUGGUUAAAAUCUCAUUAUGGAUAAAUUUUUAUUGAUUUAUAAAAAUAUAAAAAGACAAAAGCAUCCACAUAAUCAUAUAACUUUACAAAUAAAAUGAUUUUUUUGGUAAUUUCUUAACUAGGUUGAGACUUGGGUGACGCUAACUCAAUAAAAUGCUUAAUAAAUAAUAUAGAUACAUAUAACACGAAGUGGGUGGAAAAAAAUUAUGUAAAAAAAUUAUUUAAGACCAUAAUGAAUCUUUGUUUCGCUAGUUGUAACUCUACGUUUUGCUUCUGACAGUCUUAAAAUUCAAACUUUAAGUUUUCAUAAACCUAAUCCAUAUCAUACAACACUUAAUUAAUUAUCAAAUAUUAAAAUCAUAUAAAAAUCGAGCAUAAUUAAAAAAAAAAAAAACUCAAACAAACGCAAAUGAGAAAGCUAAGAUGCAACAUUUCACUUAACAACCAAACGAAAUAUUAAAUAUAAAGGCCGAAAUAUGAACACUUAUUACAUAUGAAGAUGUUUCUCCAUUUGUAACUACUGAGAGUUACUUUGAAUUUUUUGUUAGGAGAGAGUAAGUAGAGCUUAAGGGGAGCUGGAGCUUAAUGUCAAUGAUGCUAGUAUUACAUUCAUUACUUGAGAAAGUUGACUUUAUGUUUUAGGUCAAAAAAUGCUAAAGAAGAGAAUUGUCAACGACUCGAAAGUUGCAUGCAAAUUCCAUUACUAGAAAAAUUUUCAGAAGCCUAUUAAAAAAAUUCUUUUAGAAGGAAAUUUACAAUUUUUAGACGACUUUUUAGGUCAUGAUUAGGCUAAUAAGAAAAUAUACAUGACGGUUGGUGGCGUGCUUUUGGAAACUUUGUCUAAGGGCUUCUCUGACUCUCCAUAUAAUUACUUCUAGAUAUGUGUACUUGCAACGGCAUGUAAUAGGAAUAUUAAUAAGUGAUGAAUGUUAAAAUUAUAUAUAAAUUUUAAUUUAAUGUGUAAUUAUUAUAGCGACGUAAAAUUUUUUUUCUUCCGGUCGCUAAUUGUGGCGAUUUAAUGAAAAGUUGAAAACUAAAGAUUAAUUUUGAAGUAAAGUGGGAGUCGCCACCGAUCUUUUUUUUAGGUGUGAUCGGACACCUAAUAAAACAUCUUUUUGAAAAGAAAAUUUAUUCUCGAACAAAGAUGAAGGCUAAAUUUAGGUCUACGUCAAAAGUCAGAUAAAAAUCAGGGUUCGGGAGUCGGUUACGCGCGAGGAAGGUAUUAGCACCCUCGCGACGCCCAAAAUUAGUAUCUUAUAAACACGUGUUGUCUUGAUUUUCAAAAAUUCGAGUUCAAUGCAAGAUUUAGUCGUGAUCCAGUUGAAAAGACGAGAAAUUUUAGUUUUUUUGGUUUUUUAGAAGGGCAUACCGUUUUAACACGAGUCGAUUGAUGUUCACCCAACAUAGCGAUGAAAUCGACGACUUAGUAUUAAACCGAUACGUUGGCUCAUGUAUUGAAAUUAAUUAGAAAACAAGAAUAAGAUUUUCGAACUCAUGCAAAGCAAAUAAAUAAAUGACAGAGCUAGAAAUAUAUUGACGCAAAUACAAGUGUGACAAUAAUAUUAAAAGUAACAAAGAUAUAUGCGAUAUUAGACAUAAUACUAGAAUUAAACACGAAAUAGAAACAAUGAAUGCACAUACAUAAUGAUGAUGUUAGGAGUAUGUACGUAAUAUAGGAAUGAAAAAUAUUUACAUAAUAAUACUAAAUAUAGGUACAUAAUAUAUAUAUAUGCAUAACAUAUUUAAAAUGAACACAUACAAUAUACACAUAUAAUAGACACACACUAAUAAUAAUAGUAAUAAUAGUAAUAAUAGAAAGAUAUAUAUAUACCAAAUAACACCUAACAAUAUGAUAAGUAGCAAAAUGGAAAAUAAUAAGUAUAUUAAUGAGCAUAAUAAAAUAAUGCUAUAUAAAAUAUAUAUACACGUAAAUUAUAUGUAAUAAUAUUAGUAAUAAGUAUAAUAGGAAUAAAAUAAAUGUAAUAAUGAGAUAUACAAGAUACAUACAUAAAUACAAGGUUUAAAAGGCAUAUAUAUCCGUAAUAUAUAAAAACGUAUAUAUAAUAUUAAAACAUUUACAUAACAUAUACACACAUAAUUAUAAUGUUAAAAAACACACUUAAUAUUAAUAACAAUAUUAAUAUUACAUAAAGGUAUACCUAUAUAUACAUUAAAGAUGUAUACAUAUAUAAUAAAAUACUUGAAUAAUAUGAUAUUAAAAAUAUAUGUAAUACGUAUAAUAAAAAUAAUAUACAUAAUAUAAGAAUAUAGGAGUAUAGGAGUAUUAAAAAUAUAAAUAAAAUAAUGAAGAAAUGAAUAAAAAUAGUAUGCAUAAUAAUAUAAUAAGAAAAUAUUAUAAUAAGUACUAAAAAAUAUCUAUAUAUAUAUAUACAUGUAUAAUAAUGAAUAAUAUGAUAUACGAAAAAUAGUACUAAUAAAAAGUAUAUAUAUAUGUGUAAUAAAAUAUAUGUACUAAUAUUAGUAAUAAAUAUAAAUAAUAUAUACAUAGUAUGGUAUUAAAAAAACAUAGAUAUAUAAAACAUAGUACUAAGAUAUACAUAUAAUAUGUAAGAAUAUAUAUAUGUCAUAAAGUAUUAAAAAUUUGUACACGAUGCAUAUAAUAUGAUGUUAAGAGUAUACAUAUGAAAUAUGAUAUUAAAAGUAAGUAUACGUAGUACAAAGAAUGUAUAUAUAUAAUAUAGCAUUAAAAUAUAUGCAUAAUAUAUUAAAGAAUAAUAAUGUUAUAAGCAACUAGUAAUAAUACUUCAUAAAUAUAUACAUACUAAAAAUAUACAUAAUAAUAAUAAUAUAUACAUACAAAGUACACUAAUAUUUAAAAAUAAUAACAGUAAAUAUAAUAUUAAUAUUAAAUAAAAUUAAUAUUACAAAUUUAAUUUGAGAGCAAAAAUGACAAAAAGGACUAAAUUCGGAUUAAAAACAAAGUUUAGGGAAAAUUCGAAAUAAAAAAAGAAAAGAGAACAACCUAUUUCAACGCGCGCAAAUAGUGGAGGGACUAAAAACGAAAUAAACCCAUUCGAUCAAAUCGCACAGUAUUAUGGGGACUAAAUUGAAAACCAUGGAAAAUUAUGGGGUCGAAUUAAAAAAUGACAAAAUACUUAAUUGCAAAACGUUUAAAAAGCGGAGGGGUUAAACGCGCAAAUAACCCUCCCUUAAAAAACACGCUGAUCCUGCUCGGAGCGGGUCGGGUCGACCCGACCCGGGUCCAAAACGACGUCAUUUUAUUGUUAAAACCGGGGGACCAAAAUGCACCGUUUUUGUCCCCUAUAAAAGAUAAAAAAAUUUCAAAAAUUUCAUUUGGGACCGGGGAAAGAAAAAAAAAGAAAGAGAGGGGGGAGAGAAAAUGGAUUCCGGCCAGGGGGCACCGGUCCGUCACCAGACCACCGUCGGUCGCUGGCGCCGGCCACCGUGAAAAUCGAAAGGUAUGAUUUUUCUUCCCUUUUUUUUUAAAAAAAUUGUUUUAUAUUUUUUUAUAUAUUUUAGUAUAUAUAUGUGAAAAAUAGGCCUAGAAAACGAAACUAAAACAAAAAAAAUAUUACCUUAAAUUUCUAGUUUUUGAUUUUUGAUAUCUUUGAUUCUCUGAUUUUGAGUGUUCGAAUCACUGCUUGUAUAUGUAUUGUACUCUAACUUAGGUAUUGAUUUUCCUUGAACAUUCGAAUAAACACCAAAAAGAAAAAAAAGAAGAAAAAGAGCUGACCCUUUUACAAUGGUUUUCAUGGCUUUUUAUAGCCUUUACAUGGUCUGUUUCUUAUUGUUGCAUGUCUGCUUGACCUUGCAGGUGAGUUGGUGGCCGGUGGAGGUGACCAUGGGGUAGGUGGCGCCAGGGGAUGGUGUUGGCAGAGGCAAGUGAGAGGGUGGUUGCGGCGCUGAGGCAAGUGGGAAGAGGCUAGGGUUUGUGAUAGAUUUUUUGAAUUUGGUUUAGGGUUUGGGUGUAAUUGGGCUGUUGGGUAUUUGGGUUUUUUGGUGGGUUAGUUUAGGUGGGCUCAGGUAGGUUGAUGUGUAUUAGGCUGAUGGUUGUAAAUUUAUUUGGGCUGAGGGUGGGUUAGAUGGUUUAAGGGGUUUAAUGUAUUGGCUUUAUUUGUUGGGUCAAAAUUGGGUAGGUUAGUUGUAAUGUAUUUGGCUGAUGGGUUAUUUUGCUUUGGGUUUUAUUGGUUUAAUGUAAAUGGGUCAUGGAUAAAAUUGGGUUAUAAUAGCUACCCCUCUUUGCUCAUUUCGUGUAACAGGAAUGGAGCAAAGACAUAAUGAAAGGCCAAUUUUGCCCGUCUUGCCGAAUCUUGAUUUCAUUGGUGCUCCUCUUGUUCAGGUAGUCUCUUUCUAGUCCAUCGCAUCUUGUAGCUUUGGUUCAAUCCACUGCAUCUCCUGAUAUACGCCUUGUAGUUUCAAUCUUCUUCAAUGUAGCUUCAAGGAUAUGAGAUUUGUGGCUUCAAUCUGCCUUACUUGUAACUUUAGAAAGAUAAGAUCUACGACUUCAAAUCUGCUUUUCUAUCGCUUCAAUGAGAUAAGGUUUGUUGUCUUCUCUUCUGUAACUUUUAGAAAGACAAGAUCUGAUAUCCUCUAUCAGCUCCACUGCAACUUCAGGGGGACAAAACUUGCAACUUUGACCUGCUCCGCUGCAACUUCAGGAAGACAAGACUUGUAACUUUGGCCUACUCCACUGCAACUUCAGGGAAACAAAAUCUGGUGUCUUCAAUCAACUCCAAUCUUUAUUCUUUACUCGGCAUGUGAUCUUAAGCUCAACUUAUUUAUCGCAAUAUGGAUUGACUCUUGAAAACAGACAUUAAAAACAGAAAUUGAAAAUAGCUCAGCGCGUGAGCCAAGGCUCAAUUCACCUCUCGCAAUAUGAGUUGGUAUUUUUGAAACUUAAUUUGAAAAGUUGAUUUUUGAAAAUACCUCGACAUGUGACCCGAGGCUCAACCCACCUCUCGCAUUAUGAGUUGAUUUUUUUGAAAAAAAAAAUGUAAAUUGAAGAAACAGGAAUUGAAAAUACCUCAGCGUGUGAACCGAGGCUCAACUCACCUCUCGCAAUAUGAGUUGAUUUUUGAAAACAGAAUUUGCAAAACAGAUUUUGAAAAUAUCUCGGCAUGUGACCCGAGGCUCAACUCACCUCUCGCAAUAUGAGUUGAUUUUUGAAGAGUAGAAAUUAAACAGAAUUCGAAAAACAGAAUUUGAAAAUACCUCGACAUGUGACCCGAGGUUCAACUCACCUAUCGCAAUAUGAGUUGAUUUUUUUGAAACGUAAAUUAAAGAACAAAAAUUGAACAUACCUCAGCUUGUCCUGAGGCUCAACUUACCUCUCGCAAUAUGAGUUGAUUUUUUUGAAACAUAAAUUGAAAAUACCUCGGCGUGUGACCUGAGGCUCAAUUCACCUCUAGCAAUAUGAAUUGAUUUUUGAAAAACAUAAGUUGAAAAUACCUCAGCAUGCCCUGAGGCUCAACUCACCUCCCGCAAUAUGAGUUGAUUUUUGAAAAACAUAAAUUGGAAAUACCUCAGCGUGCCCUGAGGCUCAACUCACCUCUCGCAAUAUGAGUUGAUUUUUUUGAAAAGCAUAAAUUGAAAAAAAAUGAAAAUCAAAAAUACCUUAGCGUGUCCCGAGGCUCAACUCACCUCUCGCAAUAAGAGUUGAUUUUUUGAAACAUAAAUAAAAAACAUCAAAAUACCAAAAGAUGUCUUCUGGUGGAAUUCAUGUGUCUUUUCCUUGAUCCAGUAUAACUAUCAUUCAAAAUUUCUUGCUCUGCUGGAGUACCUGUGUAUGUCAUGUAUGAUGUUAUCAUGAUAUGCACAUGUUGGUCUUAAAUGCCUUUAUGCCUACAUGAUCAUGCUAUGCGCCUUGGGCUUGUUUGUCAUAUGCCCUUUUCUAUCAUGAUUUUUGAUGAUCUGCGUUCAUUUAUUUGACUCUUUACUUUCUCUUCAGGCCCUGUGUAACGCCCCCACGCCCGAGACCAUCGCCGGAGUCGAGUAUGGGGUGUUACUAAGCUUAGUUUAACAUUUUUAGAACUUUGGAUUAUUGUUUCUACAUUCACAGCUUUUAAGCUAUUUGCAUCACAGUCACAAGAAAAAUCAUAUCUUGAGUUACAAAAACUCGAAAUCAAGAUCCAUAAAUUUUCCCUAAAUCUAGACUCGUAUACCUAUCUACUAAUUUUUUUCUAGAAUUUUUGGUUGGUUCAAUUAGUACAGUUUAUUAGUUAAAGUUACCCCUAUUUCAGGACUCAACUGGUCUGACCUCUAUUUACUACGAACCACAUUUCUCUCUGUAAAAAAUUCAUAUGACUAUGAGAUUUGUUUCUACUAAAACUAGACUCAAUAAGGAUUCUGUGGAUAUAAAAUAUACCACCUAAUUAUAUCUUUAUAAUUUAUGAUGAAUUUCUAAAGUUGGAACAGGGGAUUCAAAAACUGCUAUGACCCUGUUUCACUAAAAUUCAAAUAUCUUCUAACAUAUAAUUCUUUUACCUGUUUCAUUUGUUUCAUGUGAAACUAGACAUAAUAAGAUUCAAUUUGAUAUGUAGUCCAUCACCAAAUUCAAUUGCUAUGAUUUUUAGUAAAUUUUCAAACUCGCGUCAGUGUUGCUGCAGUAUUAUGUUUAUGGCAAAUUUCAUCCUUUUUAUGAAUUUUUAUGCACUAAGUAUCUUAAUAGUUUCCUUAACAUCAAACAUAAUCUACACUAACCAUUUUCAUAAUUUAUCAUUAUCAAGAAUUUCCUCAACCAUUCCACAACCAUACCAUAAGAUCAUUUACGCAAAAUAGGUAUAUUGCUAUACAUGCCAUACUUAAAUUUACAAGUCAUUUACCAAAAGUCUUCCGGAUAGUGUGACUGAGCCUUCGACCUAUCCCGACUCCUGAGCUGGCUUGUCCAAAACUACAAUGAGUAAGAAGGAGGGAGUAAGCAUAAAUACUUAGUAAGUUCAUAUGCAAAUAAUAAGUAACAUAACAAACAGUUAUACCAAUCAACAUUAGCAUACAUCACUAAAACACCUAUCACAUUUCUGAUCAUUUUUCAUCAUCUUAUUACCUUAUAGUGGUUGUAUCAAUACUCAACCCGAGGGUUAAAUACAUACCUGUCCAAAAUAACCAUUUCACAUCACUCACCAAUACUUCUCUUUACAUCUCGAAUAUUCCUCCAUUGAGUAGAACUUUACCCGUUGAGCACAUCGGAAUAUAAUUCGGAUACAUGGAUAAUUUGCAUAUAAGUGCCACAUAUUCAAUCAAGCAAUCAUGUAACCCGCCCAUAAGCGAACUCGGACUCAACUCAACGAGCUCGGGCGUUCGCAUCCAUAAGUGAACUCGGACUCAACUCAACGAGUUCGGAUGCCUAGUUACAUCUCACGAACUCGGACUCAACUCAACGAGUUCGGACAUUCGCAUCCAUAAGUGAACUCGGACUCAACUCAACGAGUUCGGAUGCUCAACCAUCCUAGUGACAUGUCACUUGUAUCCUAAUCUAUUCCUAAGGUUCAAACGGGAUUUUUCUCGAACACUUAUCCUUACCGUCUUCCGUAGAAUGCCGAAAUCAAUACUCGGUAACAAUUAUAUUUAACAAGUAGCUCACAUAAUUUACAUAUUAUUUGAAAUUAACCACAAAGCAUACAUUUCAUAAUGAAAUUCAGCAUAACACAUAAUUAAUAUCAAUAACAUAAAAAUAAAAAUUAUGCUACAUUAUUUACACAUGAACUUACCUUGGUACCAAAAUACAAGGAUUUUGCAAUUUAGUCCACAAUCUUUUAUUUUCCUCGAUUGAGGUCAAUUCCACGUCUUUCUUGAUCUAAAAUAACACAUUUAGCUCAUUUAAUACUCACAUUAUCAAAUUAAUCCUUAACUCAAAUUUUGGCAAAAUUACAAUUUUGCCCCUAAACUUUUGCAUAUUUACAUUUUUGCCCCUAGUCUCAGGAUUAAACUUUAUUGCUUGUUCUUAUGUUUUACAACAUGCUGAUUACUUUCCUCUUCUAUGGCAACAUCAAAUUCUCACUCUAACAUGUACUUAUGACUAUUAGGUAUUUUUACCGAUUAAACCCUUUUACUCGUUUUCGCUCAAAACCGAGUAGCACAAGUUGUUUAACAUAAUUUAAAACCCCAUAUUCUAUCAUAAAACAUCAAAAUACACAAAUUUCACCUAUGGGUAUUUUUCCAAAUAUGAACCCUAAGUUGAAUUAUUGUUAGCAUAAGCUUAAUCGAGCUACCGGGAUCUCAAAAACGUAAAAAUCAUUAAAAACAGGGCUUAGAAUCACUUACUAUGAAGCUUGAAAGUUGAAGAAACCCUAGCUAUGGUGAGAGUGAAGUUUCGGCAGCAACUAAAUGGGGAAGAUGACUAUUUUGUGUUAUUUUUCCCAUUUUAUUUCAUUUAAUAUCAAAAUGACCAAAAUGCCCCCUCCUCGCUAAACUUUCAAAAAUUCCUUCCAUGUCCUAAUUUUUCCCAUGAACUUAAAAUUGGUAAAAUUUCUAUUUAAGACCUCCUAAUAAAUAUUUCAAAGCAAUUUCAUACUAAAAACUUCUAGAAUGCAAGUUUUGCAACUUAUUCGAUUUAGUCCCUACUUUCAAUUUAAGCACUUUAGGCAUAGAAUUUCAUCACGAAAUUUUCACACAAUCAUGUAAUCAUAUCAUAAUCAUCAAAAUAAUUAUAAAAUAAUUAUUUCUAUCUCGAAUUUGUGGUUACGAAACCACUAUUCCGAUUAGGCCCUAAUUCGGGAUAUUACACCCUAUACUCGUCCUCUAGCUUCACGAGUAAUCUACGUUUCUCAGAUAUCACUCUUUUGCCCCUGGUUGAACUUUAUCCUUGCUUUGAGGCUCUUGUACUUAUCAAAUUCUUAUCCGGGUAAUGCUUAACAUUUUUUUGUUUAGAGUAUGUCAUUUCACUAUUUAUCAAGUAAAUAAACCACAUAAUUAGAUGCAUGAAAAUGGUCAGGUAGGAACAAAAGGAUACCUCACAUUUAUUUAUUUCAAAUGUAGCAAACAAAGAAAGUUAAUCGAUGAUAGUAAAAAAUGUCAUAAAGAGAAAAGGGAUCGCAUUCAAUGGAUACAAAUGCUCUAGAUAUUCAACGCAUAAACUCUUCCACAUUCCUCAAUCAAGAAUCUUUUCGAGCAUGGCUUCUUGCAUAGAAGAUUUUGAGCUGCUAAAAUGCUUCAAAUACUGUAUUCCCGCUGUUUGACCCACCGUGUAAAAUGCCUUACUUUUUAAGCCAGUGCUUGCUUCAUUAGGACGCCCUUUUGGAUUUUCAUCCUAAUCUUUUGUUUUAAUCAAGACGCCCUUUUCGGGUUUUCACCUUGAUCUCUCUCUUUUUUUUAAGAUACCCUUUUUCGGGUUUUCAUCUUGAUUUUUUCAAGCAUAAUAUUUCUUCACAGCAUCUGAAUUUACUGGAUUCGGUAACUCCUUCCCAUCCAUCUCGGUGAGAAUCAAAGCUCCACCUGAGAAAGCCUUCUUUACGACGUAUGGUCCUUCCCAAUUUGGUGCCCAUUUUCCUCGCAGAUCUUUUUGUAUUGGGAGGAUCUUUCUCAACACGAGUUCUCCUUCGUGGAAUUCUCUCGGCCGUACCUUCUUGUCAUGGGCCGCGAUCAUUCUCUUCUGGUACAUCUGUCCGUGACAAAUUGCCUUUAAACGUUUUUCUUCGAUGAGGUUUAACUGGUCAUAUCGAGCUUGAACCCAUUCUGCUUCCUCUAAUUUCAACUUCAUUAAGACUUGUAGAGAAGGGAUCUCAACUUCGAUAGGUAGCACAGCUUCCAUUCCAUAGACCAAAAAGAAAGGAGUUGCUCCCGUAGAUGUCCGUACAGAUGUGCGAUAUGCAUACAAAGCAAAUGGUAGCUUCUCGUGCCAGUCUUUAUAUGUCUCGGUCAUUUUCCUAAUAAUCUUCUUAAUAUUCUUGUUGGCCGCUUCAACAGCUCCGUUCAUUUUCAGGCGAUAGGGCAAUGAGUUAUGAUGCUUUAUUCGAAAUUGCUCGCACACUUCCUUCAUCAUCUUAUUGUUCAGAUUCAAGGCAUUAUCUAAAAUGAUCCUUUUAGGCAAACCAUAUCGACAAAUGAUUUCCUUUUUCAAAAACCUGCAAACUGCAAUUUUUGUCACAUUGGCAAAUGAAACAGCUUCUGUCCAUUUUGUGAAGUAAUCAAUAACCACAAAAAUGAACCGGUGUCCAUUAGAAGCUUUUGGGGAGAUUGGCCCUAUAACAUCCAUGCCCCACAUAGAAAAAGGCCACGGAGAAAUCAUGACAUGAAGGGGCGAAGGGGCUACGUGAAUUUUAUCACCAUAAAUUUGACAUUUGUGGCACUUUCGUGCAAAACUAAUGCAGUCACUUUCCAUUGUCAGCCAGUAAUAACCGUGUCUUAUAAUCUUCCUGGACAUAGCGAAACCAUUGGCAUGUGUCCCACAAAUUCCUUCAUGGACAUCUUCGAGUAUUUUUCUGGCUUCAACAGAAUCUACGCAUCUCAAGAGCACCUGAUCUUUUCCUCUUUUGUACAGGAUGUCCCCAUCGAGAACAAAUCCUGCUGCCAUUCUUCUGAUUGUUCUUUUGUUGUUCUCAUUUACUUGUUCGGGAUAUUUUUGAUUCUUGAUAUAUUCUAAGACAUCAUGGAACCAUGGCCGACCAUCUGGCUCUUUUUCAAUGCUGAAACAAUGUGCAGGGACUUCAUAUAUGCUCAUUUGAAGAGGCAUUAUUUUUGUUUCUCUGUUCGCUUUGAACAUUGAAGCCAAAGUGGCCAGAGCAUUAGCCAAUUGGUUUUCUUCUCGCGGGAAGUAAUUAAAAGUUAUUUCUUUGAAUUCUUUGAUCAGUCCUGCCACUAGAUCGCUGUAUUUGACUAAUUUCGAAUCUCUCACUUCCCAAUCUCCACGGAUUUGGUAAAUCACCAAUGCUGAGUCUCCGUAUACCUCUAAAGUUUUGAUGUUUCGUUCGAUUACUGCACAAAGUCCCAUGAUACAGGCCUCAUAUUCCGCUAUGUUGUUGGUACAGAAGAAAUUCAACUUGGCAGUGAACGGAUAAUGGUUCCCUUCUGGUGAUACCAAGACUGCUCCAAUCCCAUGCCCCAAGGCAUUCGAUGCACCAUCAAAGCUCAUCUUCCAUGAUUUUUCUUUUGAUGACUCGCACUCUUUUUCUGUAAUACACAUCAAGUCUUCAUCUAGGAAAUCAAAUCUCAAUGGCUCAUAUUUCUCUGUUGUUCGAGUUGCUAAAAAAUCAGCUAUUGCACUCCCUUUUAUCGACUUUUGGCUCACAUAGACGAUGUCAUAUUCUGACAGUAGGAUUUGCCAUCGUGUCAUUCUUCCUGAGAGUGCAGGUGAUUCCAUCAUGUACUUUAUUGGAUCUAGCUUUGAAAUUAACCAUGUCGUAUGAUACAACAUAUAUUGCCUAAGUCUCCGAGCUACCCAAACCAGAGCGCAACAAUAUUUUUCAAUGGACGAAUACUUUGCCUCGUGUUCAUUGAACUUUUUGCUGAGGUAGUAGAUCGCUUUUUCUUUCUUUUUUCCUGACUUGUUGUGUUGCCCUAACACGUAACCCAUUAACUUUUCGAACACAGUCAAAUACAGUAUCAAUGGUCUUCCCGGAGUUGGCGGUACUAGCACUGGAGGACUAGACAAAUAUUGUUUUAUCUUAUCAAAGGCCACCUGGCAUUCCUCAUUCCAUUCUCCUGGGUUAUGUUUUCGAAGGAGUCGAAAGAUUAGGUCGCAUUGGUUGGUAAGUUGAGCGAUAAAUCGGGUGAUGUAGUUUAAUCUCCCUAAAAAUCCUCUGACUUCCUUUUGCGUGCGCGGGGGUGGUAACUCUUGAAUGGCUUUUUUUUAUUUGGAUCAACCUCGAUACCUCUUUCACUGACAAUGAAGCCUAGCAACUUUCUAGAGGUAACCCCAAACGUACAUUUGGCAGGAUUGAGCUUUAGCUGAAACUUUCUCAGUCUGUCAAACAACUUCUUCAGGUUCGCUACAUGCUCUUCUUCCCCUCGGGACUUAGCAAUCAUAUCGUCGACGUAGACCUCUAUUUCUCUAUGCAUCAUGUCAUGGAAUAACGUCACCAUAGCCCUCUAAUAUGUUACCUCAACAUUCUUUAACCCAAAUGGCAUUACCUUGUAGUAGAAUGUUCCCUAAAUUGUUAUGAAAGUGGUUUUCUCCAUAUCCUCAGGGGCCAUCUUGAUCUGAUUGUACCCGAGAAUCCAUCCAUGAAAAAAAACAAUGAAUGCUUUGUUGUGUUAUCCACCAACGUAUCAAUGUGUGGCAAGGAAAAAUUAUCUUUAGGACUUGCUCGAUUCAGGUCACGAUAAUCCACGCACAUUCGUACUUUGCCGUCUUCCUUUGGUACCGGGACUAUGUUAGCCACCCAUUCUGGAUAUUUGGAGGUUUGUAAGAAGCCAGCAUCGAAUUGCUUCUUGACUUCCUCUUUUAUCUUUAACAGCAUUUCAGGUCUCAUUCGUCUUAGCUUUUGUUGAAUGGGUUUGCAUUCUGGCUUUAAUGGGAGUUUAUGGACCACUACAUCUUCACCCAAUCCUGGCAUAUCCUGAUAUGACCAUGCGAAUACAUCUUUGUACUCGCGAAGCAAAGCAAUCAAAUUGUGCCUGGUACCCCCUGAAAUAGAGGUGCCAAUCUUCACUUCUUGUUUCUUUUCCUCAGUUCCCAAAUUUAUUGUUUCAACAGAUUCUUGAUGAGGUAAAAUCUGUUUAUCCUCUUGUUCCACCAUUCUUAGCAAGUCAGGAGAUGAGACAUAUUUUUCAGCAUUUUCUUCGGCUUCGAAUUCUCCUAAACAAACAGCCUUCUCAAAAUCGAUUUCAGGACUCGCAACAGGUUUGUUCAUGCCGUUGAUAUCUGAGCAGCUGAAAGUUGAAUGGAAAAGAAAACUAUAGAGGGGCAUCCAAGUAUUGGAACCAACAAACGAAAUGUUAUGGCAUGGCAUGAGCCAAAUGUAAGGAUAGGCUAUGAAAUGAGAAAAUGAUUAUGAAAUUAGUGAAAAUGCGAAAGAUCGUGACAAAAUGCAUCUUCAUUGAUGUUCAUUUAAAUGAUAAAAAGCAAAUCAUAAGCUCUUACAAAAGAAUCCCUACUAUUACUUAGGGGCACAUAAAAAGAAUAGCGUUAAUAUUGAGCGUUACUCUGGAGAAGAUUUAGAAACUACAAGGAGCUCCACAGCAGUCCAAUUGUUCAAAACAAAUACAGGAGGACAAGGGCGUAUCGUUGAAACAUCUUUAAUUGCAUCACUUCCUUUGUCAAUAACAUUUAUACUGACAUUCUGAAGACCCCUUUCAAUUAAUAACAUCGUACUUCGUGGACUAUCUUCCCCGGGGUAUAUCAUUCCUGCAGAUGUAAAUGUUUUUGACAAAGGAGGGUACGUUAUGGGCUUCCAUUCUAAUUCUCGGCCUAAAUUUCUUGCGAUCCUUCUUUCCUGAUCUUUUUUCCAUUAUUUUCUUCUUUGACGUAUGUCCGGCUGGAACCCCAGACCGUAUCGGGCCUUGUGGUGUACUGGCUUUAAAGCCCUAACUAUUCCUUGCAGAUAUCUCCCUAAACAUUUUCUCACUCGAGCUCCCUUUCCUACAGUCAAUUUGACACCUAUUCUAGUAUUUCUUGACAGUUUUGGCAUCGGAAUUCUGUUUCCCUCAGCGACAAAAGUGGCAUUGACAAAUUCAAUGGAUCGGAAGGAACAUUCUAUUGCAUCUUUACUCACUUCAAUGUAUGGUGCGUCGGUAGAAAUAGAUGCUACAAUGUCUUUUUCUCCCUCGACAGUGACCAAACAACCAUCCAUGAUAAAUUUCACCUUUUGAUGGAGGGAUGAUGGGACCGCUCAAGCGAAAUGGAUCCAAGGUCUUCCCAAAAGGAAGUUAUAUGAGGGUGUAAUGUCCAUGACUUGGAACUCGAUAUUGUAUAUAUAGGGACCCACUUCUAGAGGGAUCUCGAUUUUUCCCAUGACUUCUCGUAUUGUCCCGUCGAAUGCCCUUACUGUGGAAUGACAGGGCCUUAAAUAGGAUAGAUUUAUUAGAAUUCUGGACAGCGUGGCUAAAGGCAUGACAUUGAGUACCGACCCAUUAUCGAUAAGCACGUUCGGUAUUAUGUAGCCAUUGUAGCGAGUCGUAAUAUGUAGUGCUUUCACCGAGCCUCUACCGUUUGGCGGUAUCUCAUCAUCACUAAAAGAGACGAAAUUGUCCUUGUUCAGAUUGUUCACCCACCUAUCAAGCUUCUCAGCUGAUAUGUUAUUUGCCACGUAAGCUUGAUUUAGCACUUUCAGCAAAGCGUUCCGGUGUGGCUCUGAAUUUAACAAUAGAGAUAAAACUGAGAUUCGCGCUGGUUGCUUAUUCAAUUGUUCCACCACAUUGUAUUCACUAUGCUUGAUAAAUUUCAAAAACUCCAGUGCUUCCUCCUCUCCCACAGGCUUUUUAGUUUCUGGUUCAGACGCAGUUUCAUGCUCAUCUUCGGUCACGUGCAUUGGUGCUUUUCCUUUCUGUUUCAAGUCACUAUUCUUCUUUGCCGACUCGACUUCUUUAGAAUAGCACCGCCCACUGCGGGUAAAAUGGCCUACCUCCCCAACAUCUCCAGUUGUGGCUUCGAACUUUUCACCUUCAGGUGUGACGAUAUUGACGUCAUAUUUCCACGGUACCGCCUUGUCUUCCUUGUAAGGGAAAAGAGAUGGUACUUUGAUUAUCACUUUCAGUUUCAUCGGCUCCUUCUUCAUGUCGUAAUAAAUUACUAACGGUCGAUUAGCACUAUAAGGGAGACCUGAUGAUUGGCUGUCAGAGGCGCAUACUUCUCUUUCGUUGGCCUCUUCCCUUUUGUUAAGGACCUUAAUCUCCUUAUUAUCCAUCCGGUCUUGAAGAAACCUUUUAAAUUCCUCACACGAUUGAAUGUCGUGUCCUACAAUUCCAUGAAAAUCGUAAAAUCUUUGACCUUUUUCUCCGAAAAUUCUAUCGGGGUGACAGAGCAAUCAUUUCUUAAUCAGAACCUCCCAUAUUUUUUGCAGAGGUGUCCUUAUUUCCGAAACAUAUUUUCUGACUUGUCAUUCGUCCUCUUUCCCUUAUUUUCGAAACAUAUUUUCUGACUUGCCAUUCGUCCUCUUUCCCCACUGUGGUUACAUUCCCUUCGGUAUGGUUAGGGAACGGGUUCCCAGUUGCAUUACUCGAACUAUCGAAUCGUAGGAUGCCCGCAUCAAUGAGUCCUUGAACUCUCCUCUUAAAGGCUAGGCAAUUCUCCGUGGAAUGCCCCUAGUUCCCAGCAUGGUACAACUAACGUUUGGAUCGUACCACUUCGGGUAUGGAGGUUUAAAGGGUGCCAUGUAAUGAGGAGAUAUUAGUUGUUUUUCCAAAAUUUUUGGGUAUAAUUCCCCACACGACACAGGGAUAGGAGUAAAUUGCAGUCUCUCGAGAUUGGGUCUUGGUUCGUUUCUGGGUUGGCUUUGAGUGGAUACAGUGUUUUGUGGGAAUGUGGUGACGAGUCAUUGGUUGUUCGUGGCGUAUACGGGGUAGGAAGGAGGUGGUGCUUGGUAAUAAGGGGUUUGAGGGGGAUAAUAGAAAUUUGGAGGUGGAUAAUUUCGAGGUCGGGGUGGGUUUGGAUAUGGAUUAGGGGUAUAUAACGGCUUCCCAUUCCCACCAUAUGGGCUUCUGGUUCUUUCUUCUUCAUGGGGGCUACCCUUCUUGAACUUUCUUGACCUUCCAUUCUACCGCUCUUGACGGCAUUCUCUAUAAGCUCACCGGAUAUUACAAUAUCCGCAAGUCUUUCGUGGCACUUCCCACUAGUUUGUCAUAAAAUGGCACUUUAAGGUGUUGAUAAAGAGAACGGUUAUCUCCAUUUUGUUAGUGGGGUUUCACUUGGGCCGAGACGUCCCUCCAUCUCUGCGCAUACUGUCUAAAAGUUUCUGACGGCUUUUUCUCCAUCAUUUACAAAGUCAUCCGGUCUGGCACCAUAUCCGAUACAUGCUUGUACUGCUCACAGAAUGCUGAUGCCAAGUCUUUCUAGGAUCGAAUCUUUUCCUUACUAAGCUGGUUGUACCACCGAAAUAGCCGAUCCUCAGGUAUGGCACCAUUCCGAUACAUGCUUGUACUGCUCACAGAAUGCUGAUGCCAAGUCUUUCUAGGAUGAAUCUUUUUCCUUUACUAAGCUGGUUGUACCACCGGAAUAGCCGAUCCUACUAGACUAUCUGAAAACACAUGGUAUGAGUAGCUAUCUUUGUCAUAUAACCGGUCAUCUUCCGGAAGAACAUGAUGAGAUGCGCUUUUGGGCAUCUCGUCCCAUUGCACUUUUCAAAAUUAGACACCUUGAACUUCAACAAGGAAAAAUUAGAUCGGGUACCAAACCUGAGUUCCUUAUUGCACCUAGUGCAGAGAAGACUUCAGUGCCUUCUAUCGCUUUGAGUCUUUCCUCUAGGCUCCUAUAUAUUCUCAUUCGCAUUGUGAUUAUCCAAUUUCAACCUGGCUAUCUCUGCUGGAUCGUCCAAAUUUGGAAUGAGUGGAUCGGUAAGACUAGCCCCCGGGUUUGAUACGAACAUUCUUUGCCCCAAAUUAGCAGGUGGCGCAGGUCGUUACUCCAGGCCGGUAGUUUCCCAUUGAACGUACCCUCUUUGUGUUGCAUGGGCGUGCGGUGGAGUAAAUCCUGGAGGAUGAGGUGGAUCCUGAUCGAGGUUAACCCUUGACUGUGGUUCCACAACGUCAGGGUUCAUAGGUCCCUUUCCUUUUACCAGAGUCGACAUCAUUUCCAUCAUCUUGGCUAUUUGAUCCUUCUGUUCAAGUGAUUCUUCUCGAGAUCUCACUAUCAGAUCUCUGGUUUCUUGCUAUGACUUAGCCAGUUGUUCUUGUAAUUCCCUUUGUAUUCUUUCCAUCCUCUCAAUCCUUUCGUUAAAUUCAGCCUCCAUUACUCUAGCUUGAUGGCGCGUCUUAUAUGAGUGACGUGAUUCCAGGCUUGUGGUAUUACAACUGCCAAUUGUAUGUUUUAAUCUUAGCGAAUGAUUAUGGGAUAUGCAAUGAAUGAAUAAAUGAAUGCAUAAAUAAUGCCAAUCAUGAAAGAAAUGCAAGAAAUUAGUGUUGAUUUCAAGAUAGCCCCUAUUUAGGCAUUUCAUUCAUCAAAAGAGUUCAUUACAAAACAUUUUGCCACUUUCGAUUAAGCUAUUACACAAACUUCCUAGCUAUAUCUCCAUAUUUCUUUACUCGUGCUAAGAAUUCUGAUAUGUUCGAUCUUCGACUUGGAGGGAAUUGGCAAAUGAGAAUUUCAGCUUCUUCCGAUAGUUGUACCACGUGCAUGGCUACCCCACGAAUUUCAAUUAUCAAACAGCUAAGUUGCAUUUCUUUUUCUUGGAGGCCCUCUUCGUAAGCACGAAUGUCUCUAUCAUAUUGACUAUUCUUUUCUUCCAAAGCCGUCAAGAGAGUAUCUAGCUGUUGUUGACGAUCUUGCAGCAUAUCUUCUAAAUCCCGUAUCCUUUCGUUUAGUUCUUGACGUUUAGAUCAACUAGUCAUUACCUCGGCAGACAUAGCUUCAUAUUUGGUGUUCUUCUUCCUUAGCUCCAUCAUAGCCCGCGUAGCCUUUUCCUCCUCUUUCUUCGCUUUUCCUUUCCAAAAUUCCAUCCCGCCUUUAAUGUUGCUUAUUUCUUCUUUCCAUUCUGCCGACGAAUUGGCCAGCCUACUAUUCUUUAUUGCACUUCUUAACUUCUUAUUUUCCAGAUGAAGAUCUCUUAAGUCAUUUCUUACGACUUCAGCCUCUUUUUGUACUUUCUCAGUUCUGGAUCUUUCAAUCUGAACGUCGAUCUUCAAUUGGUAGUUUUCCUCUUAAAGAGCACUAAGGUCCCAAGACAUCUUGGUAUUUUCGCGUUCAAACUCUUAUCUUGCCGCUUCUAACUUAGACGACAUUUUCUUCAAGAAGGGAUUCUAAAAGGCGUAACUCAUUGACGAAACUCGCUGGCUAUUCACCCGUUGCAUUCUCCAUACGUCGUAAUCUUGAGUGAGAGUAUCAGCAUACAGGGCCAACUCCAUCAGAUGAACUUCCUUCCAAGAUUUUGCAGUGCCUCGGACCCUCUUCAUAUAGCCUUCACCCGCAAAAGUAAACUCGGACUGCGCUAUUUCCUCCAGUGGCGGGAAUAAAUUGUCGUAAAUAAAAUUGCCUCUGGACCAUUAAUGGAACGUAUCCAAUUCCUCCCCAUAGCCCGAGUAGUGGUACCCAAUCUUGAUUUCCAACCUUGUAUAACAGAACCGAAGGGCGGAUCCACGGUGCUCUCUAAGUUACAUCUUCAGCUCGAAGGUUCUGAAAAACUGAAGCCCAAUAUUCUUCGGUGACAUCCUUUGGCCAUUCUCUCUCAAUAUAGGCUUCCAAUGGGGCGAAGGUUUUCGAAAAUAUGUGGUACGGUGUGCGCUCUACUUUCCAGAAAUGGCUCAAAAUCCAGACACUGAGUAACUGCGCGCAUCCGAUAAAUCGUCCUUCUCCUUUCCUCCGACAACUACUCAGGGAUCUGAAGGUCUCGACUAGGAUAGUCGGGACAGGGUUGAUUCCUUAUUUUAAUUUUUCGAAGAAAUCCACCACUGCAACUUCUAUGUGUCCAAGGACUUUUGGGAAGAUGAUCAAACCGUAAAUGGCCAAAGCGAAUAGAUUUACCCUUUUCAACAUGUCAGGAUGGUUCAGAACCAAUUCUCGUAGGGGAGACCAUGGAAUGCAAAUGGUUUCAUUCUUUUUCUUUAUUUUUUCGGCCCAUGCGUCAGUCAUGUCUGUCAAUCUUACUAACUUCUUCUUGAAGGUCAUCGGCUUAGGCUCCUUCACAUAUACUUUAUAGAAUUACACAUUUUCAACACGAAGAAAAGCAACGUACUCUCUAUAGUCGGAGUCAUAUCUUCUCGAUUGAAGGUAAAACAUUGGUAAGCCGGAUCCCAAAAUCUGACCAUGGCUUGGAUCAAUUGUUCGUCUACGUUGACAGCAAUCAAGUUGGCUAUGUCUCCAUAUCUUUCAGUGUAGAUACCCCUAGUGUCUGAGUCCCACUGAUUCCAAACCCGAACCAAAUCCUCAAGGUUAUUCUGGAAAACAUUCAGAGUUACAUGCUCGGGCAGAUUGACAAUACAUCCCUCCACUAGACUAUCCCCUUUUUCUUUUUGAGUUUUUAGAGACCAGUCCCGAACCACGGCAUUCUUCUUGGUUGUUUAUGUAAUUGACUCUUCCAUCUGAAACCCGUUUUUUGGCAACCGAUCUCUAGUCAACACCUUUCCUAAUAUGAUGCCUAUAAUGCAUGAUGAAAAAUAAUGAUAAGACAAACAGCCUUGGUUAGUAAUCACAACAAGUAUAAAUUACGGUAAAUUCAGAUAAAAAGUGCAAAUAUCAAAGAGAUAAAAGGUAAGAAGUGCGUCUCCCAUGUACUUAUUUUGGUGACUAUUAACGGACAGAGGUUCAGCAUGGCUCUAAUUAGGUGGCUCAUAUGGUUCACAAUAUGCGGUUUCUGCUCUAGAUAGGUACUCGAAUUAUUCGUACUAUCGUCUACUAAGACUACUACGAAGCCUCGAUCGUAGCCCAUCACAGGCUCACAAGUUCAAUUCGAGGGAUUACAUUUACUUAUGCCUAUGUGGAGGGACAAGUUAACUCACGAAAGCAUAAGUCAUAUGUAACCUGAAAGUAUUCACUAGCCUGUGCGGAGGGACGAGUUAACUCACGAAGGCAUAGCGUUUACUUUCACUUAAACGGACGGAGCCCAAGUAGAGAGCUCAUGUUAUGCAAAAUGCAGGUGCACGGUGUGUGGGGAGAAACUCACAAACCUUUACGUUUUAUUUAAAAACUAAACUACAAAAACCUAAAAACUUAGAGCUGAAAAUCAACAAGAUAAAACAAGUUAGAAGAAUAUUUACAGCAUGAUGCAAAGGCAUGAAUUUUUGAAAACAAAAUUUGAGGAUCACGACUAAACAUUAAUUUGAACAAGGAAGUUCAAAAAUUUUGACAACACGAGUUUAAUUCCAGACACGACUCUCAAAAAGAAGUCCUCAGUGGAGUCACCAGCUGUAGCGACGUAAAAAAAUUUUGCUUCCGGUCGCUAAUUGUGGCGAUUUAAUGAAAAGUUGAAAACUAAAGUUUAAUUUUGAAAUAAAGUGGGAGUCGUCACCAAUCUUUUUUUUAGGUGUGAUCGGACACCUAAUAAAUCAUCUUUUUGAAAAGAAAAUUUAUUCUCGAACAAAAACGAAGGCUAAAUUUAAGUCUACGUCAAAAGCCAGAUAAAAAUCAGGGUUCGGGAGUCGGUUACGCGUGAUGAAGGUAGUAGCACCCUCGUGAUGCCCAAAAUUGGUAUCUUAUAAACACGUGUUGUCUUGAUUUUCAAAAAUUCGAGUUCAAUGCAAGAUUUAGUCGUGAUCCAGUUGAAAAGACAAGAAAUUUUAGUUUUUUUGGUGUUUUAGAAGGGCAUACUGUUUUAACACGAGUCGAUUGAUGUUCACCCAACAUAGCGAUGAAAUCGACGACUUAGUAUUAAACCGACACGUUGCCUCAUGUAUUGAAAUUAAUUAGAAAACAAGAAUAAGAAUUUCGAACUCAUGCAAAGCAAAUAAAUAAAUGACAGAGCUAGAAAUAUAUUGACACAAAUACAAGUGUGACAAUAAUAUUAAAAAUAACAAAGAUAUAUGCGAUAUUAGACAUAAUACUAGAAUUAAACACGAAAUAGAAACAAUGAUUGCACAUACAUAAUGAUGAUGUUAAGAGUAUGUACGUAAUAUAGGAAUGAAAAAUAUUUACAUAAUAAUACUAAAUAUAGGUACAUAAUAUAUAUAUAUAUGCAUAACAUAUUUAAAAUGAACACAUACAAUAUACACAUAUAAUAGACACACACUAAUAAUAAUAGUAAUAAUAGUAAUAAUAGAAAGAUAUAUAUAUACCAAAUAACACCUAACAAUAUGAUAAGUAGCAAAAUGGAAAAUAAUAAGUAUAUUAAUGAGCAUAAUAAAAUAAUGCUAUAAAAAUAUAUAUACACGUAAAAUAUAUGUAAUAAUAUCAGUAAUAAGUAUAAUAGGAAUAAAAUAAAUGUAAUAAUGAGAUAUACAAGAUACAUACAUAAAUACAAGGUUUAAAAGGCAUAUAUAUACGUAAUAUAUAAAAACGUAUAUAUAAUGUUAAAACAUUUACAUAACAUAUACACACAUAAUUAUAAUGUUAAAAAACACACUUAAUAUUAAUAACAAUAUUAAUAUUACAUAAAGGUAUACCUAUAUAUACAUUAAAGAUAUAUACAUAUAUAAUAAAAUACAUGAAUAAUAUGAUAUUAAAAAUAUACGUAAUACGUAUAAUAAAAAUAAUAUACAUAAUAUAAGAAUAUAGGAGUAUAGGAGUAUUAAAAAUAUAAAUAAAAUAAUGAAGAAAUGAAUAAAAAUAAUAUGCACAAUAAUAUAAUAAGAAAAUAUUAUAAUAAGUACUAAAAAAUAUCUAUAUAUAUAUACAUGUAUAAUAAUGAAUAAUAUGAUAUACGAAAAAUAGUAAUAAUAAAAAGUAUAUAUAUAUGUGUAAUAAAAUAUAUGUACUAAUAUUAAUAAUAAAUAUAAAUAAUAUAUACUUAAAAAAACAUAGAUAUAUAAAACAUAGUACUAAAAUAUACAUAUAAUAUGUAAGAAUAUAUAUAUGUAAUAAAGUAUUAAAAAUUUGUACAUGAUGCAUAUAAUAUGAUGUUAAGAGUAUACAUAUGAAAUAUGAUAUUAAAGGUAUGUAUACGUAGUACAAAGAAUGUAUAUAUAUAAUAUAGCAUUAAAAUAUAUGCAUAAUAAAUUAAAGAAUAAUAAUGUUAUAAGCAACUAGUAAUAAUACUUCAUAAAUAUAUAUACAUACUAAAAAUAUACAUAAUAAUAAUAUAUACAUACAAAGUACACUAAUAUUUAAAAAUAAUAACAGUAAAUAUAAUAUUAAUAUUAAAUAAAAUUAAUAUUACAAAUUUAAUUUGACAGCAAAAAUGACAAAAAGGACUAAAUUCGGAUUAAAAACAAAGUUUAGGGAAAAUCUGAAAUAAAAAAAGAAAAGAGAACAACCUAUUUCAACGCGCGCAAAUAGUGGGGGGACUAAAAACGAAAUAAACCCAUUCAAUCAAAUCGCACAAUAUUAUGGGGACUAAAUUGAAAACCAUGGAAAAUUAUGGGGCUGAAUUAAAAAAUGACAAAAGACUUAAUUGCAAAACGUUUAAAAAGCAGAGGGGUUAAAAGCACAAAUAACCCCUCCCUUAAAAAACACACGGAUCCUGCUCGGAGUGGGUCGGGUCGACCCGACCUGGGGCCAAAACGACGUUGUUUUAUUGUUUAAACCGGGGGACCAAAACGCACCGUUUUGGUCCCUUAUAAAAGAUAAAAAAAUUUCAAAAAUUUCAUUUGGGACCAGGGAAAGAAAAAAAAGAAAGAGAGGGGGGAGAGAAAAGGGGUUCCGGCCAAGGGGCACGGUGGCCGGAAAAUCGAAAGGUAUGAUUUUUCUUCCCUUUUUUAAAAAAAAAAUUGGUUUUAUAUUUUUUAUAUGUUUUAGUAUAUAUAUGUGAAAAAUAGGCCUAGAAAACGAAACUAAAACAAAAAAAAUAUUACCUUAGAUUUCUAGUUUUUGAUUUUUGAUAUCUUUGAUUCUCUGAUUUUGAGUGUUCGAAUCACUGCUUGUAUAUGUAUUGUACUCUAACUUAGGUAUUGAUUUUCCUUGAACAUUCGAAUAAACACCAAAAAGAAAAAAAAAAGAAAAAGAGCCGACCCUUUUACAAUGCUUUUCGUGGCUUUUUAUAGCCUUUACAUGGUCUGUUUCUUAUUGUUGCGUGUCUGCUUGACCUUGCAGGUGAGUUGGUGGCCAGUGGAGGUGACCAUGGGGUAGGUGGCGCCAGGGGAUGGUGUUGGCAGAGGCAAGUGGGAGGGUGGUUGCGGCGCUGAGGCAAGUGGGGAGAGGCUAGGGUUUGUGAUAGCUUUUUUGAAUUUGGUUUAGCGUUUGGGUGUAAUUGGGUUGUUGGGUAUUUGGGUUUUUUGGUGGGUUAGUUUAGGUGGGCUCGGGUAGGUUGAUGUGUAUUGGGCUGAUGGUUGUAAAUGUAUUUGGGCUAAGGGUGGGUUAGAUGGUUUAAGGGGUUUAAUGUAUUGGAUUUAUUUGUUGGGUCAAAAUUGGGUAGGUUAGUUGUAAUGUAUUUGGUUGAUGGGUUAUUUUGCUUUGGGUUUUAUUGGUUUAAUGUAAAUAGGUCAUGGAUAAAAUUGGGCUAUAACAAUUAUAUAUACAAAUUUUAAUUUAGUGUAAUUAUAUACGUGAAAUUCUUUUUUUUUUGAAAGCUAAAUUCAUUAAUUCAUUAAAUGAAUGAAACCAUACAAUUCAAGGGAAAAAGGGAAAAAAAUAACAAACACUCGUCGUAGAUGGUGAAAGACAAGCUCCAUCAAUACAACAAAGGUUUUAGCCUCAAUACCAAUAGAACAUCAUGACACGUUGACAAUUGGCUUUGUCAUAACUCAAGUACGACAUAUUUGGAGUGCUUGCAAACACUUAAUAAGGAAAUCAACCCCGAAUGAUCCAAAGCGGCGAGCAAAAAUCGACAAAAGAAUCGAGCAUUCACCGAACUAAAGAGAAUGACAACAGAACCAUCCUUAAAAUCACUUGUAAAACUAAUGUUACAUGCAUAAGACUAAAAAAUGUUCUUUUAAGACUAAAAAUUUAUUAAACAAAAGAAAACAAACAAAAGAAAACAUAUAAAACUUAAGACAACACAGGUCCAAAUCGAUCCAUGAAAUAAUUUAUUAUUCUAAAAAACUACUGAUGGCUGGUGGAGUUUUAGCGAACAACUGACGUCGUCAUCUGUCCGCCACAACUUGUUAAAACAAUAAAUAUACCCACAAAAUAGAUCUGCAAACUAAAAAGAGAGAAGAUAUGUGGAGUGAAUGAGAAGAAUAAAGAAAGAAAGAGUUGGUGGGAGAGAGAAAAAGGCAGACGAUAGCUAAUCUCACUGGGCAAAACAUAAGAUAAGAAGCAAACGGCUUGAAAAAGAAAAACUAUACACGUGAAAUUUUAAUUGUUGUUCAAAUAUAUACUUAAAACUUUAAUUUUAAUUUAAUCCUACGCAUUUAAAGAAAUAAAUAUAUCAAUUUAUUUUUAUAUUGGACAAAUAUAAUUAUUUAUAUAAGUAUUAUAUAAAUAUAAAAUAAUAUUAUAUCAAUAAUUGUGUUAAUAAUUUAUAAAAAUUGAAUUAAAUAAAAAAUUAUAAAAAAUUAAAAUUCAUAUACAUAAUUUUACAUUAAAUCAUAUUUAAUGUAACUUUGAACGGAAUAAUAAUAGUCAUACAACGUGUGGUUGAAAAUCCAGUUUGAUUUUGUUGAAACUAUAAACUCGUUUUCCCAUCAUCAAGUAAUUUAAAAGAAAAAAAUUCAAAAAAAGGAAAAGAAAUUAUAAUUCAGUUUAAUUGUUAUUGACGCUGUAAAGAAAGCGAGGAAAAAAGAAAGCUGGAAAGUGUAAAGAAAUACGAAGCCAAGCAAUGGAACCGGGUAACGAAAAACAACAUUAAAAAGGAUGAAAAUGAAGGGAAGGUUGGAAACGCAAAAAGUCAAUAAAAUAAAAAUAAAAACCAAAAACUUUAAUCUUUCUAAAAUAUUAUUUUUACAUAUGAUUUUGUAAUGAAUUAAUUUAAUUAAUAAUAUUUAAUUACUUUUAUGACUUAUAUUUAGAAAAUAAUAUUUCUUUUUGCUUAUUUUAAAAAAAUAUAUAUUUUUAUGAGAGUUUUUGCUUAUAUUUCUAAUUUUAAAUUUAACUUUUUAUGUUAAUUAAGUCUUAACUCGAUUGGCAUGAGCAUUGUUUUCAAUGUACAGACCCAAAUCUGCCUGCGCUUACACCAUAUCAAAACCAAAAUAAAAAGGCAAAACAAAACAACAAAAUAAAAAUCCAAUAAUAAGUGUCCAUAGUCCAUUUUACAACAACCCAACAACUAAACCAAGCCCAAAUAAACCCUAACACAAAUUGGCCCAAAAUCUAAAAUUUCUAGAAAACCUUGGCAUCAUUCUUGCGCCGCUGCUGCCUUCGUGCCAGCUUCCACGCGCGCCGUUGCUUCAUGCUCCACACCCACGAACGGCUUUUCCACACCAUGCACACCUGCAACAGACUACAAACAAAGGAGCAAUGGGCAACAAAUGACAGCAAUGAAAAUUUGUAUUUUCUUUUUUUAUUUAUUUUAUUUUUUCGGCUAUAAAACUGAAUGAAAACAAUGUAAAUGGGAUCUCUUUUUUGGGUAGAAAUAUACACGCAUAUUUACGCAUACAAAUCAAUACCAAAAAAUGUGAAAAAAGAACAGCUUUCAAGUGGUAAUUUGAAAUAUCAUUUUUCUUUUCAUUUUGCUCUUAUCUCUUUGAUUUUCAUUAUUAUAUGAGUAAAAAAAAAGAAUAAAGGAGAGGGAGGAUACUUAUCGUGAUUAAAGCCCUCGAAUCCUUGUUUGCUUUGAAGAAAUCAAAGCUCAAAUAGGGAUCGAGUGGUUUAAGAAUGGCAAAACCCUCGGAUUUGUGGUCGAACAGGGUCGAUCAGGCCUUCGUGCGACGCCGUUCGCUGAUUACGGAGGCAAAGUGGUGGUUGAGUGAGGAUUUAAGUUCAGCCGAAUGAAGAAGGGAGAUAGGCUUUAGGUUUUUUUAUUUUGAUUUGCUUUUAAGUGGCUGAAUGUUAGUUUUAGGGUUCUUUUUUUUACACAAAGUAUAAAACGACGCCGUUUAAGGGGAGGGGGUCCGCGCGUCAACCCACUCGGAAGCCCGGAUCGGCGCCUGUGCGCUUGAAAUGGGUAAAUUGUGCCCUUCGUCCCUCCCUCUCGCGCUGCUACCUGAUUGGGGCCCUCUGCGCAUUUUCUUUGUUUUUUAAUUUUUUCCCUGAGAUUUACGCAUGAUUGCAAUUUAAUCCGCGGCUAAACGCAAUGUUUUGAUAUUUGGGAUAUUUUCAAUUUUGAUCCUUAAUCAUUUGUGCGCGUACUAUUUCAAUCCUCAGCUCAGUUUUAUUGAUUUGUCUAUUUAUAAAUUAUCCUUCCAAUUUUGUUUUUAUUUCAAUUUAGUUUAUUCUAUGUGUUAUAUUCUUUUGGAUUUAUUUGUUUAGUUAUUUAUGUAAUUAUUUUUUUUAAAAACCUAUUAUUUUAACAUAUUAUUUUGAAC